Molecule: long non-coding RNA, 127558 nt
Filed under: Coffea arabica (coffee)
Lineage: Eukaryota; Viridiplantae; Streptophyta; Magnoliopsida; Gentianales; Rubiaceae
Description: long non-coding RNA (CARA_LNC002175)
Source: RNAcentral
CAAAUUUGAAGUCUUCAAAUUGCUCACUAUUUUUUUUCUUUUAUUUGGGAAAAGCUAAUGACUUUUUUUUUUUUUUUUGGUUGGGUUAAAUAUUUAGGUGGCGAGCUUAAGACUGCCAAACAGAAAGUUGAUGGAAUUGACAAAGAAAAAUUUACAUACAGUUAUACUGUACUUGAAGCUGAUGGAUUUAACGAUGUAAUCGAGAAAAUCUGUUGUGUCAUCAAAUUUGAACCCUCUGCUGAUGGAGGUUCAAUCUGCAAAACCACUAACACAUACUACCCCAAGGGUGGUGCACAGAUCAGUGAGGAACACGUCAAGGGAGGAAAAGAGAAGGGUUUGGGAAUGGUUAAGGCUGUUGAGGCUUACCUCCACGCAAAUCCUACUGCCUACAACUAAUUAUAAUGAAUGCUACUGAAGGACUCUUCCACAUAUUUUCUUCAAGAUUGAAGUAUAAACUGAGGGUGUCUGUUUCCUUUUUUGCUUGGUUUGCUUUAAGCUGUUUGGUUAAGUUAUUUGCAGCAAGAGAAUAAAAUAAUUCAUUUGCUGUUUUUAGAUAUGAAUUCAUGACUGUCAGUAGUCUAUAAAUACACUUAUUCCUCACCACUCUUUGCACCGCAAAAUCUUUUCAAGAUCCAUCAAACCCUCCUGUUCUUGAUCUUUCUCCAUUUGUGAAAAAACAAAUUAAAGCAUCAUGGCCCCUAUCACUUGUAGUGCUGAGAUGACCUCCCCCAAUCCCUCCUGCAAGGUUGUUCAAGGCCGCCAUCCUUGAUGACCACCUUGUUCCCGAGAUCAAGCCACAGGCUAUUAAGAGUGUGGAAAUCCUUGAAGGAGAUGGUGGGUUUGAACCAUUAAGUUGAGCACAUUUGGUGAAGGUUAGAUGUUAUAUUAAAUGUAGAACCCAAAUUUUAAGGAUCUAAUAAUAAUCAAUGCGUGCAGGGUUACAGAAUUGGAGGGAUAAAACAAAUACUCAAAUAAAUGUGGAAGAAAAGAAAAUAAUAAAUUCAACUCACAAAAUUAUUGAAAUUUCAAACAAUGAAAAAAAUCAUACCUUAAUAAAUUCAGUUGGUUUUAAUAAUAAUCAAAGCAUACAAGGUUAAAGAAUUAAAAGGAUAAAACAAACACUCAAAAUAUAUGUGGGAGAGAAGAAAAUAAUAAAUUCAACACACAAUAUUAUUGAAAUCUCAAACAAUGAAAAAAGUCACACCAUAAUAGAAAAUCUUGCAAAUUCUUCUAGAUUCUUUCUCUUGAGAAACCAACCUAAAUAAUGUUCUAUUUAUAAUCUACCAAACUUGUUAGGAAAGAAACCACUUGCAUAAGAAAUUACCAAAUAAAACAGAAAUUCCUAAAUCACACAACUACUAAAAACAUAACUCAAAUAAAACUAAAAAAUAAAUAAAUUUUUCUUGGCUUAGUUUAAUUUGUUAACAUUGCCUCCCUUAAACCAAACUAUCCAUUGAGAUAUGUUCAACACCAUCUCGAGUAACAAUUUCUAUGCAAAUCUAUGUUGUAGUAUACUUGACAUGAAACUCUAACUUGUUACCAGUUAUUAAUUUCAUCUUUACACGUAACAGUGGACGUACUAUGUAUUUUGUAAAAAAUUUCUCAACAAUUUCUUCUUGAUCAAAGUACUCAUUUAUACAAACCCAUUCAUCACCAGAAUCAUCAUAUUUACCACCAAUGUAAGUUCCUAAAAAUACAAAAUCAUUGCUUGCUUUCUCGCUAAAAUUAUCAUAACCAAAUAAUUUAAAAUAGCCACUACUACAAUCAUCCAAAAUUUUCAUACUGUCAGUCAACUCUUUUGGAGUAAAAUAUUUUUCAACUAUAAUGACAUCCAUAUCUAUCAAAUCAAGCAUUCUCCCAUCACUUUGAAGAAAGUCCGAACCAACGAAUUUUUCAACAACAAUUUCAUGAUCUCUUCUCUUAUCAAGUCAAAAUUUUCUUCUUCUUUUGUCAAAUUACCAUAUUAUUGUUUCAACAAAUUCAUUACUUCUAAUUUCUCCAAACAAGGUACGCAAAUCAAAACUAUCAAUUGAUUCAAAAUUUUCGAUAUCACCCAUAUUAUCAACAAAUCUAUCAUUUUUAAAAUCCACAAACCAAUACCAACAACUAGACUUCGGUUUGAAAGCAUAAUUUCUCUCAAUCGUGUGCAAAACAAAGUAAAUAUCCUUCCAAAAUCUCUAAAGUAUUUUAGUAUGACCAAUAAAGGUUUUAUAAAUACUUUCUGCCAUUAUUUUACACAUCACUUGAAAGAAUAAUUGUGCUUUUUUUCUUAAAAACAUGUUUUGCCAACUUACUUGCAUCAACCCAACAAAGAAUAUCAUCCAAAUUACAUUGUUUGAGAUAUUUUUCCACUGUUAAAAUUCAGCCAAAAUAUGUAUGUCUAUUUGUGUUUAUAGGAGUCAAUAUGGAAAAUUUUUCACCAUCAAUCAGAUCUUUAUAAUAUUCCAUUAUUUAACAAUUUGUAUACCUGAAUAAAUUUUUUUCCUCCAUCCUGUCAUGUUUUCUUGGCCUCCUUGGUUGACUGACCAAAUUAUUGUUGUAUGUAUACCCAUGCUUGUCAAACCUCAUUCGUGUACACUCGUAAGGAGUGGUUUUGAGCUUACUGUGAAUGCUUAAUACCAAGAAGUAGAAGAGAGAAUGCAUAAGAGAGAAUUAACUUGGCUAAAGAAUUGGGAAGCAAUUUAGGGAUUUUUUAAGAAAUUAAUUCUCCAACCGCCACUUUUGGAAAUUUCUAUCAACAACUAGUUACCAAAACACUAGGACAGCGAUCCGUCUCUAUUUUACUCUUCAAGUCUUCGCCGGGGAAGCAACCCGGCCUUGCGAGACUAUAAUGAAUAGGCACUUGCCUUCUGUUUUUACUUUUUUUUUGUUCAAAGACUAUAAUGCCCUUAUUAUUUGACUGCGCAUCUCGCAAGAUAAUGCUUUCCAUCAAAAUUAACUGUUGGGUUUGACAGAAGCGCCACGAAUAUUCUAUUUUAUUAGAUCCAGAGUCAAAAUUUUACCGUUAAUUGUUAGAGGGUUAAAACUUUAUCUGGAAAGGAGUUGGAGGGCCAUUGGAACUCUUUUUCCAAAAAAAAAAAAAAGUCACUUUUGUCAUUUGUCCAAGAACAGUUCUGGGGCCAUCUCGACAGUAUAUAUUUUUCUUACAUGCCAAGACAAUUAAUGAAAAUUGACCAAUAACACACGCACACACACACACACACACACACACUCUCUCUCUCUCUCUCUCUCUCUCUCGGUUGCUGCCAAGUCUUUCCAUUGAAAAAGGAAAAUUCAUAUUGUUUACAUAGAUAAAUUACCUCCAGUCCGUGGAAUGUCUUGAUGUUAGGUGAGUUCUAAUAUUUUGGUAUCAUCUAGAGGUGGCAAAUCAACCCACUUAACUAAAUUUACCCAUAUCCGCCCAUGAAUAGAUGGGUAUGGAUAUCUUAAAUUUUUGUAUAUGAGUAUAAAUGGGUUACCCAAUAAUACCCAUUUAAAUGGGUAACCCAUCAAACCCAAUUAACCCAUUUAGAAUUCUCUUCCCCUCAAGUCUCUUCUUUUCCCCCACCUUUUUUUUUUUCAAAUUUUUCAUUUUGUCAUGAUGUUAACUACUUUUGUUUUAUUAUUAUUAUUUGUUGGUUUUAUCUUAUUAUUUUAUUUUCUCUUAGUUUGUUAACUUACUCAUUUUUUACCAUUACCAAUUUAUGAUAAAUUUUAGCCUAUUUUCUUAUCUUUAUAAAAUGAAAUUUUAAAUUUAUAUAUGAAAAAAAUGUUAGGGGUUCAAAAAUUUUGGAUUAAGUUUUUAUAUUAAUUUUUAUAGUACUUAGUUCAAAAUUUUAUAUUCUUAUUAUUCAAUUAUUAAAUAAUAGGUAAUUUUGUGACAUAGAGUAUAAAUGAAAAAAAAUUGGUAAUUAAGUUUAUUGAACAUUAUAAGUAAAUAUUUAAAACUAAUGAUGGGUAUAAAGAGUGAUAUAAAUUGAUAACUUAGUUUGCAAAAAUGAAUUUAAAUGAGUUUGCAAAAAGUUAAAAUAAAUGGGUUAUAAAUGGGUAAUUGGGUUACCCAAUUCAUUUUUUGACUUGCCUAUUUAUACCCAUAUAAUUAAAUGGGUAUAAAUGAGUUGACUCACUUAUACCCAUUACCCAUUUUACCCAACUCAAACCCGCCCAAGUCACCCAUUUUGACACCUUUAGUAUCAUCUAAUGUUCAUUUGUGAAAGAUUGAGAAAUGAUAAAGAGCAAAACACCAAUUUAUUCCAUAAAUUAUUUUGCUAAAAUCAAAAUAGUCCAUAAAUUUUCUUUUGGCCAAAUUUUUGUCAUGAACUUUCAGAAACGGUUGCAGGGGAUUUCAUCCGGAUUGCUUGUGCAGUUGAGUAACUAUACAGAAAUUCUUUUUGGGAUGCUGAGUAUCUUAGGAUGGGUACAAUGAUCGCUUAGAUCAGUAGAGAUGAUUGAUGAUGUAGUAGGGGAAGAUUCCCUUUAUAAAGCUGAUUUUCUCAUGAUUAAUAAGAAUAUAAAUGUUACCAAAUUUUCUUUUCAAAUGUGUAACGAAAAUAUUGGCCAUGAUCAGCAAGACCUCCUUAAUUAUAAAAGUUUCUUGAAUGUCAUCAUCCAAUUUGUUUAAGCGAGGAUUUUUAAAUGCUAUCUUUAAGCAAAUUGAUUUUUGUAUUAUAGAUACUUACUACUAUUACUUCAUACCUAGCUACAAACCUCAUGUAUGUUUUAGUUUUAAUCCAGAACAAAUCAGGGCCACGGGCCACCUUGCACAUAGCGAGAGUGGAAAAAUAAAACUACACAAUUGCUUUUUUGAAGCCAGUGACUCAACUGAUUUUGCGCUCGGCAAUUCAUCCGAUUUUCAUUAAAAGGGCCCUAAGAGGCCAUUGGCGUUUUGGGCCUGUGAAAAUUUGGAUGAUUUGGUGUGUCCAAUGCAUGUGUAAGCACAAAUUUUGUUGUCUAAAAUAAAAGACAAGAAAACUUACAUAAAUAUCAAAUUUAUUAAAUUAAAUAACAAGAGGGUUACAAUAUUUGAAAAUUUUUGAAUCAAAGAAAUUAAUCUCCUAAUUUUUAUCUUCAAAAGGCUUUAAUCGGAAGGCCAAAAAGGCUUGUUCUCCGAUCAAGAGGGUGUUUUCUAUGAUUUCUAUGUAAAAAACGGCUGCUUUGAUGAUGACGUUAAUAUUUGAAUCUUUAAAUCUUCAACGCCGAUGGAAGGAGGAUUUAUUUAACUUAAUUUGGAUUUGGAUUUGAAUUUGAGGGAAAAAGCUCUCAAGAGAAUUUGACAAAGUUACUUUGAAAUUUAGGAAUUUUAAUGUAUUUUUGCCUUGAGGGAAGACCUUUAUUUAGAGUCAACAUAUGCAAGCUAUGUCUUCAAGAGAAUCCUUCAAAACCAUCUUGCGUUUGGGUAACUUGUACCUUAAGAAACCCAUUUAACUUGGAGUUAAAUAGUCGGCCGACCCAAAUAGUCAAUUGUGAAUUAACAAAUCAAUUAAAUCACUUUAAUUUAAAUGGGCAUCACAUUUUUUAUUUGAUUUAAUAGCUCAUAUAACAUUGGCUCAAUUUGUCAAUCCAAAACAUAAUGAACUUCUAUAAUUUAAUUUAAUUUAAUAAAAAUCAAUUUAAUUUACUUAAUCUUGCCUAAAAAUAAAUUAAAUAAAUUUUCGUUGUCUAUGUCCCCACUUCAAAACUUGGCAAGGCAUUGCAUGUUAAUUGCUGGAGGCAAGACUUGAAGUAGAGGUGUCAAGAUGGGUGACUUGGGCGGGUUGGGGUUGGGUAAAAUGGGUAAUGGGUAUAAGUGAGUCAACUCAUUUAUACCCAUUUAAUUAGAUGGGUAUAAAUGGGUAAGUCAAAAAAUGAAUUGGGUAACCCAAUUACCCAUUUAUAACUCAUUUAUUUUAACUUUUUGCAAACUCAUUUAAAUUCAUUUUUGCAAACUAAGUUAUCAAUUUAUACCACUCUUUGUACCCAUCAUUAGUUUUAAAUAUUUACUUAUAAUGUUCAAUAAACUUAAUUACCAAUUUUUUUCAUUUAUACUCUAUGUCACAAAAUUACCUAUUAUUUAAUAAUUGAAUAAUACGAAUAUAAAAAUUUGAAUUAAGUACUAUACAAAUUAAUAUAAAACUUAAUCCAAAAAUUUUGAACCCCUAACAUUUUUUCAUAUAUAAAUUUAAAAUUUCAUUUUAUAAAGAUAAGAAAAUAGGCUAAAAUUUAUCAUAAAUUGGUAAUGCUAAAAAAUGAGCAAGUUAACAAACUAAGAAAAAUAAAAUAAUAAGAUAAAACCAACAAAUAAUAAUAAUAAUAAUAAUAAUGUUAACAUCAUGACAAAAUGAAAAAUUUGAAAAAAAAAGGUAGGGGAAAAGAAGAGACUUGGGGGGAAGAGAAUUUUAAAUGGGUUAAUUGGGUUUGAUGGGUUACCCAAUAAUACCCAUUUAUUAAAUGGGUAUUAUUGGGUAACCCAUUUAUACCCAUAUACAAAAAUUUAAGAUACCCAUACCCAUCUAUUCAUGGACGGGUAUGGAUAAAUCUAGUUAAGUGGGUUGAUUUGCCACCUCUAACUUGAAGUAUUAAUUUUACUGCUGACUUAAAGUCAAACUAAAUUAAAGACUUCAAGCGUUCGGCAUACGGGUGAUCCACUUUUUUUUUUUUUUUUUUUUUUUUCCCUUUUUCUUUGGGAAGAGAAUGGUCCACAUCAAUUGAAGAAUUGCACCUCAAAGUCCAAUUGAAUAGGCAACGGUCACGGGUCUUCACUUUCACCUACUACUUGAAUAAAGCCUUGAAGCUCUUGAAUUUUCCAACUCUUAAUUUAGUCGUCAAUGGAAGUGCAGCCCCACAAUAUUAGACCACAACUUUGACCAGUAGAAAUUAGAAACUCCCAUUUGAUUAAGCGAUGUGGGCUCCUGCGCAGAAACUCCCAUAUGCUGAAAUUUGGAGUUUGCUCUUACGUUUCUGACCACCAAAUCUUGUUUUGGCACUUGGCAAUAUGGAAUUUGCUGAGUUUCAACACUUCCUAAACGGAACUUAAUGUAUUUCCAAAACCUAAGGGUGUGUUUGGAUCCCUUGUUUUUGGGACUGUUUUUGAAAAACUAUUUUUCACAUUCCAAAUGCUACAGUAAAUGUGGAUUAGUUAUUUUUGGGGUUAUUUUUUAAAAAUUAUAUGAAAAACUUUUACUGUAGAUGUUUUUUGGGUUAUUUUUAGAGGUAUUUUUAAAACAUAUUUUUGAGUAUUUUUAUAAUUUAUAAUUUUUAUACAUUUAUGCAUUUAUAAUACAUUUAUAAAUAUUCAUAAAUAAAUAUAUUUAUAUAAAAUAUAUAAAUUUAUUAUAAAUGUAUUAUAUUAUAUAUAAUGCAUAAUAUAAAUAUAUUAUCCCAUGUAUAAAUGUAUAUUAUUAUAAAUGUAUAAAUUAUAAAUGAAUAUUAUAUAAAUGUAUAAAUUAUAAUUUUUAAUUUUUAUAUAAAUAUACAUUUAUGCAUUUAUAAUACAUUUAUAAAUAUUUAUAAAUAAAUAUAUUUAUAUAUUUAUAUAAAAAUAUAUAAAUGUACUAUAAAUGUAUUAUAUUAUAUAUAAUACAUAAUAUAAAUAUAUUUAUAAAUGUAUAAGUGUAUAUUAUUAUAAAUGUAUAAAUUAUAAAUGAAUAUUAUAUAAAUGUAUAAAUUAAUAUAUUAUAAAUAUAUAUUAAUAUUAUGCAUAAAUGUAUUCAUAUUAUGUAUAAAUGUAUUAAUAUUAUGUAUAUUAAUAUAAAUGUAUAAAUGUAUGAUAUUAUAUAUAAUGCAUAAUAUAAAUGUAUAUUAUAAAUAUAAAUUAAUAUGUAUAUUAUGUAUAAAUGUAAAUUUAUAUAAAUUUAUAAUAUAUAUAAUAUAUGUUAUAUAUUAUAUUAUAUAUAAUUUAUACUAUUUAUGUAAAUAUAUUAUAAAUAUAUAAAAAUAUUUUUUAAUAAAAUAAUAUAUUUAUAAUAUGUAUAAAUAAAUAUAUAAAUAUUUAAUAUAUAAUAUACAUUAAUAUUACUUAUAAAUAUUAUAAUAUUGUAAAUAUGGUGUUUAUAUAAUAUUUCAAUUUGUAAUAUUUAUUGUAUAUUUCAUUAUAUAAAUAUUUAUAUAAUAUAUAAUAUAUAAAUAUAUAAUAUAUAAUUUUCAAUUUGUAUAAUAUACAUAAUAUUGUAUAUAUAUAAUAUACAUAAUAUAAUACAUUUAUACAAUAUUACAUAUUAUGUAUAUUAUAUAUUAUACAUAACAUUAUUAUACAUUAUUAUCCAAUACACAUUAUGUGAAAAAUUGGAGGAUCUGGUGUAUCCAAUGCAUGUACAUGUAAAUUUCAAACUGGUGAUACUUUUCACAAAGAGUUUUCAAAUAGUAAAAGUUCUGAAACAACGCAUUCACUGAAUGUGCGAAUCUGUCUUUUAAACAACGUAUUAAUAAAUAUAUCUUUUAAAAUAAAAUGUCUACACAAAUAAAAGAAUGAAUUCCGUGAAUGUGUCUUUUGAGGAAACAACACAUUUACUAAGUAUGUUUUUUCACUUUUUGGGAAGAAGUUUAAAAAAAUCACCCUUUGAAAGGUAAUUUUUAGAAAAUCCCACUUUUUGACAAUUUACUCAAGCUUGUACUCGACAAAAUGUGUUGGGAAAUUUGUGACGUCAGGUGAAUUGUAAAACUGUCGUGCCAUCGUAAUGUAUGUUUUGCACUAGAUUGAGUAAGAAUUAUAUCAAAACAGUCGGCCACAACAAUGUGAAAACUAGAUUGAGUUGUAAUAUUUUUGUAUCAUGUAAGGUAUAUUUGCAAUCGAUUGAGAAUAUAAUAUAUGGAAACAAUAGGUCACAAUGUUGAAAUGUCAAACCUCAUGUUUCAAAACAAAAACUUAUUAAACUCCUUCAUAUCGCCAACGAAUUUUGAUUCUGAAGUAAUAAUAGUUUUAUUUAAUUAUUUGCCUUUUUUUUGGAACAAUAUUAAAAUGUAGCCAUAAAUUUAAAUUCCAAAAUUGUUGAAUACUUGGGGAAUUCUAGAAAUGGCACUGGGAGUCAAAGUUCACCCUAUUCAAACGUCACCAGCCAUCUCAGAGUAGGGCUGCAAACGAGCCGAGUCAAGUCGAGAUUUAAGCUAAUCGAGCCGAGCCUCGACUCAAUUUUACCAAACUCGAGCUCGAGCUCGAAAAAAAAUAAAAAAUAAAUAUUUUAUUUAAAAAAAAUAAAUAAAAUAAUAUUUUUUUCUUAAUAAAUAAUAAAAUAUUAAGGACAUAUACGUAAUUUUACUAUGAAAAUAAAAAAUAAAAAAUAAAAAUAUAAUAUACGUAAUUUUAUUAUUAAAUAAAAAUAAAAAUAAAAAAUAUAUAUAUAUACCCAAGCAGCUUAAUAUUCUGAGCUCGAGUUUGACUCGAGUUGGCUCGAGCUCGACUCGAGUUCGAUUAACAUCGAGCUCGACUCGAGAUUGACUCGAGCCGCUCGCGAGCGGCUCGAUUCGUUUGCAGCCCUAUCUCAGAGUGCAUGUUUCUAUUGAGUUUCUGGAUCAAGGUGCAUCCAUUGCCAUUUUUGGCUGAUCAACCAUGACUAAGAGAAUUAAUUGAUUUGCUUGCCGUUUUUGCAAAAGGAUUCAUUACUUUCAGUAGUCUAUAAAUACUCUUAUUUCUCACCACUAAACCUCUUCAAGAACAACCAAAACCUUCCUGGAUUAAAUCCCUCUUGUUCUUAAAGUAUCAUGGCCCCUAUCACUUAUAGUUCUGAGAUGACCUCCCCAAUCCCUCCAGCUAGGUUGUUUAAGGCCGCCAUUCUUGAUGACACCCUUCUUCCCAAAAUCCUGCCACAGGCCAUUAAGAGUGUCGAAAUCCUUGAAGGAGAUGGUGGAGCUGGAACAAUAAAGUUGAGCAAAUUUGGUGAAGGUUAGAUAUUAAAUUCAACAUGAUUAUUUUCAUAACAGUUGAAUUCAUUCAAGGGAUUUCUUUAAUGUUGUAGUGACUUAUCUUUGGUAAAAUGUAAAAGCUAACAACUUCUUUAUACUUCGAUAUUCAGCUAACAAAUUCAAGAGUGCCAAACACAGAGUUGAUGAACUUGACAAAGAAAACUUCGUUUACAGCUAUAGCGUAAUUGAGAGUGAUGCAUUGAAAGAAGGAAUUGAGAAAUUCACCGAUGAGAUCAAAUUUGAAGCCUCCCCUAAUGGAGGGUCAAUUUGCAAAACUAACAGCAGCAUCUACACCAAGGGUGAUGUCCAGAUCACUGAGGAAGAAAUUAAGGGAGCAACAGAAAGGGCUUUGGGAAUGUUCAAGGCUGUUGAGGCUUACCUCCUUGCCAAUCCUGAUGCCUACAACUAAUUAAUCAAGCUAUUGCAAGACUCUUCCACACAUAUUUACUUACUGUUGUUUUUUAACGAAAGCUUCAAUUGCCUUAAGCUGUAUGGUUGAAUUAUUUUGGAGCUCUGAUCAUAAUAUGUGAUCAAGGUGUGCUUUGCUUGUAUUUUUGCUUGAUCACAGAGUGUGAUCUUGUUUGAUGCUUUUUCUUCGUUCUUGUGCUGCAACAAACUGUUUUGAAUUCAAUUUCAUAUCUCUCAUCUUGAAGUCCCAAGAUUCAAUGGGAUUGGGAAUUCUUACCAAUCAGCAGCAUAUAUUGGAGAAUCGAUAUGGAGACACGAAUUACUAUCAUUUACGUGCUUGCAAAUACAUAUGCUUAGUGCGAUAAUGAAGAUUAAUAAGUCUCAGAAAUGCCAACACAAAUGAGUCGCAGGGAUCUUCUUGUUUAGAGUUAAUUCUAAAAUUCCAAUGCUACUUUACAGAUAUAUAUACGUGUCAAUGUAAAAAAAAAAAAACGACCUUUUGUCAAAAGAAAAGAGAAAAGGGCCAACUCUACUUUACACGCCUAAUAUUUUCUUUAAUUUUUUAAAUCAUAAUUGAUUGUUAUUUUCGACAUUUUGCACCCUAAAUUAUCAAAAUUUCCGGACAUUCUAAUUGCUCUUAAUAUUGAAGAAGUGAUAGAUAUACAGAUGCAGGUUUUCAAUUUUUUCCCCUUUCUGGAUUCGCAAGAGGCAGUGUCUAACUUUUAUUAUUGUUAAGUAGCAAGAAUUGCAGUGUACAAGCACACAUCACUUAUAUUCUUUUUAAUUAAAUUAUGUAAGAGAGUAUGGUGAUCGAAAUUAAUUUAUAAGCCCAAAAUAAAAGCUGGAGAUGUAUUGUAACCAUUGGUAACUUAGGCCACAAAUGAUCAAAAUAUAUCUUGAAGGUGUAAUAUGAGAUUAUGGAUUCAAAGUAUGAGAUUAUGAGAAACUUAUUUAGAGUCAUUUUUGUCUUCCUCAAAAAACAAAAAAAAAAAAAAGUCACUUUUGUCAUUGUCCAAGAACAGUUCUGGCUCCAUCUCGACAGUAUAUAUUUUUCUUACAUGCAAGACUAUUAAUGAAAAUUGACCAAUAACACACACACACACACAUUCUCUCUCUCUCUCUCUCUCUCCCUCUCUCUCUCUCUUACGGUUGCUGCCAAGUCUUUCCAUUGAAAAGGAAAAUUCAUAUUAUGUUUACAUAGAUAAAUUACCUCCGGUCCAUGGAAUGUUAGUGAGUUGUAAUAUUUUGGUAUCAUCUAAUGUUCAUUUGUGAAAGAUUGAGAAAUGAUAUAGAGCAAAACACCAAUUUAUUCCAUAAAUUAUUUUGCUAAAAUCAAAAUAGUCCGUAAAUUUUCUUUUGAUCAAAUCUUGGCCAUGAACCUUCCGGAACAGUUGCUCGAGGAGGGAUUACAUCCGGAUUGCUUGUGCGGUGGAGUAACUAUGCAGAAAUUCUUUUUGGGGUGCUAAGUAUCUUAGGAUGGGUACAAUGAUCGCUUAGAUCAUUAGAGAUGAUUGUUAAUGUAGUAGGCAAAAAUUCCCUUCCUAAAGCUGAUUUUCUCAGGGCCACGGCCCACCUUCCACAUAGCGAGAGUAGAAAAGCUAGAGGAAAAAUAAAACGACACAACUGCAUUCUUAUAAUCAGUGACUCAACUGAUUUUUCACUGGAUUAUUCAUCCGAUUUUCAUUGAAAGGGCCCUAUGAGGCCCUUGGCUUCACGUUCUGGGCCUGUGAAAAAUUGGAUGAUUUGGUGCGUCGAAUGCACGUGUAAGCAUAAAUUUUAUUGCCUAAAAUAAAAGAUAAUAAAACUUGUGUAAAUAUUAAAUUUAUUAAAUUAAAUAAUAAAAGAGUUACAAUUUUUGAAAAUUCUUGAAUCAAAAAAAUUAAUCUCCUAAUUCUUUUCUUUAAAAGAUUUCAAUCGAACGGCUGAAGAGGUUUGUUCUCGGAUCAAGAGGGUGUUUCCUGUGAUUUUGGUGUAGAAAAUAGCUGAUUUGAUGAUGUUAAAUACUUGAAUCUUUAAAUCUUCAAUGCCGAUGGAAGGAGGAUUUAUUUAAUUUGAUUUGGAUUUGGAUUUGAAUUUGAGGGAAAAAGCUCUCGAAAGAAUUUGACAGAGUUUCUGUGAAAUUACGAAUUUCAAUGUAUUUUUGCCUUGAGAGAAGACCUUUAUUUAUUGUCAAAAUAUGUAGGUUAUGUCUUCAAGAAAAUCCUCCAGAACCGUCCUGUGUUUGGGUAAAUUGUACCUCAAGAAACCCAUUUAACUUGGACUUAAAUAGUGGGUCGAUCUAAAUAGUCAACUGUGAAUUAAUAAAUCAAUUAAUCCAUUUUAAUUUAAAUGGGUAUCACAAAUUUGAUUUGAUUUAAUAGCCGAUAUAACAUUUGCCCAAUUUGUCAAUCCAAAACAUAAUAAACUUUUAUAAUUUAAUUUAAUUUAAUUAAGAUUAAUUUAAUUAAUUUAAUUUUAACUAAAUAAAUUAAAUAAAUUUUCGUUGUCUACGGACGUCCCCACUUCAAAACUUGGGGAGGCAUUGCAUGACAAUUUCUGAAGGCAAGACUUGAAGUAUUAAUUUUACGGCUGACUUAAAGUCAAACUAAAUUAAAGACUUCAAGCGUUAGGCAUACGGGUGAUCCACUUUUUUUUUUUUUGGGAAGAGAAUGGUCCAUAUCAAUUGAAGAAUUGCACCUCAAAGUCCAAUUGAAUAGGCAACGGUCGCGAGGCUUCAUUCAAGUCUUGACUCAACUGCUACUUGAAUGAAGCCUCGCUGCUCUUGAAUUUUCCAACUCUUAAUUUAGUAGUCAAUGGAAGUGCAGCCCCACAAUAUUAGACCACGACUUUGACCCGUCUAAAUUAGAAACUCUCAUUUGAUUAUGCGAUGUGGGCUCCUGCGCAGAAACUCCCAUAUGCUGAAAUUUGGAAGUUCGCUCUGAAGUUGCAGACCACCAAAUCUUGUUUUGGCACUUGGCAAUAUGGAAUUUGCUGAGUUUCAACCCUUCCUAAACGGAACCUAAUGUAUUUCCAAAACCAAUGUUUGCAACUUCUGAAUAAGAAUAUGCCAAAUUUCAAGAGCUUCCUAAAUUGACUUCCUGCCAUUGAAAUUAUUCUUGGGAACCAAAUUCAAGUGAUUUCCAAAAAGUUAAAUGAUAAUCACUGAAUUUAGGGUCUAUUUGGAAGUUGAGUUUUUACUCAAGUUUGUAUUAUACUAGUUUUUUACCAACUUUCGCUACAGUAAUCUAAAAAAACUUCUCAAAAUUUUUUAUCUACACACUUCAAAAUACCUAAAACAAAAAAAGAAUUCCCUUCCCCUUUUCUUCUUUUUCCUCCCCCAACCCAACCUACCACCACUUCCGUUGCCCGCCAUCACUCUACCGUCGGUUCUGGCACCGAGCACCUCUUCCGAUGCCGGUCUUCUUUUUUUUUUUUUUUUUUUCCUUUCUCCCUCUCCCUUAUUCCUCCCCCACCACCUUUCUCCUUCCCCUCUGGCUGAUCUGGUCGCAAGACCAGAUCGCACCGAGGGAGGAUGAGGGUGGCGGGGGAAGGGGAGGAGAUGGGGAGAAGGAAAAUUGCAAAAAAAAAAAAAAAAUUUGGCAGUUGCUACUUCAUCUGCUAGCAAGAGAAGGAGAGGAGAGGGAAAAUUGAAAAAAAAAGUUUCUGUUGUUGCAGUAAUUAGGUGCCGGCAAAUUUUGAAGCGGCGGCGAGGGAAGGGGGAGGGCGAAGGGGAGAGGGGAGGAGAGGGGUGGCGGGGGAGGGGAGGAGAGGGAGAGAGGGAGAGGGAGAGGGAGAAGAGGGUGGCAGGGGAGGGAGAGGGAGGUGGCGGGUAGGAGAGGGGGAGACAAAAAAAGCAAAAAAAAAAAAAGAAAGAAAGUUGCUGCUUCAUUGGCUUCGGGAGAGGGAACAGGGGAGGAAAGGGGAAGGAGGAAGGGGAGAAGAAGCAGGAAGGGAGGAAGGAAAAGAAAAAAGAAAAAAAGGAAAAAAAGAAAAAAGAAAAGGAAAGAAAGAAAGAAAAUGAAAAGGAAAAAAAAGUUUUUUCAUCUCACAAAAGUUUUUUUACAACUUCUAUAGUGAUCUACAGUAAAGUUUUAUACAAACACCCAAAAAACUCACCUUUCAACCGGGGCCUUAGUAGCUGCCCAAAACUUAAAACUUCUCAAUACGGUUCAUCUAAGCACCUUUAUAUAUAUAUAUAUAUAUAUAUAUAUAUAUAUAUAUAUAUAUAUAUAUAUAUAUAUAUAUUUAUUUAUAGAGGUACACAAGACAUGUCUUUGUCUUGAAUGUGACAAACAGGGCACUUAAGACAAGGGCGUGUGAAGACUACCGUACUAUUUGAGGGAAAAAAAAACCUGUUUUACAUGCACAUCUUGAAGGUAAUCAUCUUUAUUUUCUUUUGACAAUUUCAUGUUGGUCGAGUAUUAGAUGUUCACCUUGUGAGUCCCCUUAGAUUACUCUUCUUUGGGUCGUUUAACCGCUAACUCCCUGAGUAUUUCUAAUCUAAUUGGGUGUGUGUGUUUCUGACUCUCGACAGAAAAAAAAAGUAUCAAAUGUUCACCAAAUUUUGUUGAAAUCUGUCAAAACUUGAUUUGUUUCCAACUUGGAGAAAAAAAGAUUUUUUUUCUUCGUUUUUGCAAUUUUCCAAUUCACUCUUUCCUAUCAACAUGUUAUGAUUCAGAAUUUGAGACAAAUCUUGUACAUAGGAAUCCUUUUUAACAGCUGAUGGUUUGAAUUUAGCAGACACCUUGAAGUCAAAGAAGGCAACUAGCAUUCCAAUAGCAUUAUUUGGUUGCAUGCCAUAUCCAAGAUUUUCACUAGUAAGCCACCAUUUUCUUGCUUUUGAUUGUUAUUCAUUCUCUAUUGCGCAAUUUUAUUUUCGCACAAUCCAUUUUUUUCUUUGAAUUUUCUCUUUUACAAAAUAGCAACCACUAAGAAAAGACAGAAAGAAUUUUAUUUUUUUUAGGUUGCACCUUGUGUUGGCACCCCUUAUUUGAAGCAAGUCAGGGAUUUCAGGGCCAUAGCUCUUAGAACUCAAAACACUAAAGUAAUUUCCACACUCCAUGACAUUUACUUCUUGUCAAUGCCAAACUCUCCUCUUUUUUUUUUUUUUGUGACAUGAAAGGAAGAUCUCUCAUUGCAACAUAUAUGGUGGACACUCAAUUUGAAAGAAGAUGCAAUCACCAACUCCUACGAGAGCCAUAUCAUGGUUUGAGGAGUAUAAUGAAGAUAAUGCAACCAAAAAUUUGAAUAAGAUGCAACCGCAAACUCCCAUGAGAGUCAUAUCAUGGCUAUCAUGGCUUGAGAAGUACAAUGAAGAUAGUGCAAUCAAAAAUUUGAAAAAGGUGCAACCACAAACUCUCACGAGAGCCUAUCAUGGAUUGAGGAGUACAACGAAGAAAGUGCCAUCAAAAAGUUGAAAAAUAUGCAAUUGCAAACUCCCACAAGAGCCUAUCAUGGUUCGAGGAGUACAACGAAGAAGGUGCAACUACCCACUUCAAUGAGAGCUUACCAAAACUCGAGAAGCGCUUUCAUUUAACUUCACGUUGACAAUUUAUUACUUCUCUCACUGUCUUCGAUCACACCAUUGUAAUCAAAUUUUUUUCUCUUGCUUUUAUUGCAAGUUGGUCCUAACGAAAUGGUGAUGGUCAAGGAAGUUACAUCUUCAAACAAAAGGUACCUCCUUAUCACUAAUAGCCAUGAUGACUCUGCUGACAAAGGAAUGAAAUUAUUGGUGCAUCCCUCUAUACAAGAAACUUACUCUGGUGAUUGGUUUUCUCACAAAUAUUCCGAAUUAAAGGAUUGGUCACUAAAAUUUUCUCAAGAUGAUGGUACAAAAGUUCACUCCUUGAAAUUCCUUAUCAUAAUAAGGAGCCAAGGACAAUUGGCAGGCGAAUCAUAGAUGAAGACACACACUGGGGUGCUUCCUUGAGAUUUAGUGAUGAAUUUGGUUAUAUCGAGAAUUAUUAGGAGCGGUUGGAAGAUAUUUUUGGAAAAAACAAACAAGUGUUUCGUGAAAAUUACUUGUUCGAUGUCUUAUAUGCUUCGCUUCUCAUAUAUAACAAAAAUUCUCAUGUGUUUAGAGCAUUUUGCGAGACAUGGUGCCUAAACACUAAUACCUUGCAUAUGUCAAUUGGAGAAUUAUCUCUCUCACUUUGGGAUCUGUGUAAAUUAGAAGGACUUCCAAUCAUCGGAUACAUCUAUGAAGAGGCGAUCCCAUGUGUAGAGGAACUAACUGGAGUUAAUGAAAAGAAAUUGAGGCAUAUUCCACAAAACUGUGAGUAUUUGUUCGCGGCUCUGCACUAUCUUCAACAUGGAAAAUCCUACAAUUAACUUUUGGUUUAAAGGCAAAGUGAGGUAUUCAAAACCAAAACAGAAAAGGAUAAAGAGAGCAUCUCGUGCUCAAGUGACCCAAAAUCCAGAUGGAGAGAUUGGACAACCAUGUAAAUUUUUAAUUCAAGACAAUGACAUAUAUGAUACCAUUAGAGUCAAGUCUCACUUACGAGAAGAGAUGUAUCUUGGAGCAUUUAUAUCUUGUUGACUCUACAUCUUUGCUCUACUAGAUAAGGACCUCCAUUAUAUUAAACUAUCUACUUUCAAAAUUACUAGUAUGAUGGCCGCCGGAUGUAAAACUUGCCUUGUUGUUCCUGUCUUUCCGAGUAUCUAUUGCAAAUUCAAUAAAAGUUCAAAUUCAUCUACCCCAAAGUGUACGCGUGCAUCUUUUUCAGUGCACUACGUGUAUGCUUAACUAGCGAGUUAUUUCUCUAUCCAUUAUUCAACUCCGAAUAUCAUGCCUGGACCAACAAUUGUCAAUUAUUCUGGAAAGGGUGUGCACAAUAUUUUGAUGAAAACAGUGCUUGUGACCUCAUUCAUCAAGGAGACAAAGUAACUUGGGGGACAACUUCUCUUGUGAAGAAUUAUGUGGCGUUGUUAUGUGGUGUUGACUCAAAUAACAAGUCUUCACUAGUGAAUCCGAUAUUUGUGAUAUCCAUAUCUUCAUUACCAGUAGGUACGUGAGUUAUUUCACAAGGAAAUUUGCGAGUAUCAUCCUUUGUUCUUCAAUAUCAUCAACUUGCGUUGUGUGACAUGAGACCACAUCAAUAUCAAAGAAAUUUUUAGACAUGAAUUCUUUUAAAAUGAUAGAAACUCGCGGCUUUUGGUUGAAUACUUGAUUUUCUUGAAGAUUAUGAUUAUUAUUAUUUUUCUCUAUGUUCUUCUCUUUUCUUUUCCAGACCAUUAUGCUUCUUGUUAAGGCCUUGUUUGCCUUAUUAGAUGGACGAGAGUUUCGUCUUCUUCUUCGCAUGAUCAGAGUCUAUCCUUCGUCAUCUACUUCUGAUUGUAAUGACUUAUUAUCUUCAUAUUCAUAUUUUUGAAGAGUUGAAAGGGCGAUUUUUUGUUCAACUUCUAUAGGAUCAAAUGAUCCAAAUUGAUUGGUUGGCAAUAUAGUUAUCGUAAACUUUUCGACUUCCAUGGACUGCAGUGAAGCAACGGAGGUUUGAUUCAUACUUGCUUUGUUUUUUUCAAGAAAUUUUUUUUCUUGUCUUGCCAAAUCCAUCAUCUCAUCUUUAAAGACAAAGCAUUUUUGAAUGGAAUGUCCAACCAAGCGAUGAUACUUGCAAUAAUUUGGAUUAUCAGUAUUCCUAAUCUUGUCAGGUCAGUUCAUCUUAGAAAGCAUGAUCAAGUUCAUGCUUAACAAAUUAUCAAAUACACCAGGAACAUUAGAAUCAAGGAAAUGGUACUCCUUGUCUUGCAUCUCCUUGAGAGUUGGUUUUCUCUUUCCUUACUCUUGAUGCGUACUAGUUUUCUUGUCUUCUCUCUUAGCAGUUCUGAGAAUAAUCUUGAAAGGUAUUAUACUUGCAUUUGUGGCCUCUUUCUCACUUUUGAUUGGGGGCUUGCCUCCUUUCCUCACUUGUUUCUCCUUAACCUUGCGAGGAUCAGGAACUAGCGACUCUUGUCCAUCAAGGUUAAUUUCUACCUUAUGAGUUUUUAUGGAUAAUUCAUCAAAUAUUUCUGGUUGUACACCUUGCAAGAUGUAUCUGAAUCCCCAAUGCAUGUCUUGAAUACACAUCUCAAUAGCGUAAGACUCGAAAAUUCGAUCCUUACAAUUUAGGCUCAGAUUUUUCGAGUGAUCGAUGAAGUUAAUAACAUGUUCAUUCUUUCACUGGCACGUAUUUUAGAGUUCAAUCAUGCUGACAGUCCUCUUUGUGCUAUAGGAUUAAGGAAUUCUUACUCUAAUUGUUCCCAACUGUCAAUGGUGCUAGGUUCUAAAUCUGUAUACCAAUCAAAGGUGUUACACUUCAAUGAGUGAACAAAUUGCUUAACUAGCAAGUCACCAUCAGCGCAACAUUGUUACAAGUUUUGACAAAGUGCGCAAUAUGUUGUUUAGGGUUACCCUUGCCAUCAAAUUAUUGAAACUUUGGUAAUUGAUAUCCCACGGACAUCUUCAAACUUUCACUCUUGUGGUGUAAGGUUUGGUAUAAUUGUUGUAUGACUUGGUAUUUCCACCAAUCUUAUCCUUGAUCGUACCUUUGAUAAAUUCUUUUAAAUUAUCAACAUGAAUAGUACUAUCAAGAGAGAUUGAAAACUCCUUCAUUGUUUGUGACUUGAUAUCCUCUUUCUCUUUCUCCCUUGAUGAUGAGUUACUUUCAUAUUUUUUACCAUGGCCAUUAGUUAGGCUAUUUUGGCAUCUUGACUUUGCACAUGCCCUGCUAGCCCUUCGACAAUUUGGCAAGAUUUGAAAUUUGAUCUUUCACGGUUGUGGUGUUAGUCAUCAUAAUGGGCAUUACCAUAGAAGUAGCUGUAUUGCUUGAGCUAUCAGCAGAUUCAUCAUGGACUUCCUUCUUGUUGGAAAAAAUCUCAAAAUUUUAUCUUUCAGCCACAGCAUUCGCCUUAACCCUCUCUAUUAAUUUCUUAGCCUUGCUCCUCCUCAUAGGUGCAAUAUACUGCAUCUCCUGAGUUGUUGGAAUGCCAGCAGCUGAGCCUUCAAGAGCAAAACUCACCUUCUUGGACUCCAUUAAUUCUUGAAAUAGGCAAGUUAUUGGAAGAAAAGAGAUGAGAGAUAGAGAUGGUUCCAACGGACGUGUCAUAAAAUUUAUAAGCAUAAAUUUUAUUGCCUAAAAUAAAGACAAGAAAAUUUGCAUAAAUAUCAAAUUUAUUAAAUCAAAUAAUAAGAGGGUUAUAAUUUUUGAAAAUUCCGGAAUUAAAGAAAUUAAUCUUCUGAUUCUUUUCUUCAAAAAACUUCAAUUGAAGGGCCGAAAAGACUUGUUUACCGAUCAAGAGGGUGUUUCCUACGAUUUUGACAUAGAAAACCGCUGAUUUGAUGAUGACGCUAAAUACUUGAUGUUGGAUUUGGGUUUUAUUCAACCAACCGUUCAUUUUGACAAAAUGAACGGUUGGUGGGAUAUAACUCAAAUACAAUAAAAUGAACGGUUAAUGGGAUAAAAUUCAAAUCCUACACUUGUAUCUUUAAAUCUUCAACAUCGACAGAAGAAGGAUUUAUUUAACUUGGUUUGGAUUUGAAUUUAAGGGAAAAAGCUCUCGAGAGAGAAUUUGACAGAAUUUUUUCGAAAUUUAGAAAUUUCAAUGUAUUUUUGCAUUGAGGGAAGACCUUUAUUUAUAGGUAAAAUAUAUAGACUAUGUUUUCAAGAAAAUUCUCCUGAACCUUCUUGCGUUUGGAUAACUUGUAACUCAAGAAAUCCAUUUAACUUAGGUUUAAAUAGUAGAUCUAUCCAAAUAAUUCAUUGUGAAUUAAUAAAUCAAUUAAUCCACUUUAAUUUAAAUGGGUAUCACAAAUUUGAUUUGAUUUAAUAGCCCAUCUAUCAUUGGUCUAAUUUGUCAAUCCAAAACAUAAUAGACUUCUAUAAUUUAAUUUAAUGUAAUCAAGAUCAAUUUAAUUUAUUUAAUCUUGACUAAAUAAAUUAAAUAAAUUUUUGUUGCCUACAGCAUGUACGUCUAAAUUUCCAAAUAAUGAUACUUUUCAAAAAGAGUUUUCAAAUAGUGAAAGUUCUAAAACAACGCAUUCACCGAAUGCGUGAAUGUGUCUUUUAAACAACGCAUUUAGUAAAUACGUUUUUAAGGAAAAAUGCCUAUACAAAUAAAAGAAUGAAUUCUGUGAAUGUGUCUUUUGAGGAAACAACACAUUUACUAAGUAUGUUUUUUCACUUUUUGGGAAGAAGUUUAAAAAACAUCACCCCUUUGAAAGGUACUUUUAGAAAAUCCCACUUUUUGAGAAUUUACUCAAGCUUGUACUUGACAAAAUGUGUUGGGAAAAUUGUGACGUCAUGUGAAUUGUAAAACUGUUGUGCCAUCGUAAUGUAUGUUUUGCACUAGAUUGAGUAAGAAUUAUAUCAAAACAGUCGCCCACAAUAUAGGAAUGUGAAAACUUUAUGUUGGGUGAGUUGUAAUAUUUAUGUAUCAUCUAACGUAUAUUUGCAAACGAUUGAGAAUAUAAUAUAUGGAAACAAUAGGUCACAAUGUUGAAAUGUCAUACCCCACGUUUCAAAACAAGUACUUAUUAAACUCCUCAUAUCGCCAACGAAUUUUGAUUCUGAAGUAAUAAUAGUUUUAUUUAAUUAUUUGCCUUUUUUUUUGGAACAAUAUUAAAAUGUAGCCAUAAAUUUAAAUUCCAAAAUUGUUGAAUACUUGUGGAAUUCUAGAAAUGGCACUGGGAGUCAAAGUUCACCUUAUUCAAAAGUCAGCAGCCAUCUCGGAGUGUGCACGUUUCUAUUGAGUUUCAGGUUCAAUAUGUAUCCAUUGCCAUUUUUGGCUGAUCAACCAUGACUAAGAGAAUUAAUUGAUUUGCUUGCCGUUUUUAAAAAAGGAUUCUGUACUUUUUUUUUUUCUCUUUGAGCAUCCGUAUCUCCACCCUCAAUGAAACUAAUCUAGAUUCAAUAUGAGGAGUGCCCGUAGAUGCUGACUCUUACUCGGAAGUGAAGACUUGACCCAGAACUUUUCAAGGCGUCAUCACAUGUAGGAGUCAAACUUACAAACUCCGUGAAUAGAUAAUUUAGCUCCAGUCUGUGGAAUGUCUUGAUGUUGGGUGAGUUGUAAUAUUUUGGUAUCAUCUAAUGAAAUUUUUGAAAGAUUGAGAAAUAAAUAGAGCAAAACACCAAUUUAUUCCCUAAAUUAUUUUGCUAAAAUCAAAAUAGUCCGUAAAAUUUAUUAUGAGUCAGUUUAGUCCCCCAACUAUUUUUACAAAGCUGAAAUAGUCCUUAAACUUUAUUAUGAGCCAAUUUAGUCUCUCUUUUUUUUUUUUUUUAAAAAAAAAACAAUUCCAUCUUUUUUAUUCAGAAAAACGUAACAUCACAACCUUUUACGUCGCUUACAGGGCAAUGCCCAUGUUUUUCACACCAAAUCCCUAGUUCCCUUUAUUCUUCUAAUGGAAGGUACUCCUAAUCUGUUAAGCCUAAUUUCCCCCCUGGCCAGCAACGGAAUAGUGUACCAACUGUCAUAAAUCCUAACCUCUUCUAGCGGGUGAGAAACCCCCUCAUUGGACAAGAUGUCAGCAACCUUGUUCGAUUCCCUAUAACAGUGCAUGAAAAUAGGACGUUCCCCCGCCAGGCUCAAUAUUUGCUCCACCUCUCUCUUAAUGUGCCAGGGGCAAUGUAGCCGCCCUUGUAAUAUCCCAAUCAACAGUAAUGAAUCAGCUUGUAUAGCCAGACGUUCAACUCCCUUCGCACGACAUAACCGGCUGCCAACCAAGGCAGCCAAUGCCUCUGCUCGUAGACUCGUGCCCUCUCCAAGGAACGCCGAGAACGCAAACACAGCAUGCCCAUUCGAAUCCCUGACCACCCCCUCCUCCACACACACCCGGAUUCCCCUUAGAGCAUCCAUCGGUAUUGAGUGUCAGCACCCCUUGGCCUCCCCCCUUCUAUCGGACAACUCUGAUAUUGUAAACAUAGGAUGGGUAAGAGAUCUUCUCAUAAAAUUGGGGGAAAGUCAGCAUACCCAACUCCUUCUGAAACCGAAUCUCAAACGCAGCUUUGACAUCGUGAGCAAUCAUAUUACAAAUACCUUGGUCUUGCGGCUGGAUACCAUCAAAGACCGCUCUAUUCCUGGCCUUCCAAAUAUUCCAGCAAAUGAGACUAGGGAGCACAUCCAACACAAACCUCUGCUGCCGAGACAACGCCGGGGAAAGCCACCACGUAAUCAAACGUGCAUGUACUUCGGAGCCCUGGACGACUACACCGCACAUGUUUUGGAAGUAACUCCAGACCUGGGAGGCCAGUUGUCCCGUGGAAAAUACAUGCUCGAGUUCCUCUCCUGUGGCAGGCACACAGCAGAAACAUUUGGACGGUAACUGAAACCCCAUCCGUCCCAGAAUGUCAUCUAGGGGCAAUCUUCUCAGUAGCAUUCGGUGCAUGAAAAAGGAGAUUUUCAAUGGAAUGCUAGAUUGCCAGAUUCUGGAGAAAGCCAUUGAGUUAUUCCGAACCUGGCGAACCUCUUGGUAGGCCGAUGCUAAAGAAAAUUUCCCUGACGUCGUAGGCAUCCAGACAGCUUCGUCAGGGAACCCCCUGCGAGGCACCGGGAGCCGUACCACAUUAGCAACACACUCCGGCGGUAAUAUUUGUGUCAGCCGAUAGAUAUUCCAGCUCCCAUUGCACACCAAUUCCGCAAAAGACACAUGCGGCGUAUCUGCCACUCUAAGGAACAGUGCCCCACUCCCCAACCAAUUAUCGUACCAGAAACUGCACUCCCCCUCAUUCACCAGCCAUAAUAUAGAUAAUUCUACAUGCCGGCUCACAUUUACCAUACGGCGCCACGUUGCCGACGCAAACGGAGCGAUGGUUGCUUGACAGGGGUGGAUCCCAUUACAAUAUUUUGCCCGCAUGAACUGAGACCACAAAGAUGAUCAUGUGCGCAAACACCACCAUAACUUACACGAGAAUGCGUUGUACACCUCCCUCACUUGCCGAAACCCCACCCCCCCUCUUCCACCGGAUAACAUAGAUUGGACCACCGGAUCCAGUGGUGCUUCACUUGCUCGUGCGAUGAGCCCCAUAAGAAAUUGGAACACAGCUUCUCAAUGCUUUUAAAUAUUACACCAGGGACCACUGCAGCAGAUAAGAGAUGAAUGGGCAUGGAUGUUAGGACGUGCUUGAUCAACACCAGCCUCCCUCCUGGGGAUAAUAGUUUCGACUUCCAUGAUAUAAUUCGGGCGGCAAUCUUAUGACACAUCUCCCCAUAAUAGGCCGAUUUGCACCUUCCCAGAUAUAGAGGGAAACCUAGAUAUCGAACGGGGAACUGCUGGCGGGAGAAUCCCGUUAUCCUCUCUAUUACCCUCCGGCGCGAAGGUGACAUAGAUGGGUGAACUAAGUAACUACACUUCUGGACAUUCACCAGCUGGCCAGAAGCUUGCUGGUACUGCUCUAAAAUCUGCAUGACUUUCUUCAAGGAUGUAGCCGAGCCAUUCGCAAAGACCAGAACGUCGUCGGCAAACGCCAGGUGUGUCACAGGGGGACAUCCCCUGGGUACUGUGUAACCCAAAAAGCCAGAUUGAGCUGCGAGACUGUUCAGCCCCCUUGACAAUACCUCCGCUCCAAUAACGAAUAAAGCCGGAGACAAAGGGUCUCCCUGACGGAUACCUCGACUAGAUUUAAAAAACCCAUGUGAUGCCCCAUUAAUAAUCACUGAAAACCACACGUUUGAAACCAACCUCCAGACCAUGUCAAUGAAUCGUUCCCCAAACCCAAAUUUGCGCAAGACACCGACAGUGAAACCCCACGAGACUCUGUCAUACGCUUUAGCCAUGUCUAACUUGAAAAUUACAUUUCCCCCUCUAGCCCGGUGUCUAAAUCCCGACAUCAAUUCCUGGGCCAGUAGAUAGUUCUCAGUUAUAUUCCUACCCUUGACAAAACCCGUCUGUUGCGGUGACACCAGUUUUGGCAAUAUCCCCACAAGCCUAUCCGCCAAAAUUCUAGAUAACACUUUAUUAAUAAAAUUGCAAAGGCUAAUAGGCCGAUAUUUCGAAAAGUCCUGAGGAUUUGGUACCUUCGGGAUUAGAACAAUAGAUGUAGAAGUAAUAAAUCUAGGCAGCUCCGCCCCACAGAAAAAACUCAGCACUGCUUGAUAGACAUCAUGUGCAAUAAUCUCCCAUGCAAAAGUGAAAAACUUACCUGUAAAGCCGUCUGGGCCUGCCGAACUGUCCCCAUCUAUAGCAAAGAUCACUCUUUUCACCUCCUCAAGGGACGGACAUGUUUCAAGUGUCUCAUUAUCAUCCCCCGUGACAACACGCGGAAUCAGGUGCAAUAAGUCCCCUGAUGCCCCUCCUGGCUCCGAGAACGGCUCCGAGAAAUACCGGACUGCCAUGGAGGCAAUCCCCUCAUCGUCCUCAACCCAUGCCCCACUCUCAUCCUGCAUCCUAUGAAUCGCCCCUUGCACCCUUCGUUGCUGUACGGUAGCAUGAAAAUACUUAGAGUUCCUAUCCCCGUGCCGGAGCCAUUUGACGCGAGUCUUUUGACUCCAAAAUCGCUCUUCGUUGGACAACGCCAGCCGCAAUUUUGCUUGAGCCUUUUGCAGCUCAAUUUGAGCGUCCCCCGAUUCAUCCUCCUCCACUCGAUUUUCCGCUGCUAACAAGUCCGAUUCUGCCCUUUGAACAGCAAUAAAAAUAUUUCCAAAAGCCUCCUUAUUCCACUCCUGUAUCACCCGUCGGGCCUUUACUAAUUUGGAACAUAACUUCCGUAGGGGGGAGCCCGUACACUCUAACUGCCAUGCAUUUCGAAUAACCUCCAGCAGAUCCUUUCUGUCUGUCCAGAGAUUCAAAAAGCGGAACGGCCUAGGCUUAUUAUCCAUGCGUGAUGCCAAACCAAUCCUCAGCGGGGCAUGAUCUGACGGAUGUCUAGCCAGAUGGACUACUGACACAGAUGAAACGGCAUCUGAGAAGAUUCCAUUAAUUAGUAGCCUGUCUAGACGCUUCCAAAUUCGUUCGCGGCCUCUCCGAUUAUUACACCACGUGUAGCUGGAUCCAGAGAAACCCGCGUCAAAGACCUCCGCCUCCUCCAUGAAUGACAGUAGCUCCAUACCCUCUGCUCUAGCAAAUGGUCUCCUCCCUCGCUUCUCGUGAGGGUCUAUGAUCACAUUAAAGUCACCACAGACACACCACGGAAGUGAGGUGGGUUUGUCAGUCAACAGGUCUUGCCAUAAAAUUCGCCGCUCCUCCAUCGUGCACCGGGCAUGCACAAACGAGAAGCACAGCGACCUUGGUAGCCACGGGUGAUGCACCAGUAACAUAAUGUGCUGUGAAGAAUUACCUAUUAUAGUACAUGUAAUCGGAGCACUAAACAGCACCCAUAUGUCUGCAGACAAGUUACCCACUACAGAAUCAAAUGGUAACCGCAUUUUAAUAGAAUCUAUUUGGGACAUUGCUAGCUUCGGUUCACAAAUAGCAACAAAUUUCAAGUUAUGCAAACGAACUAGCUUAAUCAGACGACGCAGGUUGGGGGGUUUGGAGACCCCUCUAAUAUUCCAAAAUAGCCCACUAAUCAUGGGAUAAAGGUUGGAAAGAGUUUUGAGAUAAUGUUACCGAUGACCGCAGCUGCCUAUCUGAUAGGAACUGAGCCCGAGCGCCUUUUUUCCUUGUUCGCCUAUCCCGUUGGACCAGUACGUCGGCUUGAUCGAUGUUGAGCUCCACCAUUAUGGCGGAUACCGGAUGUGCACCGCCGAUUAAGUCCUCCUCCUCAGCUGCACUUAAAGACCCUUGUUCAGCUAGCACCAUAGCCCCAUCCCCUAUAUCUUGCUCCUGCCAUUGCUGCUCAUUUGGGAUAUCAUCACAGGCAGUACCCGCAACUGCUUCGUUCAAGCCCUUUGAAGCAGAGUUGCUGCUAGUGCCGCUGGUGUCCAUCGCCCUCUUCUCUCCAAGUUCCGCUGCCUGCUCUCUUCCCCCAUUUGGAGCCAGCUCCACCACUGCCAAAUUAGCAGCUGCAACAUCCACCGUCCCCACCGUUGCUCGAUCCUCACUUGCUCCAGUUGCGGCAACAGAUUCUGUCAACCCAGAUGCUGGAGCGGUGACUGAUGCCCCAGGUGCGGCAACAGCCUCUGCUGCCUUUUGGACUCCUAACGUCUGCCCACAGUUAGGAUCAUCAUCUGCCAUCGCUGUCUGCAUUGUUGCAGCAAAAAUAUCUGCUGCACGUUGGGUCCCCAACACCUGCCCACCGUCUCUUGCAUCAGCAACCAUCACGUGCUGCCGCACCUCCGCACCCAGACAUUGCGCCUAACCUUUAGUCUCUCAACUAUUUUGUUUAAGUGAAAUAGCACCUAACCUUUAUUUAUUUGGCCAGUUUCGUCCUUGUUUGACUUAUCUACCCAAUUUAUCAACCUUGUGCACUAACAAUCAGGGGCAAAAUAAGAAAUUUAGUCAAUGCCCUUACAAAAAUGAUAGAAGAAAUAGAUAUUUGACAAAAAAUUAAAAACAAAAUUGAAUCAUGUAGAGAACAAAAAACAUAAUGUUUCUUACGGAGAAAAAAAUGGAGCUGAUGCCUAAAAUCUCACAUGGAUCCAACUCAGUCCAUUGAAUGGAGAAAAGGGAAAAUAACACAACAAGAAUAUGCUAAAAGUUGGAAAAAUGUGCUAUAAUUAUGAUUACUCCUUUAAGAAAUAAAGCUGAAAGAAGCUCAAUUUCUUUUUGUUUUCCAUAUUAUUCAAUUUCGUUGUCGAUUUUUUGAUAGAUGUAUGUUUUUUUAUUGUUUUAAUAAGGGCUGUGAUUGGAUUUCCUAUUAUGACAUUGGCUGUCGAUACUAAACUUGAUAAAUUAGAUGGAUCAUCCAAAUAAAGAUAAAAUUGGCUAUGUAAACAUUGGUGAGGGACUAUUUCAGCUUAAGAAAAAUAGUUGAGGGACUAAAUUGGCUUAUAAUAAAAUUAGGGACUAUUUCAGCUUUGUAAAAAUAGUUGAGAGACUAAAUUGACUCGUAAAAAGUUUAGGGACUAUUUUGACAUUAACGAAAUAGUUUUGGGACUAUAAACAUUAGGUCGCAAUGUUGAAAUAUCAAAACCCGUGUUUUGGACCAAAACUCAUAGAACUUCUUCACGUCGCUAACGAAAUUUGAUUCUGAAGUAAUGCUAAUUUUAGUUAUUAUUUGUUUCCUUGUUGGACUUCUGUCUUUUUGGUUACAAUAUUAAAAUGUAUCCAUAAUUUUCAAUUCCAAAAUUGUUGAAUAUUUAAACGAAUUCUAGAAAGGGCACUGAGAGCCAAAGUCUUAUUCAAACAGCCAGCCAUCUGAGAGUACGUAUUUUUUUAUUAUCAGGUUCAAUAUGUAUCUAUUGCUAUUUUUGAAUGAUCAGCCAUGACUAAGAGAAUGAAAUAAUUCACUUGUUUUUUUUAGAUAUGAAUUCAUUACUGUCAGUAGUCUAUAAAUACACUUAUUGCUCACCAUUCUUUGCACCGCAAAAUCUUUUCAAGAUCCAUCAAACCCUCCUGUUCUUGAUCUUGUCCAUUUGUGAAAACACAAAUUAAAGCAUCAUGGCCCCUAUCACUUGUAGUGCUGAGAUGACCUCCCCAAUCCCUCCUGCAAGGUUGUUCAAGGCCGCCAUCCUUGAUGACCACCCUUAAUGCCACAGGCUAUUAAGAGUGUGGAAAUCCUUGAAGGAGAUGGUGGAGUUUGAACCAUUAAGUUGAGCACAUUUGGUGAAGGUUAGAUGUCAUAUUAAUGUAGAACCCAAAUUUUAAGGAUCUAAUAAUAAUCAAUGCGUGCAGGGUUACAGAAUUGGUGGGAUAAAACAAAUACUCAAAAUAUACGUGGAAGAAAAGAAAAUAAUAAAUUCAACUCACAAUAUUAUUGAAAUUUCAAACAAUGAAGAAAAUCAUACCACAAUAAAUUCAGCUGGUUCUAAUAAUAAUCAAAGCAUACAAGGUUACAGAAUUAAAAGGAUAAAACAAACACUCAAAAUAUAUGUGGGAGAGAAGAAAAUAACAAAUUCAACACACAAUAUUAUUGAAAUCUCAAACAAUGAAAAAAGUCAUACCAUAAUAGAAAACCUUGCUAAUUCUUCUAGAUUCUUUCUCUUGAGAAACCAACCUAAAUAAUGUCCUAUUUAUAAUCUACCAAACUUGUUAGGAAAGAAACCACUUGCAUAAGAAAUUACCAAAUAAAACAGAAAUUCCUAAAUCACACAACUACUAAAAACAUAACUCAAAUAAAACUAAAAAUAAAUAAAUAUUUCUAGGCUUAGUUUAAUUUGUCAACAUUGCCUCCCUUAAACCAAACUAUCCAUUGAGAUAGGUUCAACACCUUCUUGAGCAAUAAUUUCUAUGUUGUAGUACACUUGACAUGAAACUCUAACUUGUUACCAGUUAUUAAUUUCAUUUUUACAUGUAACAGUGGACGCACUAUGUAUUUUGUAAAAAAUUUCUCAGUAAUUUCUUCUUGAUCAAAGUACUCACUUAUACAAACCCAUUCAUCACCAGAAUCACCAUAUUUGCCACCAAUGAAAGUGCCUAAAAAUACAAAAUCAUAGAUUGCUUUUUGGCUAAAAUUAUCAUCACCAAAUAAUUCAAAAUAACCACUACUACAAUCAUCCAAAAUUUUCAUACUGUCAGUCAACUCUUUUGGAGUAAAAUAUUUUUCAAUUCCGAUGACAUCCAUAUCUAUAAAAUCAAACAUUCUCCCAUCACUUUGAAGAGAGUCCGCAACCAACGAAUUUUUCAACAACAAUUUCAUGUUCUCUUCUCUUAUCAAAUCAAAAUUUUCUUCUUCUUUUGUCAAAUUACCAUAUUAUUUUUUUCAACAAAUUCAUUACUUCUAAUUUCUCCAAACAAGGUACGCAAAUCAAAACUAUCAAUUGAUUCAAAAUUUUUGAUAUCACCCAUAUUAUCAACAAAUCUAUCAUUUUUAAAAUCCACAAACUAAUUCCAACAACUAGAUUUCGGUUUGAAAGCAUAAUUUCUCUUAAUCGUGUGCAAAACAUAGUAAAUAUCCUUCCAAAAUCUCUAAAGUAUUUUAGUAUGACCAAUAAAGGCUUUAUAAAUACUUUCUGCCAUUAUUUUACGCAUCACUUGAAAGAAUAAUUGUGCCUUUUUCUUAAAAACAUGUUUUGCCAACAUACUUGCAUCAACCCAACAAAGAAUAUCAUCCAAAUUACAUUGUUUGACAUAUUUUUCCACUGUUAAAAUCCAACCAAAUAUGUAUGUCUAUUUGUGCUUAUAGGAGUCAAUAUGAAAAAUUUUUCACCGUCAAUCAGAUCUUUAUAAUAUUCUAUUAUUUAACAAUUUGUAUACCUGAAUAAAUUUUUUUCCUCCAUCCUGUCAUGUUUUCUUGGCCGUUCUGGUUGACUAAACAAAUUAUUGUUGUAUGUAUACCUAUGCUCGUCAAACCUCAUUCGUGUACACUCGUAAGGAGUGGUUCUGAGCUUAUUGUGAAUGCUCAGUACCAAGAAGUAGAAGAGAGAAUGCAUAAGAGAGAAUUAACUUGGCUAAAGAAUUAGGAAACAAAUGAGGGAUUUUUUAAGAAAUUAAUUCUCCAACUGCCACUUUUGGAAAUUUUCUAUCAACAACUAGCUACCAAAACACUAGCACAUAGUAAGAAAUUGGGAUAAUUUCAGAAACCUCGCUUGAGGCUUUUAAUAAUCUCAAGAAGCUCCCCUCAAAAUUUUAAAAUUACACGUACCAUUCCUAUUGGUGCAAAAGUACUCUACUACCCCUAAUAGGAUACUCAAAAGACUUUUUUAUGGGAAAAAAGAAGGCCAGAAAUCCAAGCGAAAACAAAAAAAAAUCAAUUUCUUUUCUCUUUUAGCCUUUUACGCUUGUGCCUUCUACCUUUGCUCACUUUCCCAUGCCAAUCUUCCUAUAACCACUUUCCUAAUCCCUUUUCCCCAACUUUUCUUCUCUACUUCAAGACCAAUUUUUGUCCAUCAACCUUGGCUUGUGCUUUGUUCCAUUCCCUUCCCUUCUCCUUCUUUGAUUUCCCUUACAUCUCCCUUUCUCUUUGCAAAAGUGACUAGGCUCAUCUCUCUCCUUUUUUUCCCCAUAUUUUAAGUGUAGUGGGUUUGAUUAUUUUGCCUCUAUUUUAUUUGAUUUUGGUGGAUUAUGGGUGAUAAAACUUGGUGAUGUCACAUAUUAAAAGUUUGAUAGAUGGAUAUUGGGCUUUAGACAAUGAUUUGCUGAAAAAAAAUGGCCGCAAUGAGAGGAAGAGGCAAGGGGAUUUGAGUGUGGGGGUUGAUUGUUGAUGAAUUGUUGUUUUGGACAAAAUUUGAGGUUGAGUUUUAUCAAAUUUGGUAGCAAGUGGCGAGAUUUGUUUAGGUUGCGGGAAAUAAAUUGGAUUGUGGUUUCUUGGGCAUCCACAGUCGUUGGAAUUGGUUUUGAUUCAAAUUAGGGUGGUUACUUGAUUUUCCUAAUAGUGUUGCUUAAAAGCACACGAUCAUCAAAAUUCCUUAUUUUUAUCUUUUAUUUUUUUUGUGGAAAAGAUUUCAUGACUUUCGUGAUAGUCUAAUUUGGAAGAAGGCAAUCAAGGGAUGCAAUCAACAUUUAGCAAAAGCUUUUGUUGUUUUCUUUGUAAUUUUUAGGGUAAAAAGGGUAGUUUAGGUUAUUUGAAGGAAAUGAUAGUCUAUUGGAUCUAUUUUGAAGCAUAAAUAGUGAACAUAAGGGAGGUUGGUGUUAUUUCUAAAAUCUAAGGGGAAUUGUCUGAAAUUGUCCGAGACCUCGGAGGAGGUUUUCAAAAUUAUCCGUAAGAAAUCAAAUGCGAAACUUGAUUAGUACACGCACACACGACACCGCACCACGCCACGCGUGUGUUGAGGACUGAUGUCCGUAACCAACGACAAGCAGGUUUUCAAUUUUUUUUUCCUUUCCUAGAUUCAAAGAUGGUGUCAGCUUCUAUUAUUGGUGAGCAGGAGGAAAUCCACAAUAUACAUUACACAUCACCCAUAUUCUUUUUAAUUGAACAAUGUAUGAAAUUAUGGUGAUUCGAAAUUAAAUUAUAUGUUUAUUGGGCAACGAAUCCAAAAUAAGAGUUGGAAAUGUAUUGUGACAACAAUUGUUAACUUUGGCCACAAAUGAUCAAAAUAAAUAUUUAAGGUUUAAUAUGACAUUAUGGGUUCAAAAUAUAGUUACUUGUUAUGAAACAACUAAAAGUGCGGAUGCCCAUUUGUAUUCUCAAAAGGAUCAAUUCACAAUUCAUUGCUCCCAAGAGGAUUAAUUCAUAAUUCAUUGCUAUAUUAUGUAAAGGAAUUACAUUGGAUGAACGGUUUCAAUCCAUAAGAGCUAUUCAUGUAUUGGAUGAACCAUUUCAUAUGGCUAUUUAUAUUCUUGUAGUAAUGAGUGUUUAAUAGAAUUGUUGUACCUCUAAUUUUGUAGUACCUAUAUAUAGAGGUACCUUAGCACCUCUUGGGUGUACUUUUUGAUUAGUUGGAAUAAUAAGAAAAUCAUUCUCUAUUUUUGUACUUCUUUCUCUAAUAUUUCAAUUCCUAUUAUAGUAGUUCAUUUUUUUUUUAGUUUUACAACACGUUAUCAGUACAAGUCUCUACUUUUGAACAAAAAGGUGAAAACGGAGUCUCUACCUUAAAAAAAAGUGAAACACGAGAUUCUGCCGAAAUUCUGCCCGUAUUUUUCCAGUAACUUCUGUCUACUUAUUGAGAAACGGAUGCCAAAUAUUUGGGAUUAAAUAAUGGUGAUGAUGACAUUUGUCUCAUUGAUAGUGCUACUACGCACACUAUAUUGAAAAAUAAGAAAAUUUUCUUGUAUGAAAAUGAGAGAGACAAAUGUUAAUACCAUAAGUGGUAGUGCAAAAUUGAUUGAAAGAUUCGAAAGAGCCACUCUAUUUCUUACUGAAGGGACUAAAAUUGUCGUAAAUAAUGCACUACUGUCUCCCAAGUCUCGGAGAAAUUUAUUGAGUUUUAAAGAUAUCCACGAAAACAGAUAUCAUAUCGGGACAAUAACUGAGACAAAUAAAGAAUUUUUAUUAAUCAAAAGUAUCAUUUCUAGGCAGAAAUACGUAGUAGAAAAAUUACCUUCUUUUUCUUUUGGCUUAUAUUAUGCACAAAUUAGUGCAAUUGAAAUUUAUCACCUAGUAGACCAGAAGUCUACUCAUCCCAAUAAUUUUAUCAUUUGACAUGAUCAUUUCAGAAAUCUUGAAUCUAUAAUGAUGAGACGAAUAAUCGAGAAUUCACAUGGUCACUCAUUGAAAAAUCAAAAGAUAUUAAAAGCAAAUGAAUUUUCCUGUGUUGCUUGUUCCCACGGAAAAUUAAUUAGACCAUCACCCGCUAAAGUUGGGACUGAAUCCCCUACAUUUCUAGAACGAAUUUAUGGUGAUAUAUGUGGAUCAUUUCGAUAAUUUAUGGUGCUAAUUGAUGUAUCAACUGGAUGGUCACAUGUAUGUUUAUUAUCUACUCCCAACCUAGUGUUUGCGAGAUUGCUUGCUCAAAUAAUUAAAUUGCGAGCACAAUUUUCAGACUAUCCAAUAAAGAAAAUUCAUCUAGAUAAUGCUGGUGAAUAUUCAUCACAUACUUUUGACGAUUAUUGCAUGCCCAUUGGAAUAACUGUUGAACAUCUUGUAACUUAUGUUCACACAUAAAAUGGUCUAGCCGAAUCAUUUAUUAAACGGGUACAAUUAAUUGUUAAACCAUUGUUGAUGAGGUCUAAACUACUUUCAUCUGCUUGCGAACAUGCUAUAUUACAUGCAGCAACACUUGUGAGAAUUAGACCGACAAGUUAUCAUACUUAUUUUCCCCUACAAUUAACUUUUGGUGAUAAAUCCAAUAUUUUUUAUUUACGAAUAUUUGGUUGUUCGGUUUAUGUUCUAGUUGCACUGCCCCAACGUCGUAAAUUGGGCUCGCAAAAAAGAUUGAAAAUAUAUGUCGGGUAUGAAUCACCUUUAAUUAUUAAGUAUAUGGAACCAUUGAUAGGUGAUUUAUUUACUGCGAGAUUUAUAGAUUGUUAUUUUGAUGAAUCACAUUUUUCAACAUUAAGGGGAGAUAAAAAUCGACCAAAAAAGGAAAUCACUUUAAAAAUAUCAUUGAAUUUCUCGAUUCUCGUACCGAAGUAUGUGAACUAGAAGUUCAAAAGAUUACACAUUUGCAAAAAAUUACAAAUCAAUUACUGGAUGCAUUUAAUGAUUCCAGAAGAGUUACUAAAUCACAUAUUCCUAUUGAAAAUGCUCCAAUUAAAAUUAAUGUCCUUGAAAGACAAAUUACAAGUGCUAAUGAGUCUAAAGUGCACCUGAAGUGUGGGAGAUCUCUUGGUUCCAAAGAUAAAAAUUCUCGAAAGAAAAGAGGAGCAUAUGAAUCAACAAUUAGUGACAAAAUUCAACCUCUUGAAGAGAUCGCUCCUAAAGAACCAAUUCUUGAGAAGAAUGAAAUCAUAGAAAAUUCAAUAAAUUUUAUCACUUCAGGAAAAAGUUGGAACCGAAAAGAAAUAAUUAUUAAUAGUAUUUUUGCAUAUAAUGUAGCACUUGAUAUUAUGGUAGAGAAUGAGGAUCACGAGCCUAAAUCGAUUGAUGAAUGUCGACGUAGAAAUGAUUGGCUAAAAUGAAAAGAUGCGAUCCAAUCUGAAUUGAACUCACUGGUUAAAAGAAAAGUUUUUGGACCUAUAGUCCAAACACCUGAAGGUGUAAAGCCAGUAGGAUAUAAGUGGGUAUUUGUGAGAAAAAUGAAAUCGUAAGGUAUAAAGUAAUACUUGUAGCCUAAGGAUUUUCACAAAGGCCUGGAUUUGAUUAUGAUUACACUUAUUCACCUGUAGUAGAUGCUAUCACAUUGAUAUUUUGUGAGUUUUGCAGUACAUGAAAAAUCAGAUAUGCAUCUAAUGGACAUCGUUACUGCAUAUUUAUAUGAAAAUCUUGAAAAUGAUAUUUAUAUGAGAAUUCUCGAAGGAUUCAAUAUGCCUGAAGCAUGCAAAUCAAAUCCUAAAAAUAUUUAUUUCAUUAAAUUACAAAGGUCUUUGUAUGAAUUCAAACAAUGUAAACGCAUGUGGUACCACCUCAAUGAAUGUUUAACUAAAGAAGGCUAUACCAAUGAUCCAAUAUGUCCAUGUGUCUUUAUAAAAAAAAUGGAUCAAAUUUUGUGAUAAUUGUUGUAUAUGUUGAUGAUCUAAAUAUGAUUGGAACUCCUGAAGAGAUUCAAAACAGUGUUGAAUAUUUGAAAAAAAAUUUGAGAUCAAAGAUUUUGGAAAAAUAAAAUUUUGCUUUAGUUUACAAAUUGAGCAUUUGAAAAGUGAAAUUUUUGUCCACCAAACUGCUUAUACCUGGAAGGUAUUAAAGCGAUUUUAUAUGGAUAAGUCACAUACAUUAAGUAUUCCAAUGGUCAGAUCAUUAGAUCCUAAUAAGGAUCCUUUAGACCGUGAGAGGAAGAUGAAGAGAUACUUGGUCCUAAAGUACCAUAUCUCAGUGCAAUUGGUGCACUACUGUAUCUUGCUAAUUGUACAAGACCUGAUAUAUCAUUUGCAAUAAAUUUAUUAGCAAGAUUUAGUUCCUCGCCCACAAGACGACAUUGGAAUGAUAUUAAACAUAUUUUUCGUUAUCUUUAAGGAACAAUUGAUCUUGCGUUAUUUUAUUCAAAUAAAUCUAAACUUGAAUUGCUUGGUUAUGCUGAUGUUGGAUAUUUAACUACUCUGCAUAAAACAAAAUCUCAGACUGGUUAUCUAUUUACAUAUGGAGGUACAACCAUUUCUUGGCGAUCUACAAAGCAAUUAUUAGCCACCACCUCAUCGAAUCAUGCUAAAAUAAUAGCAAUUCAUGAGGCUAGUCGAGAAUGUGUUUGAUUAAGAUCAAUGACCUACUAUAUCCGGAAGAGUUGUGGAUUAUCCUCUGAAAAAGAAAAUCCUCCAACUAUAUUUUAUGAAGAUAAUGCAGCUUGUAUAGCUCAAUUGAAAGGAGAAUAUAUUAAAGGAGAUAGAACGAAACAUAUUUCACCAAAUUCUUUUUUACUCAUAAUUUACAAAAGAAUAGUGAAAUUGAUGUGCAACAAAUCCGAUCAGAUAAUGAUUUAAUAGAUUUAUUUACUAAUGCAUUGCUGACUGCAAUAUUUGAGAAAUUGGUAAAGAAUAUUGGAAUGCGAUGACUAUAAGAUCUCAAAUGAUAUUUGCAUCAGGGGAAGAAAUCAAUACACAAGAAUAGUGUACUCUUUUUUCUUCACUAGAACUUUUGUCCCGUUGGAUUUUUUUCUAGUAAGAUUUUAAUAAGACAUAUUCUUUGUGUAAUGAAUAUUCAAUGGGGAGUGUUAUGAAACAACUAAAACUGUGGAUGUCCAUUUGUAUUCUCAAGAAGAUAAAUUCAUAAUUCAUUGCUUUCGAGAGAAUUAAUUCAUAAUUUAUUGCUACAUUAUGUAAAGGAAUUACAUUGGAUGAACGGUUUCAAUCCAUAAGAGCUAUUCAUGUAUUGGAUGAACCAUUUCAUAUGGCUAUUCAUGUUCUUCUAGUAACGAGUGUUUAAUAGAAUUGGUGUACCUUUAAUUUUGUAGUACCUAUAUAUAGAAGUACCUGGCACCUCUUGGGUGUACUUUUUGAUUAGUUGGAAUCAUAAAAAAAUCAUUUUCCAUUUCUGUACUUCUUUCUCUAAUAUUUCAAUUCCUAUUAUAGCAGUUUUUUUUUUUAGUUUUACAACAUUACUCAAAUAAGAGAGUUAUUGGACUACAUGUUUAUUGACCUCUACUAACUUAUUUAAGGUCAUUUUAUAUCACUAUCCAAAGAAGAAUUAAGGUCAUUUUAUAUCACUAUCCAAAGAAAAAUUCUUGGGCGUUAGCAUUUUUCUUACAUGCGAAGACUAUUAAUGAAAGUUGACCCAAAUCUCUCUGUCUCUCUCUCUCUCUCAAUUCUUAGGACUGAUGCCAAUUCUUACCAUUUAGAAAGAAAAAUUAGAUUGUUUAUAUAUAUGAUGAGUUCCCUCUAAGUCAUGGUUAAGAAAAAUUCUUAGUUAAACGUAGUUUUAUGAAAUGUGAAUUUCCUUUUCGUUGUCUUUAUUCAUUAGUAUUAUUGGGAUUAUUGUAUUCUAAUUGCAAUGCACAGAUACAUGGAUUUUUGACAUUUUUUCUUUUUAAUUGACUCUGACUAUGUCUCAAACUCGAGACAUCAAACCUGGAGACGACUUUUGUCCAAAAUGCUUGUAAAAAUUCAGAAGAAUAAUUUUGGACCUUAUUAUUUAAUAAUGGUAGAAUUAUGAGAGUCAUUCCUAGUUAAUUAUCAAACUUGGAACUUGAAAAAAAUGUCGACAUCAUGUCAUUAUUAUUUGUUUGUUUCAUAGAAAAAUAAAGCAUUCUCCGACUCCACAUUAUCAUAUUAUUUUCAAUUGGCAGCUUAAGUGAGAAAGACAGGUGAAAAUUUUGUGCAUUACUAAUUUAUUUAGGCCUCACGCGUCGCGCGAAUGUGCCCACAUCAUCUUCGCUGUAUUGGAGAAAUUUGAGCGCUUUGAUCAUAAGAAAUUCACAAUCACAACUGGCCACAAAGAAAGCACUAACUGGUUUAAACAAAGCAUGCAAAUUUCUUAAACAAUAGAUACCUAAACCAACCAUUUUACCGUCCUGCCAAAAAAAGGGCAUUAAAGUAAAAACAACCUAUGCCUAACACAGCUAACAAACUUCAGCACCUUCACUUCACUGCCACGUCAUCAACAACAUUUGCAAAUUUCCAAGGAAGUCCACGCACUAAAGGUGCCCAUGCCCCAUAGGUAGGGCUGUCAACGGUCCGGGUCUGGACCCGAACCCGACCCGGACCCGCCAAUAUUUGUCGGGUACGAGUAGGCAUAUAGUUCCGGGACCCGGACCCGGACCCGGAACCGUUUAACCUAAUAGAUUUGCGGGUAGAAUACGGAAUAUGCCGUUCCGACCCGUAUAGGACCCGACCCCGUUUUUUAAUUAAUUAAUAAUUAAAAAUAUAUACCCAAUUUUGUUCAACCCUAAAUCCCUAAUAGUCUAAUACCCACGUAACCCACCGCCGCCGCACUCUCUUUUCCUUUGCUCCUUACCCAGCCCCAGCGACCAUUUUUCUCCUCUGCCUCCCAACUCCUGAGUCGCGCCUCCACCACCACCACUCACCACUCACCAGAUCUGCAAUUUUUCAGGAAAUUGACUGAAGUUUGAGUCUGACCGAAAAGGACUAAACGUCUAAACCGAACGUCUUCAGUCUUCCUGGAGUUUCUGCUCGGCUGCCGCCGACUGCUUUUGCCGACUGCAUGUCGCAGCUAACGUGGCACACUACAAGAAAGUGAGAAGACUGCAGUUCGUGGACGCGAUUCCUAAAUCUCCUUCAGGAAAGAUAAUGAGAAGGCUCAUCAAGGAGAAGAUGGCAGAAAUUUAAAUAAGAAGAUGCGACCAGUGGGCGUUUUUGCUCAGAACCAACACGGGUUCUGUAGGAAUAAUCAAUUCCCUCCUCUUAGUCUUCGGUAACAUAUGGGCUGCUAUUCCAUUCUCACCUUUACUAUUGUGAUUGUAAUAAGCUAAUGCGAAAUUCACUUGGGUCGGUCCCAUGGAGAUAUUUUAAAUACUAGUACUAUGUCUGGCUUAAAGCAGUAAAGGCCUCAAAUAGUCACAACCACAGCACACCAGCAGUACUGCCUUUCACACGCCACGAGGUUAUCUCAUCUCGAAGAUCAACAUAGGUAAUUAAGUAGAGCUCCCAAAGUUUGCCACAGGUUUUAACGGGUCUGAUUGCCGGGUAGACCCGGCCCGGAUUCGGGACCCGUCGGAUACGGGUCCGAUGACCGAUUAAAAGAUCCGUCGGGUAUUCGGGCCGAAUCCGGAACUAAUCUAGUAUAACGGGUCCGGAUUCGGAUAUAUGCAUUCCGGCCCGGACCCGGCCCGUUGACAGGCCUACCCAUAGGGGACCUCAGGUUAGUCUUCUUAACAUCAACUCCUGUCUUUCUAUUCUUAGGAAAUAUUGAAAUUAAACGUUAUAACUAAUCCUGAUUUCCUUGUGCCAUAUUUGUACACAAUUUGGCAACAAGGGUAAAAAAAAAAUAAAAAUAAAAAGGUUUAUCUGCAAACUGUAGUUCGGCCUGGCUCUUUUUUUUUUUUUUUUUGGGGAUAAGAUCAUCUCAGCACCCGCAGACCCCGUCAUGUAUCAAUAUUUCUGUACUUAGCAUUGGCUUCUUCCGCCUGAAGAACACACGAACCACCGAAAUAGAUGGUGAAUGAAAGUGCACUUAACCCUUUUAAUUUUUCAAAACAAUUGCUUUUAGAAAAAAUAAUAAAAACUUUUUUGAAUUUAAUUUUAGAGAAGAAGAAUUUUAAACCUUUUUGAAUUUAAUCUUGGAGAAGAAGAAGUUUAAAACGUACUUUAAUUUUCACAACUGAUGAUGAAAAUAGCAAAAUGUUCACGGAGAGUGACAAAAGUGACAUCUUAUCUUUUUGCUGACUGCUCCGCUUUCCAAUGAGAGGGUCCAGAAGGGACCACGGGGAGCAGUUGCAGGUCCAAUCGUUUCUAGUGAUUUUGUGUAUUUUACACAUCAUGUAACUUUAUUUGUAUACGACGUAAUUUUAUUUGUACAACAUGUAAUUUUAAAAUAAAUUUUUGUGAACCCUACACACGUUAUUAAAAAUGAGGUACAAAAAGUAAUUUGGAUUGCAAAAAUUUUUUGAACCAAAUCUUGGCCGUGAACAGCUCAGGAACGAUCCAUCUAAUGAACGCUUCUGCCUCUUAUCCAUCCAGAAGGGGGUGCCUCUGCUUCAUAUUUUAUCCAUAUUGAUAUUUUUUUUUCCUGUGCCUCUAAGUAUUAAAUGUGAAAGGUUGCCCACCAUAUUUGACGAAACCGUUUAUCCUAAUUGAUUAUUAUCAACAGGGCAUAACUUUAAUAUUCUUCGUCCAACCCUUUCUGGUGAUUCCUGCAACUCCAGCCGUCCGUCAAUGACCAUAAAGCACCAUUAACCGACAACUAACUAACCACUACUAAUCUAUUCUCAAAUUUUAAUGAAAUUGCACAAUUAGUUUUCAUUUCUCACUUUUAUUUCAAAUUUGGUCUCAAUUUAAUGUGAACCCCAACAAAUAAGAUCGGAGUUGAAAUCAAAGAAGGUAUUUCAAUCACCAUCAGAUAAAUUCGUCAUAUCUAGUUUUGUUUUUGAGAUGCAUAGAAAAUGUAAGCUGAUUUUUCAAUCUACGAGAAAAACGAAAGUCUAAGAGAAUAAUUUUGUCAAAAUUUGACAAUGGAAUAACAGUUGUGAACGGGUGGCCACUGGUUGGCAGCUAGAAGUUAUAGCAGUUUUAAAACAUAAUUGGAGAAAGUAAAAGAUUAAAACUACGUUGUCUACUAUUAACGACUUACAUUGACAAAAUGGCUAAAGUUAGGGUUGAAAAAUAAAUUAAACUACGCGACAUUCGAAUCAACUUCGAUUGGUAAGAGUUUAUUUCAAUUUGGUUUGUUAACUAGUCAAAUCAAAUUUCAACAACAUUUUAUAGUCGAUAACUUUGAAACUUGAUAAAAAAGUCCGUUUAAACUCGAUUUAGUAAAUAAACAAAUCAAGUUUGAACAAUAUUUUAAACUCAUUAAAAUAAUUAAAUAUGUUUGAAUACUAGGGUAUUCGAUUUAAUUAGAUACGUUUGUACCCCUAAUUAAAGCAUGCACUUUUAUAAGUUUAGGAAUCAACAUUAUACAUUUAAUAGCUAGCUAGAGGGUCAAACAGUUAAUUGCCUUAAAUUCUUUUAGCAGCCAUAAGGUAUAGUUGGAGGGAUUCCCUUGAAAUUGGUUAGAUUCUUCUAUGUGACUAAAGAAUUUCGGGUGCGACGCAUUACUAGUCCUACCCUAAAAAAAAUGGUAUUACUAGUCCUUUUUUUCUUUUUUGGCGUGCCCCCGCCGUGGGAUGUGGGGAGGGGAGUCUGUGCGAGAAUUCUAGGUGGGGUACAAGGAGCCAAAGUUCACCUUAUUCAAAGUAAACAACCGUCCAUCUCAGUUGUCGACUUUCCUGUCGAUUGCGUAUAUAUAUUACUAUCUUUUACCAUGACUCUAGAGGAUAGCUAAUUUUGCUUGCUAUUAAAUAAUAAUUUCGGUAGUCUAUAAAUACUCUUGUUCCUCACCGCUCCUAGCACCACAUAAUUCCUUCAAGAACAGCCAAAACCUUCUUGAAAUCCCUCUUUUUCCUUCUAGUUCAUUUCCAAGAAACAAAUGGCCCCUGUCACUUCCAGUUAUGAGGUCACCUCCUCAAUCCCUCCUGCAAGGUUGUUCAAGGCCACCAUCCUUGAAGAGAAGCAUCUUCACAAGAUCUUGCCACAGGGUGUUAAGAGUGUCGAAAUCCUUGAAGGAGAUGGUGGAGUUGGCACAAUUAAGUUGACCACAUUUGUUGAUGGUAAGAUAAUCAAUACAAAGUGAUUAUUUUCACACAUUUGAAGUCUUCAAAUUGCUCCUUUUAUUUGGGAAAAACUAAUGACUUUUUUUUUUGGUUGCGUUAAAUAUUUAGGUGGCGAGCAUAAGACUGCCAAACAGAGAGUUGAUGGAAUUGACAAAGAAAAAUUUACAUACAGCUAUACUGUACUUGAAGCUGAUGGAUUUAACGAUGUAAUCGAGAAAAUCUGUUGUGUCAUCAAAUUUGAACCCUCUGCUGAUGGAGGUUCAAUCUGCAAAACCACUAACACAUACUACCCCAAAGGUGGUGCUCAGAUCGGUGAGGAACACCUCAAGGGAGGAAAAGAGAUGGGUUUGGGAAUGGUUAAGGCUGUUGAGGCUUACCUCCAUGCAAAUCCUACUGCCUACAACUAAUUAUAAUGAAUGCUACUGAAGGACUCUUCGACAUAUUUUCUUCAAGAUUGAAGUACACACUGAGGGUGUGUUUCCUUUUUUGCUUGGUUUGCUUUAAGCUGUUUGGUUAAGUUAAAAACAAAAUUGAAUCAUAGAGAGAACAAAAAAAAUAUAGUGUUUCUUAUGGAGAAAAAAAUGGAGCUGAUGCCUAAAAUCUCACAUGGAUCCAACAAGGAUAUGCUCAAAGUUGGAAAAAUGUGCUAUAAUUAUGAUUACUCCUUUAUGAAAUAAAGCUGAAAGCAGCUCAAUUUCUUUUUGUUUUCCAUAUUAUUCAAUUUCGUUGUCGAUUUUUGAUAGUUGUAUUUUUUUUAUUGCUUUAAUAAGGGCUAUGAUUGGAUAUCCUGUUAUGCCAUUGGCUGUCGAUGCUAAACCUGAUAAAUUAGAUGGAUCAUCCAAAUAAAGACAAAAUUGGCUAUGUAAACAUUGGUGAGGGACUAUUUCAGCUUAAGAAAAAUAGUUGAGGGACUAAAUUGGCUUAUAAUAAAAUUAGGGACUACUUCAGCUUUGUAAAAAUAGUUGAGAGACUAAAUUGACUCAUAAAAAGUUUAGGGACUAUUUUGACAUUAACGAAAUAGUUUUGAGACUAUAAACAUUAGGUCACAAUGUUGAAAUAUCAAAACCCAUGUUUGGGACCAAAACUCAUAGAACUUCUUCACGUCGCUAGCGAAAUUUGAUUCUGAAGUAAUGCUAAUUUUAUUUAUUAUUUGUUUCCUUGCUGGUCUUCUGUCUUUUUGGUUACAAUAUUAAAAUGUAUCCAUAAUUUUCAAUUCCAAAAGUGUUGAAUAUUUAAACGAAUUCUAGAAAGGGCACUGAGAGUCAAAAUCUUAUUCAAACAGCCAGCCAUCUCAGAGUACAUAUUUUUUUAUUAUCAGGUUCAAAAUGUAUCUAUUGCAAUUUUUGAAUGAUCAGCCAUGACUAAGAGAAUAAAAUAAUUCACUUGCUGUUUUUAGAUGUGAAUUCAUGACUGUCAGUAGUCUAUAAAUACACUUAUUGCUCACCACUCUUUGCACCGCAAAAUCUUUUCAAGAUCUAUCAAACCCUCCUGUUCUUGAUCUUUGUCCAUUUGUGAAAAAGCAAAUUAAAGCAUCAUGGCCUCUAUCACUUGUAGUGCUGAGAUGACCUCCCCAAUCCCUCCUGCAAGGUUGUUCAAGGCCGCCAUCCUUGAUGACCACCUUCUUCCCAAGAUCAUGCCACAGGCUAUUAAGAGUGGAAAUCCUUGAAGGAGAUGGUGGAGUUUGAACCAUUAAGUUGAGCACAUUUGGUGAAGGUUAGCAGUUAUAUUAAAUGUAGAACCCAAAUUUUAAGGAUCUAAUAAUAAUCAAUGCGUGCAGGGUUACAGAAUUGGAGGGAUAAAAUAAAUACUCAAAAUAUACGUGGAAGAAAAGAAAAUAAUAAAUUCAACUCAUAAUAUUAUUGAAAUUUCAAACAAUGAAGAAAAUCAUACCACAAUAAAUUCAGCUGGUUCUAAUAAUAAUCAAAGCAUACAAGGUUGCAGAAUUAAAAGGAUAAAACAAACACUCAAAAUAUAUGUGGGAGAGAAGAAAAUAAUAAAUUCAACACACAAUAUUACUGAAAUCUCAAACAAUGAAAAAAGUCACACCAUAAUAGAAAACCUUGCUAAUUCUUCUAGAUUCUUUCUCUUGAGAAACCAACCUAAAUAAUGUCCUAUUUAUAAUCUACCAAACUUGUUAGGAAAGAAACCACUUGCAUAAGAAAUUACCAAAUAAAACAGAAAUUCCUAAAUCACACAACUACUAAAAACAUAACUCAAAUAAAACUAAAAAUAAAUAAAUAUUUCUUGGCUUAGUUUAAUUUGUCAACAUUGCCUCCCUUAAACCAAACUAUCCAUUGAGAUAGGUUCAACACCAUCUCGAGCAAUAAUUUCUAUGUUGUAGUACACUUGACAUGAAACUCUAACUUGUUACCAGUUAUUAAUUUCAUUUUUACAUGUAACAAUGGACGCACUAUGUAUUUUGUAAAAAAUUUCUCAGCAAUUUCUUCUUGAUCAAAGUACUCACUUAUACAAACACAUUCAUCACCAGAAUCACCAUAUUUACCACCAAUGUAAGUGCCUAAAAAUACAAAAUCAUAGAUUGCUUUCUGGCUAAAAUUAUCAUCACCAAAUAAUUCAAAAUAACCACUACUACAAUCAUCCAAAAUUUUCAUACUGUCAGUCAACUCUUUUGGAGUAAAGUAUUUUUCAACUCCGAUGACAUCCAUAUCUAUCAAAUCAAACAUUCUCCCAUGACUUUGAAGAGAGUCCGCAACCAACGAAUUUUUCAACAACAAUUUCAUGUUCUCUUCUCUUAUCAAAUCAAAAUUUUCUUCUUCUUUUGUCAAAUUACCAUUUUAUUUUUUUCAACAAAUUCAUUACUUCUAAUUUCUCCAAACAAGGUACGCAAAUCAAAACUAUCAAUUGAUUCAAAAUUUUCAAUAUCACCCAUAUUAUCAACAAAUCUAUCAUUUUUAAAAUCCACAAACUAAUUCCAACAACUAGACUUCGGUUUGAAAGCAUAAUUUCUCUCAAUCGUGUGCAAAACAUAGUAAAUAUUCUUCCAAAAUCUCUAAAGUAUUUUAGUACAACCAAUAAAGGUUUUAUAAAUACUUUUUGCCAUUAAUUUAUGCAUCACUUGAAAGAAUAAUUGUGCCUUUUUCUUAAAAACAUGUUUUGCCAACUUACUUGCGUCAACCCAACAAAGAAUAUCAUCCAAAUUACAUUGUUUGACAUAUUUUUCCACUGUUAAAAUCCAACCAAAUAUGUAUGUAUAUUUGUGCUUAUAGGAGUCAAUAUGAAAAAUUUUUCACCGUCAAUCAGAUCUUUAUAAUAUUCCAUUAUUUAACAAUUUGUAUACCUGAAUAAAUUUUUUUCCUCCAUCCUGUCAUGUUUUCUUGGCCUCCCUGGUUGACUAACCAAAUUAUUGUUGUAUGUAUACCCAUGCUCGUCAAACCUCAUUCGUGUACACUCGUAAGGAGUGGUUCUGAGCUUAUUGUGAAUGCUCAGUACCAAGAAGUAGAAGAGAGAAUGCAUAAGAGAGAAUUAACUUGGCUAAAGAAUUAGGAAACAAUUGAGGGAUUUUUUAAGAAAUUAAUUCUCCAACUGCCACUUUUGGAAAUUUUCUAUCAACAACUAGUUACCAAAACACUAGCACAUAGUAAGAAAUCUGGAUAAUUUCAGAAACCUCCCUUGAGGCUUUUAAUAAUCUCGAGAAGCUCCCCUCAAUUUUUAAAAUUGCACGUACCAUCCCUAUUGGUGCAAAAGUACUCUACUACCCCUAAUAGGAUACUCAAAAGACUUUUUUUAUGGGAAAAAAGAAGGCCAGAAAUCCAAGCGAAAACAAAAAAAAUCAAUUUAUUUUCUCUUUUAGCCUUUUACGCUUUUGCCUUCUACCUUUGCUCACUUUCCCAUGCCAAUCUUCCUAUAACCACUUUCCCAAUCCCCUUUCCCCAACUUUUCUUCUCUACUUCAAGACCAAUUUUUGUCCAUCAAUCCUGGCUUGUGCUUUGUUCCAUUCCCUUCCCUUCUCCUUCUUUGAUUUCCCCUAUAUCUCCCCUUCUCUUUGCAAAAGUGACUAGGCUCAUCUCUCUCCUUUUUUUCCCCAUAUUUUAAGUGUAGUGGGUUUGAUUAUUUUGCAUCUAUUUUAUUUGAUUUUGGUUGAUUAUGGGUGAUAAAACUUGGUGAUGUCACAUAUUAAAAGUUUGAUAGAUGGAUAUUGGGCUUUAGACAAUGAUUUGCUGAAAAAAAUGGCCGCAAUGAGAGGAAGAGGCAAAGGGAUUUGAGUGUGGGGUUGAUUGUUGAUGAAUUGUUGUUUUGGAAAAAAUUUGAGGUUGAGUUUUAUCAAAUUUGGUAGCAAGUGGCGAGAUUUGUUCAGGUUGCGGGAAAUAAAUUGGUUUGUGGUUUCUUGGGCACCCACAGUCGUUGGAAUUGGUUUUGAUUCAAAUUAGGGUGGUUACUUGAUUUUCCUAAUAGUGUUGCUUAAAAGCACACGAUCAUCAAAAUUCCUUAUUUUUAUCUUUUAUUUUUUUUUUGUAGAAAAGAUUUCAUGACUUUCGUGAUAGUCUAAUUUGGAAGAAGGCAAUCAAGGGAUGCAAUCAACAUUUAGCAAAAGCUCUUGUUCUUUUCUUUGUAAUUUUUAGGGUAAAAAGGGUUGUUUAGGGUAUUUGAAGGAAAUGAUAGUCUAUUGGGUCUAUUUUGAAGCAUAAAUAGUGAACGUAAGGGAGGUUGGUGUUAUUUCUGAAACCUAAGGGAAUUGUCUGAAAUUGUCCGAGACCUCGGAGGAGGUUUUCAAAAUUAUCCGUAAGAAAUCAAAUGCGAAACUUGAUUCGUACACGCACACACGACACCACACCACGUCACGCGUGUGUUGAGGACUGAUGUCCGUAGCCAACGACAAGCAGGUUUUCAAUUUUUUUUUCCUUUCCUGGAUUCAGAGAUGGUGUCAGCUUCUAUUAUUGGUGAGCAGGAGGAAAUCCACAAUAUACAGUACACAUCACCCAUAUUCUUUUUAAUUGAACAAUGUAUGAAAUUAUGGUGAUUCGAAAUUAAAUUAUAUGUUUAUUGGACAACGAAUCCAAAAUAAGAGUUGGAAAUGUAUUGUGACAACAAUUGUUAACUUUGGCCACAAAUGAUCAAAAUAAAUAUUUAAGGUUUAAUAUGACAUUAUGGGUUCAAAAUAUAGUUACUUGUUAUGAAACAACUAAAAGUGCGGAUGCCCAUUUGUAUUCUCAAAAGGAUCAAUUCAUAAUUCAUUGCUCCCAAGAUGAUUAAUUCAUAAUUCAUUGCUACAUUAUGUAAAGAAAUUACAUUGGAUGAAUGGUUUCAAUCCAUAAGAGCUAUUCAUGUAUUGGAUGAACCGUUUCAUAUGGCUAUUCAUGUUCUUGUAGUAAUGAGUGUUUAAUAGAAUUGAUGUACCUUUAAUUUUAUAGUACCUAUACAUAGAGGUACCUGGCACCUCUUCGGUGUACUUUUUGAUUAGUUGGAAUAAUAAGAAAAUCAUUCUCCAUUUCUGUACUCUUUCACUAAUAUUUCAAUUCCUAUUAUAGUAGUUCAUUUUUUUUUAGUUUUACAACACGUUAUCAGUACGAGUCUCUCCUUUUAAACAAAAAGGUGAAAACGGAGCCUCUACCUUAAAAAAAAAGUGAAACACGAGAUUUUGCCGAAAUUCUGCCGUAUUUUUCCAGUAACUUCUGUCUACUUAUUGAGAAAUGGAUGCCAAAUAUUUGGGAUUAAAUGAUGGUGAUGAUGACAUUUGUCUCAUUGAUAGUGCUACUACGCGCACUAUAUUGAAAAAUAAAAAAAUUUUCUUGUAUGAAAAUGGGAGAGACAAAUGUUAAUAUCAUAAGUGGUAGUGCAAAAUUGAUUGAAAGAUUCGGAAGAGCCACUCUAUUUCUUCCUAAAGGGACUAAAAUUGUCGUAAAUAAUGCACUAUUGUCUCCCAAGUCUCGGAGAAAUUUAUUGAGUUUUAAAGAUAUCCGCAAAAACGGAUAUCAUAUUGGGACAAUGAUUGAGACAAAUGGAAAAUUUUUAUUAAUCACAAGUAUCAUUUCUAGACAGAAAUACGUAGUAGAAAAAUUACCUUCUUUUUCUUUUGGCUUAUAUUAUGCACAAAUUAGUGCAAUUGAAAUUUAUCACCUAGUAAACCAAAAGUCUAUUCAUCCCAAUAAUUUUAUCAUUUGGCAUGAUCAUUUCAGAAAUCUUGAAUCUAUAAUGAUGAGACAAAUAAUCGAGAAUUCACAUGGUCACUCAUUGAAAAAUCAAAAGAUAUUAAAAGCAAAUGAAUUCUCCUGUGUUGCUUGUUCCCACGGAAAAUUUAUUAGACCAUCACCAGCUAAAGUUGGGACUGAAUCCCCUACAUUUCUAGAACGAAUUCAUGGUGAUAUAUGUGGAUUAUUUCGAUAAUUUAUGGUGCUAAUUGAUGCAUCAUCUAGAUGGUCACAUGUAUGUUUAUUAUCUACUCCCAACCUGGCGUUUGCGAGUUUGCUUGCUCAAAUAAUUAAAUUGCGAGCACAAUUUUCAGACUAUCCAAUAAAGAAAAUUCAUCUAGAUAAUGCUGGUGAAUAUUCAUCACAUACUUUUGACGAUUAUUGCAUGUCCAUUGGAAUAACUGUUGAACAUCUUGUAACUUAUGUUCACACACAAAAUGGUCUAGCCGAAUCAUUUAUUAAACGGCUACAAUUAAUUGCUAAACCAUUGUUGAUGAGGUUUAAACUACUUUCAUCUGCUUGCGAACAUGCUAUAUUACAUGCAGCAACACUUGUGAGAAUUAGACCGACAAGUUAUCAUACUUAUUUUUCCCUACAAUUAACUUUUGGUUAUGAAUCCAAUAUUUUUCAUUUAAGAAUAUUUGGUUAUUCAGUUUGUGUUCUAAUUGCACCGCCCCGACGUUGUAAAUUGGGCUCGCAAAGAAGAUUGAAAAUAUAUGUCGGGUAUGAAUCACCUCUAAUUAUUAAGUAUAUGGAACCAUUGACAGAUGAUUUAUUUAUUGCGAGAUUUGUAGAUUGUCAUUUUGAUGAAUCAGAUUUUUCAACAUUAGGGGGGAGAUAAAAAUCAACCGAAAAAGGAAAUCACUUUAAAAAUAUCAUUGAAUUUUCUCGAUUCUCGUACAAAAGAAUGUGAACUAGAAAUUCAAAAGAUUAUACAUUUGCAAAAAAUUACAAAUCAAUUACCGGAUGCAUUUAAUGACUCCAGAAGAGUUACUAAAUCACAUAUUCCUAUUGAAAAUGCUCUGAUUAAAAUUAAUAUCCUUGAAGGACAAAUUACAAGUGCUAAUGAGUCUAAAGUGCGCCUGAAGCGUGGGAGAUUUCUUGGUUCCAAAGAUAAAAAUUUUCGAAAGAAAAGAGGAGUACAUGAAUCAACAAUUAAUGACAAAAUUUAACCUCCUGAAGAGAUCGCUCCUAAAGAGCCAAUUCUUGAAGAGAAUAAAAUCAUAGAAAAUUCAAUAAAUUUUGUCACUUCAGGGAAAAGUUGGAACCGAAAAGAAAUAAUUAUUGAUAGUAUUUUUGUAUAUAAUGUAGCACUUGAUAUUAUGGUAGAGAAUGGGGAUUACGAGCCUAAAUCGAUUGAUGAAUGUCGACGUAGAAAUGAUUGGCCAAAAUGAAAAGAUGCGAUCCAAUUUGAAUUGGACUCACUGGUUAAAAGAAAAGUUUUUGGACCUGUAGUCCAAACACCUGAAGGUGUGAAGCCAGUAGGAUAUAAAUGGGUAUUUGUGAAAAAAAAAUGAGAAAAAUGAAAUCGUGAGGUAUAAAUUAAUACUUGUAGCCAAAGGAAUUUCACAAAGGCCUGGAUUUGAUUAUGAUUACACGUAUUCACUUGUAGUGGAUGCUAUCACAUUUAGAUAUCUUGUGAGUUUUGCAGUACAUGAAAAAUCAGAUAUGCAUCUAAUGGACGUCGUUACUGCAUAUUUAUAUGAAAAUCUUGAAAAUGAUAUUUAUAUGAGAAUUCCCGAAGGAUUCAAUAUGCCUGAAACAUGCAAAUCAAAUCUUAAAAAUAUUUAUUUAAUUAAAUUACAAAAGUCUUUGUAUGGAUUCAAACAAUCUGAACGUAUGUGGUACCGCCUUAAUGAAUGUUUAACUAAAGAAGGCUAUACCAAUGAUCCAAUAUGUCCAUGUGUCUUUAUCAAGAAAAAUGGAUCAAAUUUUGUGAUAAUUGUUGUAUAUGUUGAUGAUCUAAAUAUGAUUGGAACACCUGAAAAGAUUCAAAAUAGUGUUGAAUAUUUGAAAAAAAAUUUGAGAUCAAAGAUUUUGGAAAAAUAAAAUUUUUCCUUGGUUUACAAAUUGAGCAUUUGAAAAGUGGAAUUUUGUCCACCAAACUGCUUAUACCCGGAAGGUAUUAAAGCGAUUUUAUAUGGAUAAGUCACAUACAUUAAGUAUUCCAAUGGUCAGAUCAUUAGAUCCUAAUAAGGACCCUUUUAGACCGCGAGAGGAAGAUGAAGAGAUACUUGGUCCUAAAGUACCAUAUCUCAGUGCAAUUGGUGCACUACUGUAUCUUGCUAAUUGUACAAGACUUGAUAUAUCAUUUACAAUAAAUUUAUUAGCAAGAUUUAUUUCCUCGCCCACAAGACGACAUUGGAAUGGUAUUAAACAUAUUUUUCGUUAUCUUUAAGGAACAAAUUGAUCUUGGCUUAUUUUAUUCAAAUAAAUCUAAACUUGAAUUGCUUGGUUAUGUUGAUGUUGGAUAUUUAUCUGAUUUGCAUAAAGCAAGAUCUCAGACUGGUUAUCUAUUUACAUAUGGAGGUACAACCAUUUCUUGGCGAUCUAGAAAGCAAUUAUUAGCCGCCACUUCAUCGAAUCAUGCUAAAAUAAUAGCAAUUCAUGAGGCUAGUCGAGAAUGUGUUUCGUUAAGAUCAAUGACCUACUAUAUCCGGAAGAGUUGUGGGUUAUCCUCUGAAAAAGAAAAUCCUCCGACUAUAUUUUAUGAAGAUAAUGCAGCUUGUAUAGCUCAAUUGAAAGGAGAAUAUAUUAAAGGAGAUAGAACGAAAUAUAUUUCACCAAAAUUCUUUUUUACUCAUGAUUUACAAAAGAAUGGUGAAAUUGUUGUGCAACAAAUCCGAUCAGAUAAUAAUUUGAUAGAUUUAUUUACUAAUGUAUUGCCGACUGCAAUAUUUGAGAAAUUGGUGAAGAAUAUUGGAAUGCGACGACUAUAAAAUCUCAAAUGAUAUUUGCAUCAGGGGGAGAAAUCAAUACACAAGAAUAGUGUACUCUUUUUUUUUCACUAGAGUUUUUGUCCCGUUGGAUUUUUUCCUAGUAAGGUUUUAAUAAGACAUAUUCUUUGUGUAAUUAAUAUCCAAUGGGGAGUGUUAUGAAAUAACUAAAAGUGUGGAUGUCCAUUUGUAUUCUCAAGAAGAUCAAUUCAUAAUUCAUUGCUCCCAAGAGAAUUAAUUCAUAAUUUAUUGCUACAUUAUGUAAAGGAAUUACAUUGGAUGAUCGGUUUCAAUCCAUAAGAGCUAUUCAUGUAUUGGAUGAACCAUUUCAUAUGGCUAUUCAUGUUCUUGUAGUAACGAGUGUUUAAUAGAAUUGAUGUACCUUUAAUUUUGUAGUACCUAUAUAUAGAUGUACCUUAGCUGAUAGGUUGCAAUUUUAUCAUUUAUUUUAUAAUUAAUUUCUCCUAUUACCUGACUUGAUGUGGAUUAAUUGCGGGAUUCUACUCACUUUUAGUAUUUUGCAUUUAUUUCAGGGAGUAGAGCGAAAAUAUAAUAACAGGUGCUAAUUUGACAAAAAAAGAGUCCAAGGCACAGAGCUUAUCCCGGGGGCAUUAUUGGCAAAGGAAGACUUUUGCCCAUUUUGGUAAUUUCAAAAGAAGAGAGCAGGGCAGAGGCCUCUAUUUUACUGGAGGCUGGAGCGCCGCACAAAGGGAGCUUCUUCUUCCUUCGGAGGCUCCGUCCUCUCCGCAAGGGGGCUGCCGCACACAGCAGCCAUUAGAAUAGGAGCAAUUGAUAUAUGACAGAGAAUGAGCACUAGCACCAGGGAGUUGCCUUUGUUGACUUUUCUUCCCUUUUAGUUCUUAGUAGUUGUUUUACCUUCCUCGUACGUAGGACCUUUAGCAUAGUUUCCUUUUGACUUUCCCUUGAGUCUUGGGUGGAUGUCUCCUGCGCAUGUCAGGAGCAAUUGAAGGUCUCGGUCACUUUCUGUAUUCUUCCAUCAACUGAGCGAACUGAGCUCCCUUGGUCAAGGGCAAUGGCUGCGGCUUCCUCUCCAACUUUGUGUGGGAUUCGUUCACCAGGAAUGAACUAAUUUUUCUUUUCUAGUCAAGGAACAACGGAGGUCUUGGUUGGCCUAAAUUUGUGAGAUCGAAUUAGUUUUUAUUUAUUUCCAUUAUUCACUGGUAUUUGUCUAUCUUCUGCUUUAUGUUCAUAUGGUUGUUUUAUUAUUCGAUUAUCCAGGGCCCGGAUACUAGAUUAAUUCAAUAACCUGAAGCCAAUUAGGAUAGUUAAAUCCGUAAUUGUUUAAUUAUUCUAAACUGCUGGCAACUGGCAUGAUUGGGUUUGUGUCAGGGGGAUAAACAUGCUAACUUAAAGAGACCCUCGUAGCGUGUUGAUUGGUUAGAAUUAGGCUCUUCUAAUUAUUCAUGCAAUUAGGGAAUUGAACUUCUAUGGUCGUACCUAGGGUUAUUUCCUGAUUAGAGAAAUAGUCAACGGUCGUACCUUGGCUAUCGACAAAUUGAGGAAGAGUUGGUUGUUUAUCGCGUGUAUGGCAACUAUAACUAAUUUAUCAGAUAGUAACUGGAAUAAUCCUUGCAUCUGUGAUCGAAUUAAGUGAACCAUCUCCGAAGUUGUCUCUUGGCUAGAGUUCGUCAAUUAUUAUUUUUAUUGUGAUAAUUAGUUAUUUGAGUUGUAGUUAUUUUAUUUUAUUUAUUCCAAGUAAUUUAGUUACUCUCAUUUUCAAAAACCCCCCAUAUCUGGAACUUGAGAAGAAAUUAAAUUAUCCCCAGUCCCUGUGGAUUCGACCCUGCUCACCGCUAUAUACAGAAUUUGUAUUUUAUUUGAGCAGGUAUUUAUUAUUGCACAGGUUCGGCACCUGUCAAUUUUUUGCUACAUUAUGUAAAGGAAUUACAUUGGAUGAUCGGUUUCAAUCCAUAAGAGCUAUUCAUGUAUUGGAUGAACCAUUUCAUAUGGCUAUUCAUGUUCUUGUAGUAACGAGUGUUUAAUAGAAUUGAUGUACCUUUAAUUUUGUAGUACCUAUAUAUAGAUGUACCUUAGCACCUCUUGGGUGUACUUUUUGAUUAGUUGGAAUAAUAAAAAAAUCAUUCUCCAUUUCUGUACUUCUUUCUCUAAUAUUUCAAUUCCUAUCACAGUAGUUAUUUUUUUUUAGCUUUACAACAUUACUUAAAUAAGAGAGUUAUUGGACUAUAUGUUUAUUGACCUCUACUAACUUAUUUAAGGUCAUUUCAUAUCACUAUCCAAAGAAGAAUUAAGGUCAUUUCAUAUCACUAUCCAAAGAACAAUUCUUGGGCGCUAACAUUUUUCUUACAUGACUAUUAAUGAAAGUUGACCCAAAUCUCUCUGUCUCUCUCUUUCUUUCAAUUCUUAGGACUGAUGCCAAUUCUUACCAUUUAGAAAGAAAAAUUAGAUUGUUUAUAUAUAUGAUGAGUUCCCUCUAAGUCAUGGUUAAGAAAAAUUCUUAGUUAAACGCAGUUUUAUGAAAUGUGAAUUUCCUUUUCUUUGUCUUUAUUCAUUAGUAUUAUUGGGGUUAUUGUAUUAUGAUUGCAAUGCACAGAUACAUGGAUUUUUGACAUUUUUUCUUUUUAAUUGACUCUGACUAUGCCUCAAACUCGAGACAUCAAACCUGGACACGACUUUUGUCCAAAAUGCUUGUAAAAAUUCAGAAGAAUAAUUUUGGACCUUAUUAUUUGAUAAUGGUACAAUUAUGAGAGUCAUUCCAGGUUAAUUAUCAAACUUGGAACUUGAAAAUAAUGUCGACAUCAUGUCAUUAUUAUUUUUUAGUUUCAUAGAAAAAUGAAGUAUUCUCCAACUCGACAUUAUCAUAGUAUUUUCAAUUGGCAGCUCAUGUGAGAAAGACAAGAAAUUCACAAUCAACUGGCCAAGAGAGUGCCAACAAAGAAAGCACUAAAUGGCUUAAACAAUGCAUGCAAAUUUGCUUGGCACUUAAACAAUAGACACCUAAAUCAACCAUGUCACUGUCUUGCCAAAAAAGGGCAUUAAAGUAAAAACAACUCAUGCCUACCACAGGUAACAAACUUCAGCACCUUCACUUCACUACCAUGUCAGCAACAACAUUUGCAAAUUUCCAAGGAAGUCCACGCACUAAAGGUGCCCAUGCCCUUAGGGGACCUCAGGUUAGUGUUCUUAACCUCAACUCCUGUCUUUCUGUUCUUAGGAAAUAUUGAAAUUAAACGUUAUAACUAAUCCUGAUUUCCUUGUGCUAUAUUUGUACACAAUUUGGCAACAAGGGUAAAAAAAAAUAAAAAUAAAAAGGUUUAUCUGCAAACUGUAGUUCGGCCUGGCUCUUUUUUUUUUUUUUUUUUUUGGGGAUAAGAUCAUCUCAGCACCCGCAGACCCCGUCAUGUAUCAAUAUUUCUGUACUUAGCAUUGGCUUCUUCUCGCCUGAAGAACACACGAACCACCGAAAUAGAUGGUGCAUGAAAGUGCACUUAACCCUUUUAAUUUUUCAAAACAAUCUUUUAGAAAAAAUAAUAAAAACUUUUUGAAUUUAAUUUUAGAGAAGAAGAAUUUUAAAAUUUUUUGAAUUUAAUCUUAGAGAAGAAGAAGUUUAAAAUGUACUUUAAUUUUCACAACUGAUGAUGAAAAUAGCAAAAUGUACACGGAUAGUGACAAAAGUGGGAUCACGGGCAGGAAAUCCUGAAGGUUGCGUGCAUUUUACACACGGCAUAAUUCUGUUUGUAUAUAGUGUAAUUUACUUUUUACAACGUGUAAUUUUAAAACAAAAUUUUGUAAGUCUCACACAUUUUAUUAAAAAUAAGGUACAAGAUGAAAUUUGGACCAUAUAAUUUUUUUUAAUCAAAUCUUGACCGUGAACUGCUCAGAAACGGUUUACCUGAUGACCGUCCCUGGUCCAAACCCGACAAAGGUGCCAUCUUAUCCUUUUACUGACUGGCCCGUUUUCCAAUGAGAGGGCCCAGAAGGGGUGCCUCUGCUUCAUAGUUUAUCCAUAUUGAUAUUUCUUUUCUGUCCCCCUAACUAUUAAAUGUGAAAGGUUGCCCACCAAAUUUGACGAAACCGUUUAUCCUAAUUGAUUAUUAUCAAUAGGGCAUAACUUUAAUAUUCUUCUUCCAACCCUUUCUGGUGAUUCCUGCAACUCCAGCCGUCCGUCAAUGACCAUAAAGCACCAUUAACCGACAACUAACUAACCACUAUUAAUCUAUUCUCAAAUUUUAAUGAAAUUGCACAAUCUAUUCUCAAAUCAAAUUUGAACAACAUUUUAUAGUCGAUAACUUUGAAACUUGAUAAAAAAGUCUGUUUAAACUCGGUUUAGUAAAUAAACAAAUCAAGUUUGAACAAAAUUUUAAACUCAUUAAAAUAAUUAAACACGUUUGAAUAUUAGGGUAUUCGAUUUAAUUAGACACGUUUGUAUCCCUAAUUAAAGCAUGCACUUUUAUAAGUUUAGGAAUCAACAUUAUACAUUUAAUAGCUAGCUAGAGGGUCAAAAAGUUAAUUGCCUUAAAUUCUUUUAGCAGCCAUAAGGUACAGUUGGAGGGAUUCCCUUGAAAUUGGUUAGAUUCUUCUAUGUGACUAAAGAAUUUCGGGUGUGACGCAUUACUAGUCCUACCCUAAAAAAAAAUGGUAUUACUAGUCCUUUUUUUCUUUUUUGGCGUGCCCCCGUCGUGGGAUGUGGGGAGGGGAGUCUGUGCGAGAAUUCUAGGUCGGGGUACAAGGAGCCAAAGUUCACCUUAUUCAAAGUAAACAACCGUCCAUCUCAGUUGUCGACUUUCCUGUCGAUUGCGUAUAUAUAUAUAUUACUAUCUUUUACCAUGACUUUAGAGGAUAGCUAAUUUUGCUUGCUAUUAAAUAAUAAUUUCGGUAGUCUAUAAAUACUCUUGUUCCUCACCGCUCCUAGCACCACAUAAUUCCUUCAAGAACAGCCAAAACCUUCUUGAAAUCCCUCUUUUUCCUUCUAGUUCAUUUCCAAGAAACAAAUGGCCCCUGUCACUUCCAGUUAUGAGGUCACCUCCUCAAUCCCUCCUGCAAGGUUGUUCAAGGCCACCAUCCUCGAAGAGAAGCAUCUUCACAAGAUCUUGCCACAGGGCGUUAAGAGUGUCGAAAUCCUUGAAGGAGAUGGUGGAGUUGGCACAAUUAAGUUGACCACAUUUGUUGACGGUAAGAUAAUCAAUACAAAGUGAUUAUUUUCACACAUUUGAAGUCUUCAAAUUUUUCUCUUUUUUUCCCUUUUAUUUGGGAAAAACUAAUGACUUUUUUUUUUUGGUUGGGUUAAAUAUUUAGGUGGCGAGCAUAAGACUGCCAAACAGAGAGUUGAUGGAAUUGACAAAGAAAAAUUUACAUACAGCUAUACUGUACUUGAAGCUGAUGGAUUUAACGAUGUAAUCGAGAAAAUCUGUUGUGUCAUCAAAUUUGAACCCUCUGCUGAUGGAGGUUCAAUCUGCAAAACCACUAACACAUACUACCCCAAAGGUGGUGCUCAGAUCAGUGAGGAACACCUCAAGGGAGGAAAAGAGAUGGGUUUGGGAAUGGUUAAGGCUGUUGAGGCAUACCUCCAUGCAAAUCCUACUGCCUACAACUAAUUAUAAUGAAUGCUACUGCAAGGACUCUUCGACAUAUUUUCUUCAAGAUUGAAGUAUAAACUGAGGGUGUCUGUUUCCUUUUUUGCUUGGUUUGCUUAAGCUGUUUGGUUAAGUUAUUCGCAGCAAGAGAAUAAAAUAAUUCAUUUGCUGUUUUUAGAUAUGAAUUCAUGACUGUCAGUAGUCUAUAAAUACACUUAUUGCUCACCACUCUUUGCACCGCAAAAUCUUUUCAAGAUCCAUCAAACCCUCCUGUUCUUGAUCUUUCUCCAUUUGUGAAAAAACAAAUUAAAGCAUCAUGGCCCCUAUCACUUGUAGUGCUGAGAUGACCUCCCCAAUGCCUCCUGCAAGGUUGUUCAAGGCCGCCAUCCUUGAUGACCACCUUCUUCCCAAGAUCAUGCCACAGGCUAUUAAAAGUGGAAAUUCUUGAAGGAGAUGGUGGAGUUUGAACCAUUAAGUUGAGCACAUUUGGUGACGGUUAGAUGUUAUAUUAAAUGUAGAACCCAAAUUUUAAGGAUCUAAUAAUAAUCAAUUAAUAAUAAUCAAUGCGUGCAGGGUUACAGAAUUGGAGGGAUAAAACAAAUACUCAAAUAAAUGUGGAAGAAAAGAAAAUAAUAAAUUCAACUCACAAAAUUAUUGAAAUUUCAAACAAUGAAAAAAAUCAUACCUUAAUAAAUUCAGUUGGUUUUAAUAAUAAUCAAAGCAUACAAGGUUAAAGAAUUAAAAGGAUAAAACAAACACUCAAAAUAUAUGUGGGAGAGAAGAAAAUAAUAAAUUCAACACACAAUAUUAUUGAAAUCUCAAACAAUGAAAAAAGUCACACCAUAAUAGAAAAUCUUGCAAAUUCUUCUAGAUUCUUUCUCUUGAGAAACCAACCUAAAUAAUGUUCUAUUUAUAAUCUACCAAACUUGUUAGGAAAGAAACCACUUGCAUAAGAAAUUACCAAAUAAAACAGAAAUUCCUAAAUCACACAACUACUAAAAACAUAACUCAAAUAAAACUAAAAAAUAAAUAAAUUUUUCUUGGCUUAGUUUAAUUUGUUAACAUUGCCUCCCUUAAACCAAACUAUCCAUUGAGAUAUGUUCAACACCAUCUCGAGUAACAAUUUCUAUGCAAAUCUAUGUUGUAGUAUACUUGACAUGAAACUCUAACUUGUUACCAGUUAUUAAUUUCAUCUUUACACGUAACAGUGGACGUACUAUGUAUUUUGUAAAAAAUUUCUCAACAAUUUCUUCUUGAUCAAAGUACUCAUUUAUACAAACCCAUUCAUCACCAGAAUCAUCAUAUUUACCACCAAUGUAAGUUCCUAAAAAUACAAAAUCAUUGCUUGCUUUCUCGCUAAAAUUAUCAUAACCAAAUAAUUUAAAAUAGCCACUACUACAAUCAUCCAAAAUUUUCAUACUGUCAGUCAACUCUUUUGGAGUAAAAUAUUUUUCAACUAUAAUGACAUCCAUAUCUAUCAAAUCAAGCAUUCUCCCAUCACUUUGAAGAAAGUCCGAACCAACGAAUUUUUCAACAACAAUUUCAUGAUCUCUUCUCUUAUCAAGUCAAAAUUUUCUUCUUCUUUUGUCAAAUUACCAUAUUAUUGUUUCAACAAAUUCAUUACUUCUAAUUUCUCCAAACAAGGUACGCAAAUCAAAACUAUCAAUUGAUUCAAAAUUUUCGAUAUCACCCAUAUUAUCAACAAAUCUAUCAUUUUUAAAAUCCACAAACCAAUACCAACAACUAGACUUCGGUUUGAAAGCAUAAUUUCUCUCAAUCGUGUGCAAAACAAAGUAAAUAUCCUUCCAAAAUCUCUAAAGUAUUUUAGUAUGACCAAUAAAGGUUUUAUAAAUACUUUCUGCCAUUAUUUUACACAUCACUUGAAAGAAUAAUUGUGCUUUUUUUCUUAAAAACAUGUUUUGCCAACUUACUUGCAUCAACCCAACAAAGAAUAUCAUCCAAAUUACAUUGUUUGAGAUAUUUUUCCACUGUUAAAAUUCAGCCAAAAUAUGUAUGUCUAUUUGUGUUUAUAGGAGUCAAUAUGGAAAAUUUUUCACCAUCAAUCAGAUCUUUAUAAUAUUCCAUUAUUUAACAAUUUGUAUACCUGAAUAAAUUUUUUUCCUCCAUCCUGUCAUGUUUUCUUGGCCUCCUUGGUUGACUGACCAAAUUAUUGUUGUAUGUAUACCCAUGCUUGUCAAACCUCAUUCGUGUACACUCGUAAGGAGUGGUUUUGAGCUUACUGUGAAUGCUUAAUACCAAGAAGUAGAAGAGAGAAUGCAUAAGAGAGAAUUAACUUGGCUAAAGAAUUGGGAAGCAAUUUAGGGAUUUUUUAAGAAAUUAAUUCUCCAACCGCCACUUUUGGAAAUUUCUAUCAACAACUAGUUACCAAAACACUAGGACAGCGAUCCGUCUCUAUUUUACUCUUCAAGUCUUCGCCGGGGAAGCAACCCGGCCUUGCGAGACUAUAAUGAAUAGGCACUUGCCUUCUGUUUUUACUUUUUUUUUGUUCAAAGACUAUAAUGCCCUUAUUAUUUGACUGCGCAUCUCGCAAGAUAAUGCUUUCCAUCAAAAUUAACUGUUGGGUUUGACAGAAGCGCCACGAAUAUUCUAUUUUAUUAGAUCCAGAGUCAAAAUUUUACCGUUAAUUGUUAGAGGGUUAAAACUUUAUCUGGAAAGGAGUUGGAGGGCCAUUGGAACUCUUUUUCCAAAAAAAAAAAAAAGUCACUUUUGUCAUUUGUCCAAGAACAGUUCUGGGGCCAUCUCGACAGUAUAUAUUUUUCUUACAUGCCAAGACAAUUAAUGAAAAUUGACCAAUAACACACGCACACACACACACACACACACACACUCUCUCUCUCUCUCUCUCUCUCUCUCGGUUGCUGCCAAGUCUUUCCAUUGAAAAAGGAAAAUUCAUAUUGUUUACAUAGAUAAAUUACCUCCAGUCCGUGGAAUGUCUUGAUGUUAGGUGAGUUCUAAUAUUUUGGUAUCAUCUAGAGGUGGCAAAUCAACCCACUUAACUAAAUUUACCCAUAUCCGCCCAUGAAUAGAUGGGUAUGGAUAUCUUAAAUUUUUGUAUAUGAGUAUAAAUGGGUUACCCAAUAAUACCCAUUUAAAUGGGUAACCCAUCAAACCCAAUUAACCCAUUUAGAAUUCUCUUCCCCUCAAGUCUCUUCUUUUCCCCCACCUUUUUUUUUUUCAAAUUUUUCAUUUUGUCAUGAUGUUAACUACUUUUGUUUUAUUAUUAUUAUUUGUUGGUUUUAUCUUAUUAUUUUAUUUUCUCUUAGUUUGUUAACUUACUCAUUUUUUACCAUUACCAAUUUAUGAUAAAUUUUAGCCUAUUUUCUUAUCUUUAUAAAAUGAAAUUUUAAAUUUAUAUAUGAAAAAAAUGUUAGGGGUUCAAAAAUUUUGGAUUAAGUUUUUAUAUUAAUUUUUAUAGUACUUAGUUCAAAAUUUUAUAUUCUUAUUAUUCAAUUAUUAAAUAAUAGGUAAUUUUGUGACAUAGAGUAUAAAUGAAAAAAAAUUGGUAAUUAAGUUUAUUGAACAUUAUAAGUAAAUAUUUAAAACUAAUGAUGGGUAUAAAGAGUGAUAUAAAUUGAUAACUUAGUUUGCAAAAAUGAAUUUAAAUGAGUUUGCAAAAAGUUAAAAUAAAUGGGUUAUAAAUGGGUAAUUGGGUUACCCAAUUCAUUUUUUGACUUGCCUAUUUAUACCCAUAUAAUUAAAUGGGUAUAAAUGAGUUGACUCACUUAUACCCAUUACCCAUUUUACCCAACUCAAACCCGCCCAAGUCACCCAUUUUGACACCUUUAGUAUCAUCUAAUGUUCAUUUGUGAAAGAUUGAGAAAUGAUAAAGAGCAAAACACCAAUUUAUUCCAUAAAUUAUUUUGCUAAAAUCAAAAUAGUCCAUAAAUUUUCUUUUGGCCAAAUUUUUGUCAUGAACUUUCAGAAACGGUUGCAGGGGAUUUCAUCCGGAUUGCUUGUGCAGUUGAGUAACUAUACAGAAAUUCUUUUUGGGAUGCUGAGUAUCUUAGGAUGGGUACAAUGAUCGCUUAGAUCAGUAGAGAUGAUUGAUGAUGUAGUAGGGGAAGAUUCCCUUUAUAAAGCUGAUUUUCUCAUGAUUAAUAAGAAUAUAAAUGUUACCAAAUUUUCUUUUCAAAUGUGUAACGAAAAUAUUGGCCAUGAUCAGCAAGACCUCCUUAAUUAUAAAAGUUUCUUGAAUGUCAUCAUCCAAUUUGUUUAAGCGAGGAUUUUUAAAUGCUAUCUUUAAGCAAAUUGAUUUUUGUAUUAUAGAUACUUACUACUAUUACUUCAUACCUAGCUACAAACCUCAUGUAUGUUUUAGUUUUAAUCCAGAACAAAUCAGGGCCACGGGCCACCUUGCACAUAGCGAGAGUGGAAAAAUAAAACUACACAAUUGCUUUUUUGAAGCCAGUGACUCAACUGAUUUUGCGCUCGGCAAUUCAUCCGAUUUUCAUUAAAAGGGCCCUAAGAGGCCAUUGGCGUUUUGGGCCUGUGAAAAUUUGGAUGAUUUGGUGUGUCCAAUGCAUGUGUAAGCACAAAUUUUGUUGUCUAAAAUAAAAGACAAGAAAACUUACAUAAAUAUCAAAUUUAUUAAAUUAAAUAACAAGAGGGUUACAAUAUUUGAAAAUUUUUGAAUCAAAGAAAUUAAUCUCCUAAUUUUUAUCUUCAAAAGGCUUUAAUCGGAAGGCCAAAAAGGCUUGUUCUCCGAUCAAGAGGGUGUUUUCUAUGAUUUCUAUGUAAAAAACGGCUGCUUUGAUGAUGACGUUAAUAUUUGAAUCUUUAAAUCUUCAACGCCGAUGGAAGGAGGAUUUAUUUAACUUAAUUUGGAUUUGGAUUUGAAUUUGAGGGAAAAAGCUCUCAAGAGAAUUUGACAAAGUUACUUUGAAAUUUAGGAAUUUUAAUGUAUUUUUGCCUUGAGGGAAGACCUUUAUUUAGAGUCAACAUAUGCAAGCUAUGUCUUCAAGAGAAUCCUUCAAAACCAUCUUGCGUUUGGGUAACUUGUACCUUAAGAAACCCAUUUAACUUGGAGUUAAAUAGUCGGCCGACCCAAAUAGUCAAUUGUGAAUUAACAAAUCAAUUAAAUCACUUUAAUUUAAAUGGGCAUCACAUUUUUUAUUUGAUUUAAUAGCUCAUAUAACAUUGGCUCAAUUUGUCAAUCCAAAACAUAAUGAACUUCUAUAAUUUAAUUUAAUUUAAUAAAAAUCAAUUUAAUUUACUUAAUCUUGCCUAAAAAUAAAUUAAAUAAAUUUUCGUUGUCUAUGUCCCCACUUCAAAACUUGGCAAGGCAUUGCAUGUUUAUUUGAAUUAACUUAAAACUUCUUAAUACGAUUCAUCUAAGCACCUUUAUAUAUAUAUAUAUAUAUAUAUAUAUAUAUAUAUAUAUAUUUAUUUAUUUAUUUAUAUAUAGAGGUACAGAAGACAUGUCUUUGUCUUGAAACUGUGACAAACAGGACACUUAAGACAAGGGCGUGUGAAGACUAUCGCACUAUUUGAGCGAAAAAAACCUGUUUUGCACGUAUAUUUUGAAGGUAAUCAUCUUUAUUGUCUUUUGACAACUUCAUGUUGGUCGAGUAUCAGAUAUUCACCAAAUUUUGUUGAAAUUUGUCAAAACUUGAUUUGUUUCCAAUUUGGAGAAAAAAAAAGAUUUUUUUCUUCGUUUCUGCAAUUUUCCAGGUCACUCUUUCCUAUCAACAUGUUACGAUUCAGAAAUUGAGACAAAUCUUGUACAUAGGAAUCUUUUUUAACAGCUGAUGGUUGGAAUUUAGCAGACACCUUGAAGUCAAAGAAGGCAAAUAGCAUUCCAAUAGCAUUAUUUGGUUGCAUGCCAUAUCCAAGAUUUUCACUAGUAAGCCACCAUUUUCUUGCUUUUGAUUGUUAUUCAUUCUCUGUUGCGCAAUUUUAUUUUCGCACAAUCUAUUUUUUUCGUUGAAUUUUCUCUUUUGCAAAACAGCGACCACCAAGGAAAGACAGAAAGAUUUUUUUGUUUUUGUUUUUGUUUUUGUUUUUGUUUUUUUUUUUAUGGUUGCACCUUGUGUUGGCACCCCUUAUUUGAAGCAAGUUGAUGUUCCAGUUGUGUUGGGGAUUUUAGGGCCAUAGCUCUUAGAACUCAAAAUACUAAUGUAAUUUCCGCACUCCAUGACAUUUACUUCUUGUCAAUGCCAAACUCUCCUCUUUUUUUUUGUGAUAUGAAAGGAAGAUCUCUCGUUGCAACAUAUAUGGUGGACACUCAAUUUGAAAGAAGGUGCAACCACCAACUUGCACGAGAGCCAUAUCAUGGUUUGAGGAGUAUAAUGAAAAUGAUGCAACUGCAAACUCUUAUGAGAGCCAUAUCAUGGUUGAGAAGUACAAUGAAGAUAGUGCAAUCAAAAAUUUGAAAAAGGUGCAAUCGCAAACUCCCAUGAGAGCCUAUCAUGGAUUGAGGAGUACAACGAAGAAUGUGCCACAAAAAGUUGAAAAAUGUGCAAUCGCAAACUCGCACGAGAGCCUAUCAUGGUUUGAGGAGUACAAUGAAGAAGGUGCAACUACCCACUUCAAUGAGAGCUUACCAAAACUCGAGAAGCCCUUUCAUUUAACUUCACAUUGACUAUUUAUUACUUCUCUCACUGUCUUCGAUCACACCAUUGUAAUCAAAUUUUUUUCUCUUGCUUUUGGUCCUAACGAAAUGGUGAUGGUCAAGGAAGUUACAUCUUCAAACAAAAGGCACCUCCUUAUCACUAAUAGCCAUGAUGACUCUGCUGACAAAGGAACGAAAUUAUUGGUGCAUCCCUCUAUACAAGAAAUUUACUCUGGUGAUUGGUUUUCUCACAAGUAUUCCGAAUUAAAGGAUUGGUCACUAAAAUUUUCUCAAGAUGAUGGUACGAAAGUUCACUCCUUGAAAUUCCUUAUCAUAAUAAGGAGCCAAGGACAAUUGGCAGGCGAAUCCUAGAUGAGACUAAGGGUGCAAACGAGGCAAGUCGAAUCGAGUUUUGAAGUUAUUGAGUCGAGUUACACUUAUUUAUAUGCGAGCUCGAGUUCGAGGUCGAAAAAUAGAGCUCGAACUCGGCUCGAUGUAGGAAAAGGAAAACUCGAGAUCGACUCGCUUAUGGCUCGCGAGUUUAGCUCGAAUUCUGGCUCGCGAGCAGCUCGAGUUUUGCUAGAUUUUCUGGCUCGCAUGAAGCUCGAAGUCAGCUCGAUUCUAGCUCGUUAGGAGCUCCAGUUCGAACUCGAAAACAGCUCGAUUUUCUGGAAAUUUAUGCAAGAAAACAGAAUUUUUGUCCGCAUAUUUUUGAUAAAAUUUGAGCAUGAUAACAAUAAGUUUUCACAUAUUCUUGAUCUUGAGGCCUACAAAUUAUGCACUAAUACAAUCAUAAAUGUCCAAAUGUCCACUAAUACAAAUUAUCCAAAUGUCCACAAAUGUCCACUAAUACAAAUUAUCCAAAUGUCCACAAGAAGUCUGAAGAAUACCAGCUUGUUGUCCACAAAAACCAAGGCAUGACAUGAAGCGAGAAUUUCCUGACUGCGUCCUGGAACUUUACUCAUUUCUGUCUCUAAUUCCUCAUGAUCAGUUAGUCCACCAACAUUGAACAAUAUGGAUCAGGAAUGGGGAAAAAUCACUUUCUAACACUCAAGAUCACAUACAACUCAUAUCCAACAAAUAUCCUGAAGUUUCAUGAGUAUAAUCACAUUAAAAGAGAAAAGGAUACUGACAAGCAUGCUAAUCAAACUCAAGCAGAAAAGGUACUUUCUCCUUGCCGUCUCCGACAUCCCAGCCAGCAAAUGGCUGGGGUUCGUGACAGCUGUUUGGGUCCAAUCCAUCUCCGGCAACAACUAUACCUUCUCCAAUUACUCCGACGCCCUCAAAUCACUCAUGGCCCUCACUCAGCUCCAACUCAACAACCUCUCCGUCGCCAAUUGAUGUCAUUAAAGCAGAAAAUCGGCCUGAUGGCCUCCACCAGCUGCCAUCCCUAAUCCAAGAAGGUCGAGUGUAGUAUGCUUAGGACCAAAUACAGAUGGAGUUCCCAACAUCAGUUCCUUCAAGCUAGACCCACCAUCACACGGCAGCCCUAGUCCUAGGCCUACUACCAAUGAUGCACUAUCAGACUCAAUUGCCCUCCCACUCUUCGCCCGGAAAGACAGUGGUGAAAAGAGGUAAGGAGGUGGCGGCAAAGAGCGACGGGUUAGCCAAAGUUAGAAGAUCCUCUUUUUCUAGAUUUGCAAGUUUCCUACUCUAGAGACAAAAAUGUCCUUGAUAUUUGGUCGUGCAUCUUACAAGAUAAUGCUUUCCGUCAAUUUUAACCGUUGGAUUUGACGGAAGGGCCAUGAAUAUGCUAUUUUAUUAGAUCGAGAGCCAAAAUUUUACCGUUAAUUGUUGGAGGGUUAAAACUUUAUCUGGAAAAGAGUUGGAGGGCCAUUGGAACUCUUUUUCCAAAAAAAAAAAGUCACUUUUGUCAUUUGUCCGAGAACAGUUCAGGGGCCAUCUCGACAGUAUAUAUUUUUCUUACAUGCCAAGACAAUUAAUGAAAAUUGACCAAUAACACACGCACACACACGCGCACGCACACACACACACACUCUCUCUCUCUCGGUUGCUGCCAAGUCUUUCCACUGAAAAGGAAAAUUCAUAUUGUUUACAUAGAUAAAUUACCUCCAGUCCGUGGAAUGUCUUGAUGUUAGGUGAGUUCCAAUAUUUUGGUAUCAUCUAAUGUUCAUUUGUGAAAGAUUGAGAAAUGAUAAAGAGCAAAACACCAAUUUAUUCCAUAAAUUAUUUUGCUAAAAUCAAAAUAGUCCAUAAAUUUUCUUUUGGCCAAAUUUUUGUCAUGAACUUUCAGAAACGGUUGCUUCCUGCAACCGUUGGUGAGGGAUUUCAUCCGGAUUGCUUGUGCAGUUGAGUAACUAUACAGAAAUUCUUUUUGGGAUGCUGAGUAUCUUAGGGUGGGUACAAUGAUCGCUUAGAUCAGUAGAGAUGAUUGAUGAUGUAGUAGGGGAAGAUUCCCUUUAUAAAGCUGAUUUUCUCAUGAUUAAUAAGAAUAUAAAUGUUACCAAAUUUUCUUUUCAAAUGUGUAACGAAAAUAUUGGCCAUGAUCAGCAAGACCUCCUUAAUUAUAAAAGUUUCUUGAAUGUCAUCAUCCAAUUUGUUUAAGCGAGGAUUUUUAAAUGCUAUCUUUAAGCAAAUUGAUUUUUGUAUUAUAGAUACUUACUACUAUUACUUCAUACCUAGCUACAAACCUCAUGUAUGUUUUAAUCCAGAACAAAUCAGGGCCAUGGGCCACCUUGCACAUAGCGAGAGUGGAAAAAUAAAACUACACAAUUGCUUUUUUGAAGCCAGUGACUCAACUGAUUUUGCGCUCGGCAAUUCAUCCGAUUUUCAUUAAAAGGGCCCUAAGAGGCCAUUGGCGUUUUGGGCCUGUGAAAAUUUGGAUGAUUUGGUGUGUCCAAUGCAUGUGUAAGCACAAAUUUUGUUGUCUAAAAUAAAAGACAAGAAAACUUACAUAAAUAUCAAAUUUAUUAAAUUAAAUAACAAGAGGGUUACAAUAUUUGAAAAUUUUUGAAUCAAAGAAAUUAAUCUCCUAAUUUUUAUCUUCAAAAGGCUUUAAUCGGAAGGCCAAAAAGGCUUGUUCUCCGAUCAAGAGGGUGUUUUCUAUGAUUUCUAUGUAAAAAACGGCUGCUUUGAUGAUGACGUUAAUAUUUGAAUCUUUAAAUCUUCAACGCCGAUGGAAGGAGGAUUUAUUUAACUUAAUUUGGAUUUGGAUUUGAAUUUGAGGGAUAAAGCUCUCGACAGAAUUUGACAAAGUUACUUUGAAAUUUAGGAAUUUUAAUGUAUUUUUGCCUUGAGGGAAGACCUUUAUUUAGAGUCAACUUAUGCAAGCUAUGUCUUCAAGAGAAUCCUUCAAAACCAUCUUGCGUUUGGGUAACUUGUACCUUAAGAAACCCAUUUAACUUGGAGUUAAAUAGUGGUCCGACCCAAAUAGUCAAUUGUGAAUUAACAAAUCAAUUAAAUCACUUUAAUUUAAAUGGGCAUCAUAUUUUUUAUUUGAUUAAAUAGCUCAUAUAACAUUGGCUCAAUUUGUCAAUCCAAAACAUAAUGAACUUCUAUAAUUUAAUUCAAUUUAACUAAGAUCAAUUUAAUUUACUUAAUCUUGACUAAAAAUAAAUUAAAUAAAUUUUCGUUGUCUAUGUCCCCACUUCAAAACUUGGCGAGGCAUUGCAUGUUAAUUGCUGGAGGCAAGACUUGAAGUAUUAAUUUUACUGCUGACCUAAAGUCAAACUAAAUUAAAGACUUCAAGCGUUCGGCAUACGGGUGAUCCACUUUUUUUUUUUUUUUUUUUUUUUCCUUUUUCUUUGGGAAGAGAAUGGUCCACAUCAAUUGUAGAAUUGCACCUCAAAGUCCAAUUGAAUAGGCAACGGUCACGGGUCUUCACUUUCACCUACUACUUGAAUAAAGCCUUGAAGCUCUUGAAUUUUCCAACUCUUAAUUUAGUCGUCAAUGGAAGUGCAGCCCCACAAUAUUAGACCGCAACUUUGACCCGUAGAAUUAGAAACCCCCGUUUGAUUAUGCGAUGUGGGCUCCUGCGCAGAAACUCCCAUAUGCUGAAAUUUGGAGUUUGCUCGUACGUUUCUGACCACCAAAUCUUGUUUUGGCACUUGGCAAUAUGGAAUUUGCUGAGUUUCAACGCUUCCUAAACGGAACUUUAAUGUAUUUCCAAAACCAAUGUUUGCAACUUCUGAAUAAGAAUAUGCCAAAUUUUAAGAGCUUCCCAAAUUGACUUCCAGCCAUUGAAAUUAUUCUUGGGAACCAAAUUCAAAUGAUUUCCAAAAAGUUAAACGAUAAUCACUGAAUUUAGUAUCUGUCCAAAACUUAAAACUUCUUAAUAUGAUUCAUCUAAGCACCUUUAUAUAUAUAUAUAUAUAUAUAUAUAUAUAUAUAUAUAUAGGUACAGAAGACAUGUCUUUGUCUUGAAACUGUGACAAACAGGACAUUUAUGACAAGGGCGUGUGAAGACUACCACGCUAUUUGAGGGAAAAAAAACCUGUUUGACACGUAUAUCUUGAAGGUAAUCAUCUUUAUUGUCUUUUGACAACUUCAUGUUGGUCGAGUAUCAGAUAUUCACCAAAUUUUGUUGAAAUCUGUCAAAACUUGAUUUGUUUCUAAUUUGGAGAAAAAAAAAGAUUUUUUUCUUCGUUUCUGCAAUUUUCCAGGUCACUCUUUCCUCUCAACAUGUUACGAUUCAGAAAUUGAGACAAAUCUUGUACAUAGGAAUCUUUUUUAACAGCUGAUGGUUGGAAUUUAGCAGACACCUUGAAGUCAAAGAAGGCAACUAGCAUUCCAAUAGCAUUAUUUGGUUGCAUGCCAUAUCCAAGAUUUUCACUAGUAAGCCACCAUUUUCUUGCUUUUGAUUGUUAUUCUUUCUCUGUUGCACAAUUUUAUUUUCGCACAAUCCAUUUUUUUUCUUUGAAUUUUCUCUUUUGCAAAACAGAGACCACCAAGGAAAGACAGAAAGAUUUUUUGUUUUUGUUUUUGUUUUUGUUUUUGUUUUUGUUUUUUUUUUUUAUGGUUGCACCUUGUGUUGGCACCCCUUAUUUGAAGCAAGUUGAUGUUCCAGUUGUGUUGGGGAUUUUAGGGCCAUAGCUCUUAGAACUCAAAAUACUAAUGUAAUUUCCGCACUCCAUGACAUUUACUUCUUGUCAAUGCCAAACUCUCCUCUUUUUUUUUGUGAUAUGAAAGGAAGAUCUCUCGUUGCAACAUAUAUGGUGGACACUCAAUUUGAAAGAAGGUGCAACCACCAACUUGCACGAGAGCCAUAUCAUGGUUUGAGGAGUAUAAUGAAAAUGAUGCAACUGCAAACUCUUAUGAGAGCCAUAUCAUGGUUGAGAAGUACAAUGAAGAUAGUGCAAUCAAAAAUUUGAAAAAGGUGCAAUCGCAAACUCCCAUGAGAGCCUAUCAUGGAUUGAGGAGUACAACGAAGAAGGUGCCACAAAAUGUCGAAAAAUGUGCAAUCGCAAACUUGCACGAGAGCCUAUCAUGGUUUGAGGAGUACAAUGAAGAAAGUGCAACUACCCACUUCAAUGAGAGCUUACCAAAACUCGAGAAGCCCUUUCAUUUAACUUCACAUUGACUAUUUAUUACUUCUCUCACUGUCUUCGAUCACACCAUUGUAAUCAAAUUUUUUUCUCUUGCUUUUAUUGCAAGUUGGUCCUAACGAAAUGGUGAUGGUCAAGGAAGUUACAUCUUCAAACAAAAGGUACCUCCUUAUCACUAAUAGCCAUGAUGACUCUGCUGACAAAGGAAUGAAAUUAUUGGUGCAUCCCUCUAUACAAGAAACUUACUCUGGUGAUUGGUUUUCUCACAAAUAUUCCGAAUUAAAGGAUUGGUCACUAAAAUUUUCUCAAGAUGAUGGUACAAAAGUUCACUCCUUGAAAUUCCUUAUCAUAAUAAGGAGCCAAGGACAAUUGGCAGGCGAAUCAUAGAUGAAGACACACACUGGGGUGCUUCCUUGAGAUUUAGUGAUGAAUUUGGUUAUAUCGAGAAUUAUUAGGAGCGGUUGGAAGAUAUUUUUGGAAAAAACAAACAAGUGUUUCGUGAAAAUUACUUGUUCGAUGUCUUAUAUGCUUCGCUUCUCAUAUAUAACAAAAAUUCUCAUGUGUUUAGAGCAUUUUGCGAGACAUGGUGCCUAAACACUAAUACCUUGCAUAUGUCAAUUGGAGAAUUAUCUCUCUCACUUUGGGAUCUGUGUAAAUUAGAAGGACUUCCAAUCAUCGGAUACAUCUAUGAAGAGGCGAUCCCAUGUGUAGAGGAACUAACUGGAGUUAAUGAAAAGAAGUUGAUGCAUAUUCCGCAAAAUUGUGAGUAUUUGUUCGCGGCUCUGCACUACCUUCAACAUGGAGAAUACUACAAUUAUGGAGUUUCUGCUAGCCAAUAGAUUAACUUUUGGUUUAAAGGCAACGUGAGGUAUUCAAAACCAAAACAGAGAAGGAUAAAGAGAGCAUCUAGUGCUUAAGCAACCCAAAAUCCAGAUGGAAAGAUUGGACAACCACGUAAUUUUUAAUUCAAGACAAUGGCAUAUAUGAUACCAUUGGAGACAAGUCUCACUUACGAGAAGAGACUUAUCUUGUAGCAUUUAUAUCUUGUUGACUCUACGUUUUUACUCUACCAGAUGAGGACGUCUAUUAUAUUAGACUAUCUACCUUCAAAAUGGCUAGCAUGAUGGCUGUCGGAUAUAAAACUUGCCUUGCUGUUCCUGUCUUGCUGAGUAUCUAUCACGGAUUCAAUAAAAUUUCAAAUUCAUCUACUCCAAGGUGUGCGCGUGCAUUUUUUUCAAUGCACUACGUGUAUGCUUAACUGGCGAGUUAUUUCUCUACCCAUUAUUCAACUCCGAAUAUCAUGCCUGGACCAACAAUUAUCAAUUAUUCUGGAAAGGGUGUGCACAAUAUUUUGAUGAAAAUAGUGCUUGCGACCUCAUUCAUCAAGGAGACAAAGUAACUUGGGGGACAACUUCUCUUGUGAAGAAUUAAAAUGAAUUUUUUGUUGAUGAUGGCAAGUUAGCGAACCCAGAACUGAUUUAUUUCGUAAGUGCUUGCUCAAAUUAUUUAGUCUUACAUGCUGAAGGAGAUUUUCUUGUUGAGCCAUACAGGUUUGCAAGGCAAUUCGAAUUUUAUCAAAACACCCCACAAGAACUGGGAGCAGAUGUUCAUUCUACAAAUUAUGACUUGAGUCAAAUACUUUGACACAUUGCUAUUCAUAAUAAGACAGAGUCGAAGGUAUUUUUUUCUAGUUACCCCUUGAAUGCUAACAAGCAUAUAUCUCCAGAUUUUCAAACAUGAUGUUUUGAUUAAGAGUGUCCAACCAAAUUUGAAACAGAAGAAAUCGAAAGGAAAGAAACUUGCAAAUUUGAAUAAUCCUGUCAAGGUUGGCAGUAAUCUUGAGGCGAAACAGAAAAUCACCAAGACUGUGAGGAUUGAGGAGAAAGCAUUGCAGAGCUCCAGCAACUCGUGAAAUUCUAAUUUUCAAUGAAGAAUUUUCGAAUGGUAAUUCAUUUUGUCUUCCUUCAAUAAUUGUAAAAGCCACCAAUCAUGAGUCUCGCAAUUCCAAUGAAAAGAAGAGGAGCAACUCUUUUGAUGAGAAGGAUGAGCAAUCUACUAGUACAGACUAGCACUAGAAGCAUAAGAAAUUCAAGGUAAUGACUUUCUCUUUGGAUGAUAUUGUUUUAGACCCUAAAGAAAUGUUUAAGGACAUUCUGGACAAAUAUGUGCUUGGUAUAAGUCAUGCCAAUAUUAUAAGAACAUUCUCUUGCCUUCUUUAGUUUGGCAUUUGAAAUUUACUUAUCAAUUUCAUAUUCAUGAUAUGUCUCAUAACAUUUUCCAUGUAGUUGAAUGAUCAAAACUUGAUUUUUAUUAAUGAUGGGAAAUCAAGCUAAGAAUUCGUUGAAGGACCCACUAUAUUUUAACUUUUAACAAAACAAGUGGUCAAUUCUACUCAAUAAAAGGGCAUCAUUGAAAAUUUCAAAAAGGCAGUGCAUGAUGAAAAUUCAGUUCAACAAAUCAUGCUACAGAAGAAAGAACAUGUGACUUCACCGGAGAAAAAAAAGUUCAAAAUUUUUGAUCCACAACCGUAGCCAAGGGCACCUCAAGUGUCUGAAUUUUGCCCCCAAACUAUGAUCUUAACAUGUCAUCGAGAUUACAUUCAAAUGCUCUGAAAUAAUUUGAAGGUGCUGAUAUCCGAAACAAUCCUGGAACGCAUUUCUGCUCUUAAGAUGAAAGCAAAUGAAAUCAUGGAGGAAAUGCAAAGUUUCAAUGCUAUGAAUAUUUCAAACUUGUAAGGCCUUUUAAAGCCUUUCUUUACAAAACCAAUUCGUUCUGUCGUAAUAAAGUCUUCUUUCUCAAAUAAAAUUUCAAUUGAAUCAUAUAAUGAGUUGUUUUCUAUAGCUACCCAACAUCUUAGAGAUGCUCAGAGUAAGGAGAAAUAAUAACUUAAAAAGUUCUCAACGUACAUGUUAAAAUUUAAAGAGAUUGACCAUGAGAAAAUAGAGCUAAGGAAAUGACUUGAAUCUAUGGGUACUCAUAGGAUGGAAAUACUUUCACUGCUACGAAAGAAACAAGACGAGCUUACCUAAAUGCAAGGCAAGAUGAUCAACUUAUGAAAUGAAAUUCAAAAGAUUGAAGAUUCCCUAUCUUUACUUGUUGAGGAGAGCCAAACAUUGAACAAAAUGCAAGCACUACUUGAAAGCAACUGCAAAAAACUGUCAUCAUUUGAACUUUAGAAUUAGUUACAAUCUUUUACUUUUUUCAAAUUUUAUUUAUUGUCACUUGCCUAUAUUAUAUAGCCACAGGCAUAAUUAAUUUUUUAUUUCACCAUGAAUCAUGAUUUUUUUUAUUUCAUGAUACUCUUGUGGAUAUUUCUUACUUUCCUUUGUUGCUUUCAUUAACCACCAUUUUAGACUAUCGAUUGCAAAAUAAACAAUUCAACAUUUGCAUAAUUUUAAUCACAUUUGAAGAGGUAAUUGUCUACAUAAUUUGAUAAUUUGAACAAUAUACUUUCAGGUGUAUGUUGCAAAGUAAUUUGAAUUGCCCUAAAGAGAAAAACUUUUUAUCUUUUAUUGCAUGACAUCUUUAUGGGGUUGUAACUGAAUUUCGAAGUUACCAUCUAAACUGUUUGCAUAUCCCAAAAGGGAAUAAAUUCACGUGUAGUUCCUACCAUCCACAGUUUAAUUUCUUGCAGGUCAGGAGUAUCUAUUUGCUUAUCACUUUAAACUUGGUGGAGUGUUUUAGUAGUUUAACCAUAUACUACACUAUUGGUGAUUGCCGUCCACAGUUUUAACUCAUAUGGACCAAGAGCAACAUGCAGUUUAGACUCAUGUGUCAUGAAACAACAUGCAGUUUAGGGUCAUGCGUCAUGUUGUCCUUUAUUUUUUUUAUGGCGUGUAUAAUCUUAAGAAAUUUUCAUUUAUGGGUCAACAUUUACACCAUUUUGUCAACUACCUUGUACGCGUUAUUUGUAUAAACAUUUCGGAUAAUAUAUGGUCCAUCCUAUUCGGAGACAAAUUUAUCUUUAGCAUGAUGAGUCAUAACUAUUGAUUUUCGAACGGCGAACACUAUGUCACCAAUUUGAAAGGAAUGAUGAUGAUAGCUUUAGAAAGGUAAGCCUGGUAGCAUUCAAGAUUUUGUUGAGUUUCCAAUUCCUUUUCAUCUAAAGUUUCUAAUUCUUUAAGAAGCAAGCAAAUAUUUUCUUUCUCCAUGAGCCCUUAUUGGAUGGCAAUUCUCAGAGAAAGAAUUUGUUGUUCAAGAAGCAAGACAACUUCUACACCAUAAACUAAGGCAUCAGGGGUGGCUUGCAUUGGAAUUCGAUAUGUGGUGCGAUAAACGCAGAGAGUUUCACCUAUCAUUUCAUGCCAAUCCUUCUUUGAUCUGGCCAUCACUUUUUUCAACAAGUUGCAUAGAGUUUUAUUGAAUGCCUAAACAAUACUGUUGGCAGGGACAUUAUACAUAAAGGACUUGCGAUGUUUGAAUUUAAAUUUCUCACACAACCUAUCCAUUAAACAGUUGAAGAAGGGUUUCCAUUAUCAGUGAUAAUGUGUUAGAGAAUUUCAUAACGAUAAAUAAUAUUUACACGAAUGAAAUUCACCAUAUCUUCUUUUCUCACUUGAGUGGUAUAGUUUCAUCCCAUUUAGAGAAGUAGUUGGUUGUAACCAAUAUAUAUAGAUGUUGUCCGAACGACUUAGGCAAUGGUCCAACAACAUUAAGGUCCCAGGCAUCAAAAGGCUAAGAAGUAAUAGUCAAAUGUAAUAGUUCGGGUAAUUGAUGAAUGUAAUUUGCAUAGAAUUGACAAGUUUGACACCUUUGAGCGUAUUCCAUACAAUCUUUGACCAUAGUAAGGCAAUAAUAGCCCAUCAUUUUAAUCCAAAAAUGCAACUUGGGACCGAAUUGGUGAGUUUGACAUAUUUCAAAAUGUGCCUCUUGCAUAGCUUGAUAUUCAUUAUCUUCAUUCAGACAGCGCAAGAAUACACUUUCAAAUGAUUUUUGAUAUAGCGUAUCUUUGUAUAAGAUGAAACGGGGGCACGACAAUAGAUAUCAAAUCUUUUAUGUUGCUCCUUAGGUACCUUUUGAUACUUGAUAUAAUUGAUAACAGGUUGUCUCCAAUCUUCUUUAUCAACUUCAUAAGUUGAGACGACAUAAGCAUCACCUUCCUCAAUAUUUUCAUUAUCAAAUAAUGGUGAAACUAUCCACUUUUGAUACACACGAACUUGUAUUUCAUAAUUUGACAUAGUCAGAGAAGAAGCAAGCAUAGCUAAUGCAUGAGUUUGCUUAUUUUCUCUUUUAGGGACAUGUUCAAUACUUGUACCUUCAAGUUACCUUAUAAGUUGCGUUGCAUUCUUGUGAUAUGGAAUUAAUUUAAAUUUUUUAACAUCAUAAUUUCCCAAGGGUUGACUAACGACUAAUUGUGAGUUGCCAUAGAUUUGAAACUCAAAUUAUUUCAUGUCAAUAGUUAUUUCAAGUCCGAAUAUGAGGGUUUGAUACUUAACGACAUUAUUUGAACAACGUUGAUUUAGAAUAAAGGAGUAUGGCAAAACUUCUUCAUCAGAUGUUGUAAAUACAAUUUUGACUCCAACUCCAUGACGAUGAGUAGCAGAUUUCAAUAAGGAGUACAUUUUUAUUUGGUAGAUCAUCACUUAACUCCCAUUCAACAAGUAUCGGGUGAUCAAUAAGAAAAUCUACUAGUACUUAACCCUUCACGGCCUUUUGGAAUACAUAAAUAAUUUUAAAUUAUUGUAACUAGGUACCAUUUAGCUAGACAGUUGGAUAGUGUUGGUCUACUUAUCACGUAUUUUAUGAAGUUUGCCUUGAAGAUGAGUCUCACACUGUGUGCUUGAAAGUAGUGUUUUAACUUCUAUAUUAUAAAAAUAAGAGUUAAACACAACUUUUCAAUCGGUGAGUAGUUUAAUUUAUUAGAGAUCAUCAUAAAUAAUAAAGGGCAGUUUCUUUCACUUCAUUAUUUUCUUGUGCAACCAAUACCUCCACUAAACGUUCUUGGGUAACAAUGUAAAGAAUUAAUGGCUUUCUAUAAAUAGGUUCAAUCAAGACAGAUGCCUUCAUGAGAUAAGAUUUAAUGCUAUUGAAUGUAUUGCUGUACGCUUCAUUCCAUUGGAAUGGUACACCUUUCUUCAUAAGGUGAUUAAAUGGUUGACACCUUUCAAUUAAAUUUGAGAUAAACCUCCACAGAUAGGUUAAUCGCUCUUGAAGGCUUUUUAUUUCUGAAUAUUGCGAGAUUCAGGCAUUCUCAAUAUAGCAUCAAUGUUGACUCGAUCAAUUUUAAUACCUCGAUGACAGACCACAAAAUCAAGAAACUUUCCUGAUGUAACUCUAAAUGCACAUUUGAGAGGAUUCAAUUUGAGUUGAUAUAUUUUCAACCGAUCAAAAUUUUGUUUCAAAUCCUCCAAGUGAUUAUUUCUUUUUUUUUUUAUUUAACAACCAAAUCGUCCAUAUAACAUUUAAUAUUUUUAUGAAGCAUGUCAUCAAAAAUAUUUUACAUUAAUCUUUGAUAUGUAGUUUUGAUAUUUUCAAACUAAAGGGUAUUAUGUUAUAACAAUAAAUACCCUUAGGAGUAUGAAAUCUAGUGAGUUAUUUAUCCUCAGGUGUUAUUCGAAUUUGAUUAUAGUUAGAAAAGCUAUCCAUAAACGACAAACCCUCAGACCCAAUAAUUGCAUUAAUCAUGAGUUUGGUGAUGGGUAGAGAAAAAUCAUCUUUGGAACAAGCACUGUUAAGAUCCCUAAAAUUUACGUAGAUGUGAAUUUGCCUGUUCUUCUUUCGUACAGACAUGAUAUUUGAAAUUCAUGUGAAAGACUUAAAUUCAUGAAUAAAUCCAUCAUCAGUGAAUUUAUUGAUUUCAACUUCGAUCAAAUAGACCAAAUCGGGUCUAAAUCACCAUUGUACUUACAUUACAGGUCGAACUCCCUUUUUAAUAGGUAAAUGGUGGACUGCUACUUUUGAAUUUAGACCUAACAUUUCUUUAUAAGUUCAUGUAAAAAUAUCUUGAUACUCUUGCAAGAACUCAACAUAUGUCUUCUCUUCAUCAGAAUUCAAUAAAGCACUUACCUAUAUAGGAUAUGGGUCCUGUGAAGUGCCAAAAUUGAUUUUUUAAGUCAUCUACAGUGGCCUUAACGCCUUGUUCAAAUUCAGGUGAAGCAUCUUCAACAUCUUCUUCUUCUCCAAGGGAAUUAUUAUCAAAUAUGGUUAUAUGGUUGUAUGAAACAAUACUUUCUUCAUCAUCUUCCUUUGAUCUUGUUUCUACAAUAGUAUGCUCUCUAACCUUUAGUUCAGUCCCAUAAAUUAUUAUAAGAUUUGUACAUCUCCUCAUUCUUGAGAGAAUAAUGUUACCAAACUUAUAAAUGUUAUGGGGACAAUCAAAAGAUUCUUCAAAUUCUUUCAGUGAUUUUGUCAUUCUCCAUUUAUUCUUAUGAGAAUUUUGAGACUUUUAUUUUCUUUGUGGUCCUAGUCUUUUGAAGACGAAUACUCACAGAGCCUUAUCCCUAUUUUUAUGAAAAACGUGUGACUUAUUGACUAUUUUAGAAGAUUCAUCUCUUAUAGCAAUAAAUUGACUACCAGCUCUAUUGAUUUUGAUGCGAAUUGGUACAGGUGAAAAAUAGUAAAGAUCAGAUUUAGAAUUCUUAACAGCAUAUCCUUUCCCUUUCAACAUCUUUUGAGUAAGGUUUAACCCAUAAGUCACAUCGCUAGUGGCUUGAGGAGGUUUCAAUACCAGAGAUUUCUUGAAAUCAUACCCAAUUUUGGUAAGAAGUUUAUAAGCAAUAUAAUCAAAAGCUUCAUUAAUUCUUGACGUCAGUAGCAUAUCUUGCUUGAUGUCAAACUCUUUAUUAAGAUGAUCAAACCCUUUGAUUAAAGGCGAUGGUAUAUUCGUAGCAUCAAGUUUAGCCACAGGAAGAGUUAAUCCUUUCAGAGUUUUGUGUGGAAUUGAAGAUGGUUGUCCUUGUCCCAAUCUUGACUUGGGAGGGUAUCCGAAGACAACUGAUUUAUUUUUUAACAAUGAGGCAUCAAUUUUUUUAUGAACUACCUCUUUUGAUUUUGGAAUCACCACUUUCUUCGUUUUGCACUUGAUGAUUCGAGAUCUUGGAUUUUAACCAUAGAUGGAGAUUGUUUAAACUCAUUCUUUAUGUUAUACUGAUUUAUUUUUUAACAAUGAGGCAUCAAUUUCUUUCUGAACUACCUCUUUUGAUUUUGGAAUCACCACUUUCUUCCUUUUGCACUUGAUGAUUCGAGAUCUUGGAUUUUAACCACAGAUGGAGAUUGUUUAAACUCAUUCUUUAUGUUAUAUUUUUGGAUAUAAAAUUUAGCAUUAGCGAUAUGCAUUUCUACUUCAGUGUAAAGAUUAUAAUCAGUUUUCACACUUUUUACCACUCCAUUUCGGUAAUACUUGAAAUAUUGGUGAAGAGUUGAAAGCACAACCCCAUUUUCAUGAAUCCAGGGUCUUCCCAGUAGCAUAUUAUUUAUUGUUUUAGUAUCUAUUACAUACAGUUGUGCUUUAGACAAUAUAUCAUCGAUAACUAUCUCUAAAUUUAACGAUCCAAUAGCUCUUUGCCCUCCUUGAUUAAGGUCUUGUAUUAUUAGUCAGCUUAUUGGAAAGUUUAUCAAUGGAGAUGCCAAAUUCCUUUAGAGUUUUUAAGACAAGGCUAUUGACAGCAGAACCUCUCUCUAUCAAAAUUUUAUUCACAUUUUAUUUUUUAGCAUAAACAGUUACAAACAAAGGACGGUUAUGUGAUGUUGACCCAAAAAACAAGUUGAUAGGGUGUUAAUUGUUAGUAAUUUUAUUGCUAUUUUUCCCCUUUGUCCUUGCCAAAUAUUAUUUUAAUUGUUAACAUAUACUUAUUUUUGGUAUUUGGACCAAUCUACAGGAAGUGGAACUGACAAAUGCUAAAAAGGAGAUUUUAUUGAGAAAAAUCCUUCACAUGCUAGAGCCUCCAGCGGAUAUACAAGUUGGGCCCACAUGGUGUUACAAAUUCGGUUGCUGAUGGGGAGCUCUUAUUAUUGGGAGUUGACUUGUACGUGUAGGAGUCCUCCUACCAAGAGGAAACAAGAAAAAAGGAAUUCGGCAGAGGCCCAUCUUUUGUACUUAGCUUUCUCAAUUCGGUAGGGACCAUGGACUAGAGGUUUUCAUUAGUGAUUGGACUUUAAAAGGGAAGAAACGUAUAGAGGCUUGGGGAUUAUUAUGAUUAGCGUAGCUUUAGUUUUAGUGGUUAGCUAGCGUUUCCUUUUCAUGCGCACGAGGUGCUCGACAAUAUUUUUCAACGGGAAAAAAAAACAUCUUUUACUCUUGCUUUCUAGUGAAAAACUUGAUGCCUUUGCAAUCAAUUAAUUUGCGUGGAGAUUUAAUUAUGCGGCGUGGCUAAGCCUUUUAUCUAGUCAAGGAUCAACUCGACGGCGCAGUCCCAAAUAUCUGUGAGAUCUAAUUAGUUUUCACGCGUUUCUUAAUUUGUUAAUAUUUGCAUGUUGCCUAUUUGAAUUUCCACGGGAUUAUUUUGUUAAUUGGAUAUCAAGAGCCCGAUGUUCAAUGUGACUUAUUAAUUUCCUGCCAAAUUAGUCAAUUAAAUCCGUAAUUGUUUGAUUGAUUAAUAUUAGUAGCAACUGACAUGUUUACACACUAGAAGAACGUGCAAUCUAAUUUAAAUAACCCUCGUAGCGUGUUAUUGAUUGGGAUUAGAUUUUUCUAGUUAUUAAUGCAAUUGGGAAAUUAAUUCAUACAGUUGUACCUAGGAGUAUUUUCUGGUUAGGAGUAAUCAUUGGUCGUACCUUGGUUAUCAAUAAAUUAAGGAAAAAUUGGUCGUUAGAAUUCGUCGGCGACUAUAACUAGCCUAUUAAUAAAUUAAGUGAACCUCCCUUGCAUCAAUGAUCGGGUAAGUGGACUGUGUCUGAGUAGUUGUAUUCUUAACUAAAAUUUAUCUAUUCUUGAUUUAAUUCCUGCCUAUAUUCGUGCUAAUUAAUUAUUUAUUUUUAGUGAAUUGCUUAAUUAUUUUUAGUUUUACUCCAAUAAAAUUCCUCUUUACCAAUUGGAAUCUCAAAAAGACAAAUAUUCUCAGUCCCUGAAGAGACGACCCUACUUGCCAUUGUCUACUAUUUAGUAAGUUUUGUCAACUAAUUAAUUUUGGUAUAUCGGAUUAAGCAAAUUUUUCGGGAACAGGGUGAAUUAAGUAACCUAUUGCACAUCUAGAGUCCCGGCUCUAAUAUCUAGGAUUCAUUAUUGACUGCUUUUAGUGGUAUUUAGGUUAUUAUUAUUAUUAUUGCACAGUCUCGACACCUGUCAAUUUUUGGCGUCGCUGCCAGGGACUGGCGUUAAUUAUUUGUUUUUUUAAGUUCAAUUUUGUUCUAAUUUUCUGGUAUUUUUUCUAAUUUAUGCAUCAUUCUUCUCGUAUAAGUGAAUUAAUUUUCGACCCUGAAGUAGAGAAGAUCGCGCGUAGAACGAGAAAAGAAACCAGACAAUUCAGAGAAGAGCACUCAAGUACUACAUCUCAGAGACUUGAGCCGGAAGUUGAACCGGCAAAUUCGUUUGGUAACACUUCGAGUGACUCGGAUCAAGAGAAACUCACCAUGGCAAAUGCACAAACAUUAAGGGAGUUGGCUGCUUCUAAUUUAAAUCAACAGCCUUUAUGCAUUGCUUUCCCAAGUUUGAAUGAUGACACCCUCUUUGAACUAAAAUCUGGUCUAAUUCAUCUCUUGCCAUCUUUUCAUGGUUUACCAGGUAAGGAGCCCUACAAACAUUUACAAGAGUUUGAUGUUGUUUGCAACAGUAUGAAACCCCCGGGAAUCACAGAAAAGCUGAUAAAAAUGAGGGCCCUCCCCUUCUCUUUGAAGGAUUCAGCGAAAGAUUGGCUAUACUACCUACCACCAGGUAGUAUCACCACGUGGGACCAGUUGAAAAAAAAAUUCUUAGACAAAUAUUUUCCUGCGUCUCGGGCCGCCAGCUUAAGGAAAGAGAUAUGCGGUAUCAAACAACACCCAGGCGAGUCUCUCUAUGAGUACUGCGAGAGGUUUAAGAAGCUGUGUAUCAAAUGCCCUCAGCAUCAGAUAAGUGAGCAACUGCUCAUCCAAUAUUUCUAUGAGGGACUACUCUUCACGGACUGGAGCAUAAUCGAUGUUGCCAGUAAAGGGGCGCUAGUGAACAAGACCCCUCGAAAAUCUUGGGAGUUGAUUGAGGGGAUGGCUGAAAAUUCACAGCAGUUUGGUGGGCAGUGGCGAUGGCGAAGGCUCGCGGGGGUGGAAGAGCCGUUGGCGCGACUGGGGCCGCGCGGCUGCUAGAAUCUAGUUGCAUCAGUCUCUGUGGUCCUUGGGAUCUUUGAUUCGGCUGUUCCAUAGCUUGUCGAUCCUUUGUUGCAUCCCUGUAGGCAUUGUAAUUCCUGUUGAUUGAGUUGUUAUCUAGUUUUUGAGGGCACCUCUAGUAGUUCCUUUAUUUGGGAGUUAUUUGGGGUUGAGUUGGGAGUUAUUGGCCAAUUGAUUCCUAUUUUGCUUUCGUCCUGUUUCUGGUACUGUAUGGUUUUGAUUGGGGGGUGUCUCAGUGGUUUGGGUUGCCUGUUUGAAUUGGUUCUUACCUGUGUGUGCACCAGUGGUACUGGUUGUGUUGGGAAUCCGUGACUGAUUUGUUCUUGUCCAAUUGAAGCCAUUUUGAGCAAUUUUGGGGUGAACACAUUUUGUCAUUAAUUGUUGAUUGUUGGGGGACGUUUUUGGUAACACUUGAGUUGAUAGGGUGUUAAUUAUUGGUUAUUUUAUUAUUAAUCUCCCUUUUUAUUCUUGCCAAAUAUUGCUUAAUUGUUAAUAUUUACUCAUAUUUGGUAUCUGGACUUAAUUUCAGGAAUGAAGUAGAAAACUACCAAAAAGGAGGGAUUUUAUGGAGAAUAUGGAAACUUCUAAGGGCUUCAAUUCUUGGGCCCUUGAAUUGGUGGGGACCACAAGCUAGUGAAAGGCAUUUAGUCAUUUGAGCUCUUCAAAAGAAGCUACGUAUAUUUUAUUUUAUUUUAUUUUAUUUAUUUUAUUUAUCUCUUAUUUUUUUUUAUAUAGUUUAUGGCUUCUAACACUUCGUAUUUUGGUGAUAUACUGGAUUUUGUUUCCGGGAAAGGCAAUGUGACUAGUUUUUUUGCUAAGUCUGCAUAUGCAGAGGCACUAAACUCUAUUAGAGAAAGAAUGGCUGCUGCAACCUGUAAAAUUUGUUAUACCAGGGAUCAUUCAACCGGUAUGUGCCCCGAAUAUCAAGAUAAUCUGAGUGUCCCAUUCGAUAAUUAUGGAGAAUUUUCACCCUGGUCUCAAACGUGGUACGACCCUAAUCCAAACGGGUAUGAUCAAGGAUGGUGGGAUAACUCCAAUUAUAAUUAUACAACGGGACCAAUGAAUUUUCAGCAGUAUGAGUCUCAAGAAUCGUCAUCUAUGUCAGGUAUGUCUCUUGAAGAAAUAGUUGAACCAAUAGCUACUAACACAUACCAAUUCCAACAGGAGACACAAAUGAGGAAUGAGAUGAUGAAGGAUGCAAUGAGUUAUCUGGCAGAUCAACUAUGUCUAUUGACAUCCAGAAUAAAUCGAUGGGCUUCUCAAAUGGAAGAACUGCCCUCGAAAACCAUUGUUGACCUAGAAGAAAAUGAGAGUGCAAUUUGCUUGACUAGUGAUGAGGAGAUGCAAGAGUGUCAAAAUGAAAAAUCUACAGAUACAGUUGAAAAAGAAGCCGAAAAGGAAGAAAUGGAACCCCAACCGCAACCCAUUCAAGUGAAAGAAUCCAGUGAAGAAUCAUCAAAUGUGGUGACACCACCUCCAUUCCCUAACCCGCAUUUUUUCUAACUCUUACUCUAUGAUUUCUGUUAAUGAGAUUGAUUUUGUUAUACCGGAAGUUUUUGAGUCUCAUGGCAGAAAUAAGUUGAGAGUGGAGAUGGCGAAAUAUCUUGAACCGUUGAAUGCUCUUGAUGGAGGAAUGGAUGAAGAAUUGCGAUCAAUGCUUGAUUAUGUGGCGCCAUCAACUAGUCCAUGGAAGCCCGUGGUUCGUGUGCUCAAAGAUUACUCCAUCUAUGAGGGUUACCAGGAUCAUAUUGAAGAUGAAGCAUUGAAGCGAGCUACAAGAUUUUAUCCUCCAUGAACAAGACAUAACAAUGUCUAGCCAAAGACAUUAAAGAAAGGCGUUUUUUGGGAGGCAACCCAAAUAUUGAUUUUAUUAUUUUUAGUUGUUCAAUUCUUUCGUUCUGUUGUUUCUCAUUUGGAUAGUAGUUGGUCUUGAUAUUUUUCUCCACUGUGAUCAGGAAGUGAAAUCUUGGCGUGCCCACGCGGUGUUUAGGUCUCCUGAGAUCAGAGGACGAACACCAAUCUUGGCGUGCCCACGCGGUGUUUGGGUCUCCUGAGGUCAGUGAAUGUUUUGUAAUCUUGGCAUGCCCACGCGGUGUUUGACGACCCAAAACAUGAAAAAAAAAAAGUUUCAAAAUUUCACAUUGAGAAAAUUCAAAAAUUCAAAAGGCAUUUUUCUUUUUCUUCAAAAAUUCAAAUUUUGGAAUUUCAAAUUCAGGAAAAAAUUUGAAAAAAAAACAUUGAGAAAAAAAAACCCAAAAAGAAAAAAUUAAGAUUCAAAAAAAAAAAAAAACUAUUUUUUUUUCUCUCUUUUUCUUUUUCUCUUUUCUUUUUCUUUUUUCUUUUCUUCUUUUUUCUUUCUUUCUUCCUUCACCACCGCAGCAGCUACCCCACGCGACUCUCCUCCGCCUACCCCAGCGCACAGCCCAGGCCACGCGCUCCCUCCUUCCUGCAGCCCGUCGACGAAGCCCACCAGCCACCACCAGCAGGCCGCGGCUCCUUCCCCCUUGCGCGGCCACAGCUCGCGAACCACCUCUCCCACAGCGCGCGGCCUUCUCCCUUAUCUUUUGGCCGCGCGUCAUUGGCUCGCCCAAGGGCAGCCGCCGCCGCCGUUCCUCACAGUCAAGCAAUCGCAGGCCAAAGCCCACAACCCCAGCCGGCGCCGCCCGCAGCUCCUCGUGCGUGACAGCCGUGCGACGCCGCGCCUCCCUCAGCAACAGCUCCAAGCUCCAGCUCACUCGCAGACAGCCGCGCGAUUCUCAGCCAUUCACCUCGCGCGACCCCGAGCGCACAAUUCCGCGUGCCGCCAUCGAAGACCGCCGCGCCUCUCCCUCAGCCCGCCAUUGCGCCCCACCACUGUCCCGCUGUCUACGGUUGGGCACAAGGGAGGUACUUUUAAAAGAAAUUUUUAAUUUAAAUACGAGAAUGUCAAUUUCUAAAUUCUGGGGCUGUUUAGUGAUUGUUUGGAUUUCUUGGUGGAUUUGGUUGGCCGUCUGAUUAAAUUCUUCCUUGUGUGAUAACCAGUGGUACUGGUUGGGGUCUUUCGACCAUAGUUGUUGCUUAUAUUUGGUCAGAUGUCUGCUUGUUUGAAAGUUCACGUUCUUGUGAUUGAGUUGUUGCUCAAAUUCUGAUCUGCUGUUGCUAGAACUUUUGGUUGGUUGAGUUGUGCAAUUGACUGUCCAAUUGGAGACAGUUAUUGAGAUCUUAGGUGGGAUGGUGUCCAAUUGCUAAAAUUUGUUGCUUUGUUUCGUCACUCGCACUGCUCCUAGUUUGUUCGAGUGAAAUUGGUUGGAUGUUCUUUGCCCGUGGAGUGUAACUGUUACAUUGUUUGGGGCAGUUUUUUGGUAUUGAUUGAAUUGUUGGGCGUAAAUUGCUCAGGACUUUACAUUGCUAAUUUGGUGGGCCAUUUAUUGUGCAUUACCCUUUUGAAUUGGGAGAUACCUGUGCUUAUUGGGUUUUGACUACUUGAGAUUUCUGUUGCAUCUGGGGGAUAAAAUUUGAUGACUUUUGUGCCAGUUUAUUUGUUUGGAAAUUGUUGGGGGUAAUUUGGGAGUUACUUGUCAAUUGGGUCCCGUGUUACCCUCUACCAUUCAGUGGUACUGAUUGGUGUGUUUGGCUUUAUCACAUGUCUUGGGUUGGCCAUUUGAUUUCAAUUUUCCUUGUGCAUGCACCAGUGGUACUGGUGAGGGUAGUUUACAUAAUAUUUGUUACUCCUGUGUUAUUGGUUGCCUAAUCGACUACUGGGCAUUUGUGGUUGAAUUGUUUCUGUCCAACUUCUGAACUGUUGUUGCUGGAGUGCCAUUUUCUUGGGUCAAUUGCUGAUUUUAGCAAGUUGAAGUGGGUAAUUGACUGUCCAAUUGGAGACAGUUGUUACGAUAUUGGGUCCGAUUGUGUCUAAUUGCUGGAAGUUGUUGAUUUAUUAAGACACUAGCACAGUUCCUAGUUUGUUCGAGUUGCUGUUCUGUUGCAUUAUUGGGAGCUGUGCUCUAGUAUUGUGGCUACUUUCCUGCGUUUAUUUGUUGAAUUGGGAUAUGAAUGUGCCUAUUGCUCAUUUUGUUGCAUCUAAUUGACUUGCUUGGGGUAAUCUGCCCAUCAAUUUUAAUUACUCAAGUCUUUGGAGCAGUUGUUGCACAUUUGGACUACUUUGUUUCUAUAUCUGACUGAAUUGGGACCACAAGUGCUUAUCAAUUGCAUUUGCUAUAAGUAUUGGGGUAUUCGUAUAGAUUUUAGGAGCCUGCAUUGUGCAUUUUAUUGUUUGGGUUGCCUACUAGUUACCAUGGUGAAGCCACGAUCCUCCCCCAGGGGCCGAUGACUGGCUCCAACUUUCGAUGACAGUUGAGAGACUGGAGACUCGAGUGACCCACAUUGACAUCGACUUGCAUAACAUGGCGCAGAAUUUGGCAGCACUCCGCCCGACCCGCCCCUGUUUUGACAAUUUCAAGGAAGUACCGUUGCCCUUCUCUUUACUUUUGUUGUUGGUUUAUCACAUUGAGGGCAAUGUGUGAUUUAGGUGUGGGGGGAUCAGUUUGGGUGCUAGUAUUUUUAGUUUUUAGGUUCUAGAGGUUUUUCUUUUGUUUUAGUUUGAUAUUUAGUUCUUUUUUUUUCGUCUAUUUUAUUUUAUUAUUAUUAUUUUUUUUUCUUUCUCCUUUUUUCUAGUGGUCAGUCUUCAUAUGAAUACCAAGUUUGAUACUGGAUUGUUGUCUCUAAUUCUGCUAUUGCCAAGUCUUAUUAAUAAAAGGGUAUUAAGUUAAUGUGCUUGAGUUCAGGAAUAUCUCUUUGGUGAAUAUCGGUAAUUGCUUAACUUUUUCAAUUUUUGGUUAACUUUUCUAGGCAUAGGGAAUGAUUGUUGGCAUUUUUCAUGUGAAUUGGUUCAGUUAUUAAUUUUAGUUCUCCAUGUCUGGAAAUUUGAGGCUGGCUGCUGUUAAUCUUAUGUUGCUUUUAGAUAUCGUGUUAUAUGGUUGUAAAUAAGAGUUGACUGUACUCCGCUAGUGGUUACUACUGAGUAACCGGGGAUUUUCACCUAAAGUGUCGAUUCUCGCGUCAAAAGGUAGUAGUUGCUAUGAAUGCGUGGUCCUGUAGCGAUCGGAGCUGAGUAACCGGGCUCCUCCAUCUGAUAAAUGUUGGAGUUCGCGUCAAAAGGCUCUAAAUGGCUAGAGACUAAGUCUUUUGCUAUUCCCAAAAAAAAAAAGAAAAAAAACAAGUAAAGUUUGUGUUAGUAUUUAAAAAAAAAAAAAAGAAAGUCAGCUUGCCUAUUUGUGAUCUUAAUGUCGAGAUUUUGGUUAAUAGAUGGACCAUUUGCUGAUAAAUGUGAGCAACCAUUCCUUUUCCUUAGAUUAGUUUGCUUCAAAUUGAAGGAGUUGGUGGUUUAGAGGCUAAUCGGGGUGAUUUUUCUUGGAUGUUGACCUGUGAUGCUUGAUAUUUAUUUUUCUUGGACAUCUUGGCAAUACGGUAGUUGGAGUAACAGCCAUGGUCAACUUUUGGUGUUCAAUUGUUGUUCCCAUACUUGAGGGCAAACAUGAUUUAGGUGUGGGGGGAAUUGAUAGGGUGUUAAUUAUUGGUUAUUUUAUUAUUAAUCUCCCUUUUUAUCCUUGUCAAAUAUUGCUUAAUUGUUAAUAUUUACUCAUAUUUGGUAUCUGGAUUUAAUUUCAGGAAUGAAGUAGAAAACUACCAAAAAGGAGGGAUUUUAUGGAGAAUAUGGAAACUUCUAAGGGCUUCAAUUCUUGGGCCCUUGAAUUGGUGGGGACCACAAGCUAGUGAAAGGCAUUUAGUCAUUUGGGCUCUUCAAAAGAAGUUACAUAGAGAGACUUGGAGAAAGAAGUACUUUGGAGGCUUUGUCCAUAUGUGUGGGGACCACCUAGAUAGCUUUUAGUCAUCUUUCUUUUGUUGCUUUAAAAGGGGACAACGUACAGAAGCAAAGGACAUCUAGGGCUUUAGUUUUAGUUUUUUUAGUUUAGUUCUAGUUUCCUUUCUUUGGACUGGCCUCUGACACACGCCAGGUGUUCGACAAUAUUCCCCAACGGGAAGAUUUUCUCAUGAGGCGUGGUUAAGCUUUUCUAGUCAAGGGGACAACUGACGAUUUGGUUCGACAAUUACUGUGAGAUCGAAUCUGUUUUAAUUAUUUUCUUCAUUUAUUGGUAUUUAUAUGUUCCUUGAUUUUAAUUGCUAUGGCCUUGUGUAUGAUUGAUUAGUGCGCAAUAAUUAAUUAUUCAUAUAGGCUAUUUUUGCUAAAUAGGGGUAAUUGAAUCCGUAAUUGUUCGUUAUCUCUACCUCAGUAGCAACUGGCGUAAAUGGGUUUAUGUCAGGGGAGCAUAUGAUCUAAUUUAAACAAACCCUCGUAGCGUGUUUGUUGGUUAGGAUUGGGCCUUUCUAAUUAUUAAUGCAAUCUAGAAAUUAAAUCCUACGGUCGUACCUAGGGUUGUUUUUGGGUUAGAGAAAUAGCUAACGGUCGUACCUUAGCUAUCGAGAAAUUAAGGAAGGGUUGGUUGUUUAUCGCGUGCAUGACAACUAUAACUAAUCUAUUGCUAAAUGUUGGAAUUAUUUCUGCAUCAAUGAUCAGUGCAUGAACCAUUUCUGAUGUGUACCCUUGGCUAGAGUUUCCCCAAUCAUUUCUUUUAAUUAAUUAUUUUCUGCAGUUAAUUUAUUUAGUUAGCAUUUAAUCCAAAACCCCCCAUACUUUGGACUCUAGAAGAAACGAAUUAUCCCCAAUCCCUGUGGAUUCGACCCUACUCACCGCUAUAUACAAAAUCUGUAUCUUUAUUGAGUAGGUAUUUAUUAUUGUACAGGUUCGGCACCUGUCAAUUUUGGGGUGAACACAUUUUGUCAUUAAUUGUUGAUUGUUGGGGGACGUUUUUGGUAACACUUGAGUCUAUUUUGCUGAGUUCUGUUGAUAGAGCAGUUAUUUGGCACAUUUUACAGUGUUAUUUUGUCCUAAUUUUGGCUAUUCAUGGUGUUAAGAAUUGGAAUAUCACUCAUAUUUGAUGUUUGUGUGAAUUGUAGGUGGUCGGCAUUAAAAAUGACCUCUCAAGGCAAAUUUCUAGAAGACUCUUCGUCUCAGAGCAUGGCCACGCCAGAGAAGGUCGAUGUUACCGAAAAGCCGGACCCCGGUCCACGUGAACCGCAAGGAGCACGGGAUUAAAGCUCUAAAAGGCUAGCUUUUGUUUCAAUCAAUUGGGUCAGACAUGACUUGGCUCCUAGAGGCUUCAAUUAAAAAAGAAAAGAAAGGGCCAGACGUCGAGGGAAUGAGAAUGAGGAAACUAGGUCUACAUGGACCAGCUACACGGGAUAAAAACUCCAAUGAAGAGAAGAGCUCUGCUCCGCGUGGAUUUCCCCUGCGGCACUAUAUAAGACAACAAAAAAGGUGAUGCAGCGGAGAAUAUAGAUUAGCUUUGAUUUUCUUUUCGAGAGGGGUCAGGCGAUUGCAGACUUUUGUAGCUUUUCGGUUGUGACACUUGGACUCCUUGGCUUUUGUUUUGACUCUGCACAAUUUACGUUAGUUUUUGUUCGUACACUUGCGGCACCAAAGCAAAGACGAAGGCAGUGCCUUCUCUGUUGUUACUGCAAUUAAUUCCCCUUCCCCAAUUUUCGGCGAAUAAUUGAAUGAAUUCAAUUAAAUCACGCGGGAUUGACACGAUAAGGAGCGGCUAAUUUUCUCCUCUACCCAAAGGUUGACGCGAAGGCGCGGUCCAUAAUAUCUGUGAGAUCUAAUCGAAUUUUCAUUAUUUCUUUCAAUUUAUUGCUAUUCGUACGUUUCCUGAAUUAAUUGUUCAUGAGUAUUUUACUAAUUGAAUAUCAACGGCCGGGUAUUUGAUUUAAUUUAAUAGUCUACUGCCACGUUAAUUAAAUAGAAUCCGUAAUUGUUCAUUUAGUUAACACCUCGUGGCAACCACCAUAAUUGGCUUUAUGAUGGGAAAACGCAAGAUCUAAUUUAAAUAAACCCUCUUAGCGUAUUUAUUGGUUAGGGUUGGAUUCUUCUAGCUUUAAUGCAAUUGGGUAAUUAAAUUCUCACGGUCGUACCUAGGGUUGUUAUCUGGUUAGAGAAGCAGUCAAUGGUUGUACCUUGACUAUCGAAAAAGUAAGGAAGAACUGGUUGUCAGAGCUUAUUGAUAACUAUAACCAACCUAGUGAUGAAUGGAUGAAAUACCUUUGCAUUGAUGAGCAUCUGUCUUGAGUCCAUUGAAGUGCCGUUGGUUGAGUAAUUUCUGCGUCUUUUUGUUGAAUUGGAAGGCUAUUGUGACACUUCCAUUGCACUUUCGGAAUGCAUUGUUUCUGUAUUUGACUAAAUUCAGGCCACCAGUGCUUCUUGAUUGCAAUCACUGUGCUGUUGGGGUAUUUGUACAGCUUUGAGUACCUGAAUUGUGUUUGUGUUGGUUGGAGUACCAUUUAUAGAGAAUGGUGAGACCUAAAUCCUCCUCUAGGUCUAGGACACCUAGAACUUCUCAGCCUCCUCCCACCCUAGGGGCUAACGAUUGGCUCCAACUCCGAAUGCAAGUUAAGAGACCGGAGAUUCGAGUGACCCACAUUGACAUCAACUUGCAUACCAUGGUGCAGAAUUUGGCAACAAUUAUGCACCAUGCGGGUCUUGUUCCUCAGUUUCCGUCUGACCCACCCCUGUUUUGACGACUUCAGGGAAGCACCGGUGCUCUUUUGCUUACUUUUGCUAUUAAAUUAUCACAUUGAGGGCAAUGUGUGAUUUAGGUAUGGGGGGGAUCAGUUGUGGUACUAGUAUUUCCAGUUUUUGAUUUUUAAGUGUUUUUCCUUUGUUUUUAGUUUGAUAUUUUUCUCUUUUUCGUUUAUUUCUUUUAUUCGUGAUCAGCUCUUAUUUGAAUACCAAGUUUUGAUGUUGGAUUGUUGCCUCUAAUUCUGCUCUUGCCAAGUUUUAAUAAUAAAAGGGUAUCAAGUUAAUAUGGUUGAAUUCAGGAACAUCUCUUUGGUGAAUAUCAAUAAUUGCUUAACUUUUCCAAGUUUUGGUUAACUUUUCUAGGCAUAGGGAAUGAUUGUUGGCAUUUUUCAUGUAAAUUGGUCCAAUUAUUAAUUUUAGUUCUCUAUGUUUGGAAAUUUGAGGCUGACUGCUGUUAUUUUUAGUUAUUGUGUUAUAUGAUUGUAAAUAAUAGAUAACUGUACUCCAUUAGUUGUUACUACUGAGUAACCGGGGAUUUUCACCUAAAGUGUCGAUUCUCAUGUCAAAAGGUAGCAGUUACUAUGAGUGCGUGGUCCCGUAGCGAUUGGAGCUAAGUAACCGGGCUCCUCCAUCUGUCAAAUGUUGGAGUUCGCAUCAAAACGCUCUAAGGGUUAUAAACUAAGUCUUUUGUUAUUCAAAAAAAAAAAAGAAAAAAAGAAGCAGAAGAAAACAAAAGAAGCAGAUUGUGUUAGUAUAUGAAAAAGUCAGCUUGCCGAUUUGUGAUCUUAAUAUCGAGAUUUUGGUUAAUAGUUGGACCGUUUGCUGAUAAAUAUGAGCAACCAUUCCUUUUUCUUAGAUUAGUUUGCUUUAAAUUGGAAGAGUUGGUGGUUGGGAAGCUAAUCGGGGUAAUUUUUCUUUGAUCUUGACCUGUGAUGCUUGAUAUAUGUUUUUCUGGAUAUCUUGGCAAUACGGUAGUUGGAGCAAUAGCCAUUGUCAAAUUUUGGUGUUCAAUUUCUGCUCUCAUGCUUGAGGGCAAGUAUGGUUUAGGUGUGGGGGGAAUUGAUAGGGUGUUAAUUGUUAAUAAUUUUAUUGCUAUUUUUCCCCUUUGUCCUUGCCAAAUAUUAUUUUAAUUGUUAACAUAUACUUAUUUUUGGUAUUUGGACCAAUCUACAGGAAGUGGAACUGACAAAUGCUAAAAAGGAGAUUUUAUUGAGAAAAAUCCUUCACAUGCUAGAGCCUCCAGCGGAUAUACAAGUUGGGCCCACAUGGUGUUACAAAUUCGGUUGCUGAUGGGGAGCUCUUAUUAUUGGGAGUUGACUUGUACGUGUAGGAGUCCUCCUACCAAGAGGAAACAAGAAAAAAGGAAUUCGGCAGAGGCCCAUCUUUUGUACUUAGCUUUCUCAAUUCGGUAGGGACCAUGGACUAGAGGUUUUCAUUAGUGAUUGGACUUUAAAAGGGAAGAAACGUAUAGAGGCUUGGGGAUUAUUAUGAUUAGCGUAGCUUUAGUUUUAGUGGUUAGCUAGCGUUUCCUUUUCAUGCGCACGAGGUGCUCGACAAUAUUUUUCAACGGGAAAAAAAAACAUCUUUUACUCUUGCUUUCUAGUGAAAAACUUGAUGCCUUUGCAAUCAAUUAAUUUGCGUGGAGAUUUAAUUAUGCGGCGUGGCUAAGCCUUUCAUCUAGUUAAGGAUCAACUCGAUGGUACAGUCCCAAAUAUCUGUGAGAUCUAAUUAGUUUUCACGCGUUUCUUAAUUUGUUAAUAUUUGCACGUUGCCUAUUUGAAUUUUCAAGGGAUUAUUUUGUUAAUUGGAUGUCAAGGGCCCGAUGUUCAAUAUGGCUUAUUAAUCUCCUUCCAAAUUAGUCAAUUAAAUCCGUAAUUGUUUGAUUGAUUAAUAUUAGUGGCAACUGGCGUGUUUAUACACUAGGGGAACGUGCAAUCUAAUUUAAAUAACGCUCGUAGCGUGUUAUUGAUCGGGGUUAGGUUUUUCUAGUUAUUAAUGCAAUUGAAAAAUUAAUUCCUACGAUCGUACCUAGGAGUAUUUUCUGAUUAGGAAUAAUCAAUGGUCGUACCUUGAUUAUCAAUAAAUAAAAGAAAAAUUGGUCGUUAGAAUUCGUCGGCGACUAUAACUAGCCUAUUAAUAAAUUAAGUGAACCUCCCUUGCAUCAAUGAUCGAGUAAGUGGACUGUGUCUGAGUAGUUGUAUCAUUGGCUAGAAUUUAUCUAUUCUUGAUUUAAUUCCUGCCUAUAUUCGUGCAAGUUAAUUAUUUAUUUUUAGUGAAUUUUUUAAUUAUUUUUAGUUUUACUCCGAUAAAAUCCUCCUUUAUCAAUUGGAAUCUCAAAGAGACAAAUAUCCCCAGUCCUUGAGGAGAUGACUCUACUUGCCACUGUCUACUAUUUAGUAAGUUUUGUCAACUAAUUAAUUCUGAUAUAUCGGAUUAAGCAAACUUUUCGAGAAUAGGGUGAAUCAAGUAACCCAUUACACACCUAGAGUCCCUGCUCCAGUAUUUAGGAUUAAUUAUUGACUGUUUUUAGUGGUAUUUAUAUUUUUAUUAUUAUUAUUGCAUAGGCUCGACACCUGUCAAUUUUUGUGAUGUUGACCCAAACAACAAAGGACGGGUUAUGUGAUGUUGACCCAAAUAACAAGUCUUCACUAGUGAAUGUGAUAUUUGUGAUAUCCACCUCUUUAUUACCAGUGGGCACGUGAGUUAUCUCACAAGGAGAUUCGCGAGUAUCAUCCUUUGUUCUUCAAUAUCAUCAACUUGCGUUGUGUGACAUGAGACCAUAUCAAUAUCAAAGAAUCUUUUAGAUAUGAAUUCUUUUAAAAUGAUAGAAACUCGCGACUUUUGCUUGAAUACUUGAUUUUCUUGAAGAUUGUGAUUAUUAUUAUUUUUCUCUAUAUUCUUCUCUUUUCUCUUCCAGACCAUUCUACUUCUUGUUAAGGCCUUGUUUACCUUAUUAGAUGGACGAGAGUUUCAUCUUCAUCUUCGCGUGAUCAGAGUUCAUCCAUCAUCAUCUACGUCUGAUUGUAAUGACUUCUCAUCUUCAUAUUCAUAUUUUUGAAGAGCUGAAGGGGCGAUUUUUUGUUCAACUUCUAUAGGAUCAAAUGAUCCAAAUUGAAUGGUUGGCAAUAUAGGUAUCGUAAACUUUUCGACUUCCAUGGACUGUAGUGAAUCAACGGAGGUUUGAUUCAUACUUGCUUUGUUUUUUUCAAGAAAAUUUUUUUCUUGUCUUGCCAAAUCCAUCAUCUCAUCUUUAAAGACAAAGUAUUUUUGAAUGGGAUGUCCAACCAAGCAAUGAUACUUGAUUUGGAUCAUCCGUAUUACUAAUCUCGUCAAGUCAGUUCAUCUUGGAAGCAUGAUCAAGUUCAUGCUUAACAAAUUAUCAAAUAUACUAGGAACAUCAGAAUCAAGGAAAUUGUACUUCUUGUUUUGCAUCUCCUUGAGUGUUGGUUUUUUCUUUCCUUCGUCUUGAUGCAUACUGGUUUUCUUGUCUUCUCUUUUAGCAGUUCUGAGAAUAAUCUUGAAAGGUGUUAUACUUGCAGCUAUGGCCUCUUUCUCACUUUGAUUGGGGGCUUGCCUCCUUUCCUCACUUCUUGUUUCUCCUUAGCCUUGCGAGAAUCAGGAAUUGGCGGCUCUUGUCCAUCAAGGUUAAUUUCUAUCUUAUGAGUUUUUGGGGAUAAUUCAUCAAAUAUUUCUGGUUAUACCCCUUACAAGAUAUAUCUGAAUCCCCAAUGCAAGUCUUGAAUACACAUCUCAAUAGCGGAAGACUCGAAAAUUCGAUCCUUACAGUUUAGGCUUAGAUUUUUUCGAGCGAUUGAUAAAGUUAAUAACAUGUUCAUUCUUUCACUAGCACAUAUUUUAGAGUUCAAUUAUGCUGACAGUCCUUUUCGUGCUAUAGAAGCAAUUAAGGAAUUCCUACUCUAAUUGCUCCCAACUGUCAAUGCUGCUAGAUUCUAAAUCUGUGUACCAAUCAAACGUGUUACCCUUCAAUGAGUGAACAAAUUGCUUAACUAGCAAGUCACCAUUAGUGCCAGCAUUGUUACAAUUUUCGACAAAGUGCGCAAUAUGUUGUUUAGGGUUACCUUUGUCAUCAAAUUAUUGAAACUUUGAAAAUUGAAAUCCUACAAGCAUCUUCAAACAUUUACUCUUGUGGUGUAAGGUUUGAUAUAAUUGCUAUAUGACUUGGUAUUUCCACCAAUCUUGUCCUUGAUCGUACCUUUGAUAAACUCCUUUAAAUUAUCAACAUGAAUGGUACUAUCAGGAGAGAUUGAAAACUCCUUCAUUAUUCGUGACUUGGUAUCCUCUUUCUCUUUCUUCCUUGAUGAUGAGUUACCUUCAUAUUUUUUACCAUGGCCAUUAGUUUGGCUAUUUUGGCAUCUUGACUUUGCACGUGCCCUGCUAGCCCUUCGACAAUUUGGCAAGAUUUGAAAUUUGAUCUCUACGGUUGUGGUGUUAGUCAUCAUGAUGGGCAUUACCACAGAAGUAGCUAAAUUGCUUGAGCUAUCAGCAGAUUCAUCAUGGACUCCCUUCUUGUUGGGAAAAAUCUCAAAAUUUUUUCUUUCAACCACAGCAUUCGCCUUAACCCUAUCUACUAAUUUCUUAGCCUUGCUCCUUGUCAUAGGUGUAGUAUACUGCAUCUCCUGAGUUGUUGGGAUGCCAGCAACUGAGCCUUCAAGAGCAAAACUCAUCUUCUUGGACUCCAUUGAUUCUUGAAACAAGUAAGCUAUUCAAAGAAAAGAGAUGAAAAACAGAGAUGGUCCCACCAGACGUGUCAUAAAAUUUGUGAGCAUAAAUUUUGUUGCCUAAAAUAAAGACAAGAAAAUUUGCAUAAAUAUCAAAUUUAUUAAAUCAAAUAAUAAAUGGGUUAUAAUUUUUGAAAAUUCUUGAAUUAAAGAUAUUAAUCUUCUAAUUCUUCUCUUCAAAAACUUCAAUUGAAGGGUUGAAAAGACUUGUUUACCGAUCAAGAGGGUGUUUCCUACGAUUUUGACAUAGAAAACCGCUGAUUUGAUGAUGACGUUAAAUAGUUGAUGUUGGGUUUGGAUUUUAUUCCACCAAUCGUUCAUUUUGUUGGAUUUGAGUUUUAUACCACCAACUGUGGGAUAAAACCCAAUCCCAAUAAAAUGAACGGUUGGUGGGAUAAUACUCAAAUCCAAUAAAAUGAAUGAUUGGUGGGAUAAAAUCCAAACCCAACACUUGUAUCUUUAAAUCUUCAAUGUCGAUAGAAGGAGGAUUUAUUUUAACUUGAUUUGGAUUUGAAUUUAAGGGAAAAUGCUCUCGAGAGAAUUUGACAGAAUUUCUUCAAAAUUUAGAAAUUUCAAUGUGUUUUUGUACUAAGAGAAUACCUUUAUUUAUAGGCAAAAUAUGUAGAUUAUGUCUUCAAGAAAAUUCUCCAGAACCUUCUUGCGUUUGGGUAACUUGUACCUCAAGAAACUCAUUUAACUUAGGUUUAAAUAGUGGGCCUAUUCAAAUAAUCCAUUGUGAAUUAAUACAUCAAUUAAUCCACUUUAAUUUAAAUGGGUAACACAUUGAUUUGAUUUGAUUUAAUAGCCCAUAUAUCAUUGGUCUAUUUUGUCAAUCAAAACAUAAUAGACUGCUAUAAUUUAAUUUAAUGUAAUCAAGAUCAAUUUAAUUUAUUUAAUCUUGACUAAAUAAAUUUUCUUUGUCUACAGCAUGUACGUGUAAUUUUCCAAAUAAUGAUACUUUUCAAAGAGAGUUUUCAAAUAAUGAAAGUUCUAAAACAAGGCAUUCACCGAAUGCGUGAAUGUAUCUUUUUAAACAACGCAUUUAGUCAAUACGUUUUUAAGGAAAAAUGCCUAUACAAAUAAAAGAAUGAAUUCUAUAAAUGUGUCUUUUGAGGAAACAACACAUUUACUAAGUACGUUUUUUCACUCUUUGGGAAGAAGUUCAAAAAACACCACCAUUUGAAAGGUAAUUUUAGAAAAUCCCACUUUUUGAGAAUUUACUCAAGCUUGUACUUGACAAAAUGUGUUGGGAAAAUUGUGACGUCAGGUGAAUUGUAAAACUGUUGUGCCAUCGUAAUGUAUGUUUUGCACUAGAUUGAGUAAGAAUUAUAUCAAAAUAGUCGGCCACAAUAUAGGAAUGUGAAAACUUUGUGUUAAGUAAGUUGUAAUAUUUUUGUAUCAUCUAACGUAUAUUUGAAAACGAUUGAGAAUAUAAUAUAUGGAAACAACAGGUCACAAUGUUGAAAUGUCAAACCUCUUGUUUCAAACCAAAUACUUAUUAAACUCCUUCAUAUCGCUAACGAAUUUUGAUUCUGAAGUAAUAAUAGUUUUAUUUAAUUAUUUGCCUUUUUUGGAACAAUAUUAAAAUGUAGCCAUAAAUUUAAAUUCCAAAAUUGUUGAAUACUUGAGGAAUUCUAGAAAUGGCACUGAGAGUCAAAGUUCACCUUAUUCAAAAGUCACCAGCCAUCUCAGAGUGCAUGUUUCUAUUGAGUUUCAGGUUCAAUGUGUACCCACUUCCACUUUUGGCUGAUCAAUCAGGACUAAGGUUCCGUUUGAUAAAACUGAAUCUGAAUUCUGAAAUCUGAAUACUGAAACAAUUAAUUUGCUGAAUUUUAAGUUCUGAAAAGAAAUAUAUGAAUGUCUGAAUUUUAAUGUUAAAUCUAUUUCUACUGUUUGAUAAACAUUUAUAACUGAAUGCUUAAUAAGUUAAAUUUGACAAAUUUGCCCUUAAUCUUUUCAUCCAAAAAAGAAGUAGAACCUAUGAUUUAAUUAGGUAAAAAUGUUAGGUAUGAAAAUGACAAUAUUUAUUUUUAAAUCAAAUUAAUAUAAAAGAUGAAAUAUAUUAUAUGCGGAGUGGAGAAGAUGUAAAAAUCAUUCAAAAUGGAGAAAAAAGAAAUAGAAAAUCAUUAGAUAGAGAAUAUUAGAUUGUUUAAUUAGAUAAGAAUUUUGAACAUAAUUAACAAACAAUGGUAGAUUUGAUAGAUAAGAUAAGGUAAUUGAAGUAAUUCUAUUGAUUCUUAUCAGAAUUAAGUAUUCAGUUAGGAUUUUUGUGCUGAAAAAAAUACACACAAUUUCAGCACUACUUAACAAGUUCAGCAAAUAGAUUUUCAUUUAUCAAACAUUCAAAACAUCUAAAUGUCUAAAAAAAUUUAGAUUCAACACUUUUUUAUAUUAUUAAACAGACCCUAAGAGAAUAAAAUAACUUGCUUGCUGUUAGCGAUGGCAACGGGGCGGGGUUGGGGCGGGGGACCCCUCCCCCGUCCCCCGCCCCGUUGCCUAUUAGUUCCCCCUGUCCCCCGCCCCCCCCCCCGCUUCCCCCGCGGGGUUAAUAAAAUUUUAUUAUAAUUAAAUUUUAAUAAAUAAUCAAUUACUAAAAUAUCAACACAUCACCAAAUUAUUAUUCAUUGUAAUUUUACAAUUAAAACUCAUAAAAACAAUCAAACAAAAGUUAUUUGAAUACAAUCCAAUAUGAUGAAAUAAAUAUAACUAAAAUAGUUAAGUUUUCGCUUUUAGUACAAAUGCAAUCACUAAUUCAUUAUUGUGUUUGUGCUUUUCUUUUGAGAAAAAAGUGUUAUUCUAUUAAGUGUAAUUAGAAAUUUAGUAUAAAUGUAUUAGUAAAUUUAGUAUAACUAAUUAAUAAAUUUUAUUAGUAGACAUGUAUAAUUAUUCAUAUAAUUGAUAAUAUCAAUUAUAUUACAUAAACUACUAUACAUUAUAUAAUACAUCUAACUAAUAAUAUCAUUAUCAUAAGUUUAUAACUAAUUAACUUACAUAUUAUAUAUAAUUAUAUAUAUAUUUUUUUUAGGGUGGCGCGGCGGGGGAUGGGGCGGGGGUAUACUCCCCCGUCCCCCGCCCCGUUUCUAAGCGGGGGGAAAAAUUCCCCCCCCCGCCCCAACCCCCGCCCCGAGAGCCCCCCGUGGGCACCCGCCCCCAUUGCCAUCCCUACUUGCCGUUUUUAAAAAAGGAUUCAUUAUUUUUUCUUUGAGCAUUGGUAUCUCCACCCUCAAUGACACUAAUCUGGAUUCAAUAUGAGGAGUGUCCGUAGAGGCUGACUCUUACUCGAGAGUAAAGACUUGACCCAGAGCUUUUCAAGGCGUCAUCAUAUGUAGGAGUCAAACUUAUGAACUCUGUGCAUAGAUAAUUUAGCUCCAGUCUGUGGAAUGUCUUGAUGUUAGGUGAGUUGUAAUAUUUUGGUAUCAUCUAAUGAAAUUUUUAAAAGAUUGAGAAAUAAUAUAGAGCAAAACACCAAUUUAUUCCCUAAAUUAUUUUGCUAAAAUCAAAAUACUCCGUAAAUUUAUUUUGAGUCAGUUUAGUCCCCCAACUAUUUUUACAAAGCUGAAAUAGUCCUUAAACUUUAUUAUGAGCCAAUUUAGUCUCUCAACUAUUUUGUUUAAGUGAAAUAGUACCCCACCUUUAUUUAUUUGGCCAGUUUGGUCCUUGUUUGACUCAUCCACCCAAUUUAUCAACCUUGUGCACUAACAAUCAGGGGCAAAAUAAGAAAUUUAGUCAAUGCCCUUACUAAAAUGAUAGAAGAAUUAGAUAUCUGGCAAAAUUAAAAACAAAAUUGAAUCAUAUAGAGAACAAAAAAAUAUAGUGUUUCUUAUGGAGGAAAAAAAUGGAGCUGAUGCCUAAAAUCUCACAUGGAUCCAACUCAGUCCAUUGAAUGGAGAAAAGGGAAAAUAACACAACAAGAAUAUGUUAAAAGUUGGAAAAUGUGCUAUAAUUAUGAUUACUCCUUUAAGAAAUAAAGCUGAAAGAAGCUCAAUUUCUUUUUGUUUUCCAUAUUAUUCAAUUUCGUUGUCGAUUUUUCGAUAGAUGUAUGUUUUUUUUUUUGUUUUAAUAAGGGCUAUGAUUGGAUUUCCUAUUAUGCCAUUGGCUGUCGAUGCUACACUUGAUAAAUUAGAUGGAUCAUCCAAAUAAAGACAAAAUUGGCUAUGUAAACAUUAGUGAGGGACUAUUUCAGCUUAAGAAAAAUAGUUGAGGGACUAAAUUGGCUUAUAAUAAAAUUAGGGACUAUUUCAGCUUUGUAAAAAUAGUUGAGAGACUAAAUUGACUCAUAAAAUGUUUAGGGACUAUUUUGACAUUAAGGAAAUAGUUUUGGGACUAUAAACAUUAGGUCACAAUGUUGAAAUAUCAAAACCCAUGUUUUGGACCAAAACUCAUAGAACUUCUUCACGUCGCUAACGAAAUUUGAUUAUGAAGUAAUGCUAAUUUUAUUUAUUAUUUGUUUCCUUGCUGGUCUUCUGUCUUUUUGGUUAUUCCAAAAUUGUUGAAUAUUUAAACGAAUUCUAGAAAGGGCACUGAGAGUCAAAGUCUUAUUCAAACAGCCAGCUAUCUCAAAGUACAUAUUUUUUUAUUAUCAGGUUCAAUAUGUAUCUAUUGCAAUUUUUGAAUGACCAGCCAUGACUAAGAGAAUAAAAUAAUUCACUUGCUGUUUUUAGAUAUGAAUUCAUGACUGUCAGUAGUCUAUAAAUACACUUAUUGCUCACCACUCUUUGCACCGCAAAAUCUCUUCAAGAUCCAACAAACCCUCCUGUUCUUGGUCUUUGUCCAUUUGUGAAAAAACAAAUUAAAGCGUCAUGGCCCCUAUCACUUGUAGUGCUGAGAUGACCUCCCCAAUCCCUCCUGCAAGGUUGUUCAAGGCCGCCAUCCUUGAUGACCACCCUUAAUGCCACAGGCUAUUAAGAGUGUGGAAAUCCUUGAAGGAGAUGGUGGCGUUUGAACCAUUGAGUUGAGCACAUUUGGUGAAGGUUAGAUGUUAUAUUAAAUGUAGAACCCCAAAUUUAAGGAUCUAAUAAUAAUCAAUGCGUGCAGGGUUACAGAAUUGGAGGGAUAAAACAAAUACUCAAAAUAUACGUGGAAGAAAAGAAAAAUAAUAAAUUCAACUCACAAUAUUAUUGAAAUUUCAAACAAUGAAGAAAAUCAUACCACAAUGAAUUCAACUGGUUCUAAUAAUAAUCAAAGCAUACAAGGUUACAGAAUUAAAAGGAUAAAACAAACACUCAAAAUAUAUGUGGGAGAGAAGAAAAUAAUAAAUUCAACACACAAUAUUAUUGAAAUCUCAAACAAUGAAAAAAGUCACACCAUAAUAGAAAACCUUGCUAAUGCUUCUAGAUUCUUUCUCUUGAGAAACCAACCUAAAUAAUGUUCUAUUUAUAAUCUACCAAACUUGUUAGGAAAGAAACCACUUGCAUAAGAAAUUACCAAAUAAUACAGAAAUUCCUAAAUCACACAACUACUAAAAACAUAACUCAAAUAAAACUAAAAAAUAAAUAAAUAUUACUAGGCUUAGUUUAAUUUGUCAACAUUGCCUCCUUUAAACCAUACUAUCCAUUGAGAUAGGUUCAACACCAUCUCGAGCAAUAAUUUCUAUGCAAAUCUAUGUUGUAGUACACUUGACAUGAAACUCUAACUUGUUACCAGUUAUUAAUUUCAUUUUUACACGUAACAGUGGACACACUAUGUAUUGUGUAAACAACUUCUCAGCAAUUUCUUCUUGAUCAAAGAACUCACUUAUACAAACCCAUUCAUCACCAGAAUCACCAUAUUUACCACCAAUGUAAGUGCCUAAAAAUACAAAAUCAUAGAUUUCUUUCUCGCUAAAAUUAUCAUCACCAAAUAAUUCAAAAUAACCACUACUACAAUCAUCCAAAAUUUUCAUACUGUCAGUCAACUCUUUUGGAGUAAAAUAUUUUUCAACUCCGAUGACAUCCAUAUCUAUUAAAUCAAACAUUCUCCCAUCACUUUGAAGAGAGUCCGAACCAACGAAUUUUUCAACAACAAUUUCAUGUUCUCUUCUCUUAUCAAAUCAAAAUUUUUUUCUUCUUUUGUCAAAUUACCAUAUUAUUUUUUUCAACAAAUUCAUUACUUCUAAUUUCUCCAAACAAGGUACGCAAAUCAAAACUAUCAAUUGAUUCAAAAUUUUCGAUAUCACCCAUAUUAUCAACAAAUCUAUCAUUUUUAAAAUCCACAAACCAAUACCAAUAAAUAGACUUCGGUUUGAAAGCAUAAUUUCUCCCAAUCGUGUGCAAAACAUAGUAAAUAUCCUUCCAAAAUCUCUAAAGUAUUUUAAUUAGUACGACCAAUAAAGGUUUUAUAAACACUUUUUGCCAUUAUUUUACGCAUCACUUGAAAGAAUAAUUGUGCCUUUUUCUUAAAAACAUGUUUUGACAACUUACUUGCAUCAACCCAACAAAGAAUAUCAUCCAAAUUACAUUGUUUAACAUAUUUUUCCACUAUUAAAAUCCAACCAAAAUAUGUAUGUCCAUUUGUGCUUAUAGGAGUCAAUAUGAAAAAUUUUUCACCGUGAAUCAGAUCUUUAUAAUAUUCCAUUAUUUAACAAUUUGUAUACCUGGAUAAAUUUUUUUCCUCCAUCCUGUCAUGUUUUCUUGGCCUCCCUGGUUGACUAACCAAAUUAUUGUUGUAUGUAUACCCAUGCUCGUCAAACCUCAUUUGUGUACACUCGUAAGGAGUGGUUCUGAGCUUCUUGUGAAUGCUCAGUACCAAGAAGUAGAAGAGAGAAUGCAUAAGAGAGAAUUAACUUGGCUAUAGAAAUAGGAAACAAUUGAGGGAUUUUUUAAGAAAUUAAUUCUCCAGCUACCACUUUUGGAAAUUUUCUAUCAACAACUAGUUACCAAAACACUAGCACAUAAUAAGAAAUCAGGAUAAUUUCAGAAACCUCCCUUGAGGCUUUUAAUAACCUCAAGAAGCUCCCCUCAAUAUUUUAAAAUUACACGUACCUUCCCUAUUGGUGCAAAAGUACUCUACUACCCCUAAUAGGAUACUCAAAAGACUUUUUUUUAUGGGAAAAAUGAAGCUCAGAAAUCCAAGCAAAAUCAAAAAAAUCAAUUGAUUUUCUCUUUUAGCCUUUUACACUUUUGCCUUCUACCUUUGCUCACUUUCCCAUCCCAAUCUUCCUACACCCGCUUUCCCAAUCCCCUUUCCCCAACUUUUCUCCUCUACUUCAAGACCAAUUUUUGUCUAUCUAUCCUGGCUUGUGCUUUGUUCCAUUCCCUUCCCUUCUCCUUCUUUGAUUUCGCCUACAUCUCCCUUUCUCUUUGCAAAAGUGACUAGGCUCAUGUCUCUCUUUUUCCCCCCUAUUCUAAGUGUAGUGGGUUUGAUUAUUUUGCAUCUAUUUUAUUUGAUUUGGGUUGAUUAUGGGUGAUAGAACUUGGCGAUGUCAAAUAUCAAAAGUUUGAUAGAUGGAUAUUGGGCUUUAGACAAUGAUUUGCUGAAAAAAAUGGCUGCAAUGAGACAAAGAGGCAAGGGGAUUUGAGUGUGGGGUUGAUUGUUGAUAAAUUGUUGUUUUGGACAAAAUUUGAGGUUGAGUUUUAUUAAAUUUGAUAGCAAGUGGCGAGUUUUGUUCAGGUUGCGGGAAAUAAAUUAGAUUGUGGUUUCUUGGGCACCCACAGUUGUUGGAAUUGGUUUUGAUUCAAAUUAGGGUGGUUACUUGAUUUUCCUAAUAGUGUUGCUUAAAAGCACACGAUCAUCAAAAUUCCUUAUUUUUAUCUUUUGUUUUUUCUUGUAGAAAAGAUUUCACGACUUUCGUGAUAGUCUAAUUUGGAAGAAGGCAAUCAAGGGAUGCAAUCAACAUUUAGCAAAAGCUCUUGUUCUUUCCUUUGUAAUUUUUAGGGUAAAAAGGGUAGUUUAGGGUAUUUGAAGGAAAUGAUAGUCUAUUGGGUCUAUUUUCAAGCAUAAAUAGUGAACGUAAGGGAGGUUGGUGUAAUUUCUGAAACCUAAGGGAAAUUGUCUGAAAUUGUUCGAGACCUCAGAGGAGGUUUUCGAAAUUAUCCCUAAGAAAUCAAAUGCGAAACUUGAUUAGUACACGCACACACGACACCGCACCACGCCGCGCGUGUGUUGAGGAUUGGUGUCCGUAACCAACGACAAGCAGGUUUUCAAUUUUUUUUUCCUUUCCUGGAUUCUCCAGAGAUGGUGUCAGCUUCUAUUAUUGAUGAGCAGGAGGAAAUCCACAAUAUACAGUACACAUCACCCAUAUUCUUUUUAAUUGAACAAUGUAUGAAAUUAUGGUGAUUCGAAAUUAAAUUAUAUGUUUAUUGGGCACUGAAUCCAAAAUAAGAGUUGGAAAUGUAUUGUGACAACAAUUGUUAACAUAGGCCACAAAUGAUCAAAACAAAUAUUUAAGGUUUAAUAUGACAUUAUGGGUUCAGAAUAUAGUUACUUGUUAUGAAACAACUAAAAGUAUGGAUAUCCAUUUGUAUUUUCAAGAGGAUCAAUUCAUAAUUCAUUGCUCCCAAGAGGAUUAAUUCAUAAUACAUUGCUACAUUAUGUAAAGGAAUUGCAUUGGAUGAACGGUUUCAAUCCAUAAAAGCUAUUUAUGUAUUGGAUGAACCGUUUCAUAUGGCUAUUCAUGUUCUUGUAGUAAUGAGUGUUUAAUAGAAUUGAUGUACCUUUAAUUUUGUAGUACCUAUAUAUACAGGUACUUUGGCACCUCUUGGGUAUACUUUUUGAUUAGUUGGAAUAAUAAGAAAAUUAUUCUUCAUUUCUGUACUUCUUUCUCUAAUAUUUCAAUUCCUAUUAUAGUAGUUCAUUUUUUUUAGUUUUACAACACGUUAUUAGCAUGAGUCUCUACUUUUGAACAAAAAGGUGAAAACGGAGCCUCUACCUUAAAAAAAAGUGAAACACGAGAUUCUGCCAAAAUUUUGCCCGUAUUUUUCCGGCAACUUCUGUCCACUUAUUGAGAAAUGGAUGCCAAAUAUUUGGGAUUAAAUAAUGGUGAUGAUGAUAUUUGUCUCAUUGAUAGUGCUACUACGCACACUAUAUUGAAAAAUAAAAAAAAAAUUUCUUGUAUGAAAAUGGGAGAGACAAAUGUUAAUACCAUAACUGGUAGUGCAAAAUUGAUUGAACGCUCCGGAAUAGCCUCUCUAUUUCUUCAUGAAGGGACUAAAAUUGUCGUAAAUAAUGCACUACUGUCUCCCAAGUCUCGGAGAAAUUUAUUGAGUUUUAAAGAUAUCUGCGAAAAUGAAUACUAUAUAGGGAUAAUGACUGAGACAAAUGGAGAAUUUUUAUUAAUCACAAGUAUCAUUUCUGGGCAGAAAUGCGUAGUAGAAAAAUUACCUUCUUUUUCUUCUAGCUUAUAUUAUGCACAAAUUAGUGCAAUUGAAAUUUAUCACCUAGUAGACCAGAAGUCUACUCAUCCCAAUAAUUUUAUGAUUUGGCAUGAUCGUCUCGAAAAUACUGAAUCUAUAAUGAUGAGACGAAUAAUCAAGAAUUUACAUGGUCACUCAUUGAAAAAUUAAAAGAUAUUAAAAGCAAAUGAAUUCUCCUGUGUUGCUUGUUCCCACGGAAAAUUAAUUAUUAGACCAUCACCAGUUAAAGUUGGGACUGAAUUCCCUACAUUUCUAGAACGAAUUCAUAGUGAUAUAUGUGGACUCGUAGAUCCACCAUGUGGACCAUUUCGAUAUUUUAUGGUGCUAAUUGAUGCAUCAACUAGAUGGUCACAUGUAUUUUUAUUAUCUACUCGCAACUUGAUAUUUGCGAGAUUGCUUGCUCAAAUAAUUAAAUUGCGAGCACAAUUUUCAGACUAUCUAAUAAAGAAAAUUCAUUUAGAUAAUGCUGGUAAAUAUUCGUCACAUGCUUUUGACAAUUAUUGCAUAUCUAUUGGAAUAACUAUUGAACAUCUUGUAACUUAUGUUCACACACAAAAUGGUCUAGCCGAAUCAUUUAUUAAAUGGUUACAAUUAAUUGCUAGACCAUUGUUGAUGAGGUCUAAACUUCCUUCAUCUGCUUGGGAAUAUGCUAUAUUAUAUACAGCAAUACUUGUGAGAAUUAGACCGACAAGUUAUCAUACUUAUUUUCCUCUAUAAUUAACUUUUGGUUAUAAGUCAAAUAUUUCUCAUUUACGAAUAUUUGGUUGUUCGGUUUAUGUUCGAAUUGCACGGCCCCAAUGUCGUAAAUUGGGUCCACAAAGAAGAUUGGGGAUAUAUGUCGGAUAUAAAAUCACCUUUAAUUAUUAAGUAUAUGGAACCAUUGACAGGUGAUUUAUUUACUGCAAGAUUUGCAGAUUGUCAUUCUAAUGAAUCACAUUUUUCGACAUUAGGGGGAGAUAAAAAUCAAUCGAAAAAGAAAAUCACUUGAAAAAUAUCAUUCAAUUUUCUCGAUUCUCGUACCAAAGAAUGUAAACUAGAAGUUCAAAGGAUUAUACAUUUGCAAAAAAUUACAAAUCAACUACUGGACGUAUUUAAUGACUCCAGAAGAGUUAUUAAAUCACAUAUUUUUAUUGAAAAUACUCCGAUUAAAAUUAAUGUCCUUGAAGGACAAAUUACAAGUGUUAAUGAGUGUAAAGUGCGCCUGAAGCGUGGGAGACCUCUUGGUUCUAAAGAUAAAAAUUCUCGAAAGAAAAGAGAAAUUGAUGAAUCAACAAUUAGUGACAAAAUUCAACCUCCUGAAGAAGUCGCUCCUAAAGAGCCAAUUCUUGAAGAUAAUGAAAUUAUAGAAAAUUCAAUAAAUUUUGUCGCUUCAGGAAAAAGUUGGAACAAAAAAAAAUUAUUAAUAGUAUUUUUGCAUAUAAUGUAGCACUUGUUAUUAUGGUAGGUAAUGAAGAUCGUGAGCAUAGAUCGGUUGAUGAAUGUCGACGUAGAAAUGAUUGGCCAAAAUGGAAAGAUGCGAUUCAAUCUGAAUUGGACUUACUAGCUACAAGAAAAGUUUUUGGGCCUGUAGUCCAAACACCUGAAGGUGUAAAGUCAGUAGGAUAUAAAUGGGCAUUUGUGAGAAAAAGAAAUGAGAAAAAUGAAAUCGUGAGGUAUAAAGCAAGACUUGCAACCCAAGGAUUUUCACAAAGGCCUGGAUUUGAUUAUGAUUACACGUAUUCACCUGUAGUGGAUGCUAUCACAUUUAGAUAUCUUGUGAGUUUUGCAGGACAUGAAAAAUCAGAUAUGCAUCUAAUGGACGUCGUUACUGUAUAUUUAUAUGAAAAUUUUGAAAAUGAUAUUUAAACGAGAAUCCCUGAAGGAUUCAACAUGCCUGAAGCAUGCAAAUCAAAUUUUAAAGAUAUUUAUACUAUUAAAUUACAAAGGUAUUUGUAUGGGUUCAAACAAUCUGGACGUAUGUGGUACCGCCUCAAUGAAUGUUUAACUAAAGAAGGCUAUACCAAUAAUCUAAUACAUCCAUGUGUCUUUAUCAAGAAAAAUGGACUAAUUUUAUGAUAAUUGUUGUCUAUGUUGAUAAUCUUAAUCUGAUUGGAACUCUUGAAGAGAUUCAAAAUAGUGUUGAAUAUUUGAAGAAGAAGUUUGAAAUCAAAGAUUUUGGAAAAACAAAAUUCUACAUUGAUUUACAAAUUGAGUGAUAGGUUGCAAUUUUAUCAUUUAUUUUAUUAUUAAUUUUCCCUAUUACUUAACCCAAUGUGAAUUAAUUAUUAGAUUCUACUCACUUUUAGUAUUUUACAUAUAUUUCAGGGAGUAGAACGAAAAUACCAUAAUAAGUGCCGAUUUGACAGUUAUCAGGAAAGAGUUCAAGUAGCAGGCAUCCAGGGCAUUUUUGGAACAAGGAGAUACAAGUCCUUUUUGGUAAUUCGCAGAGCGCAGCAUUAAAAGGAGGAACGAAGGGCUGAAGUAGGGAGUCUUCUUCCCCCUGGGAGGAACCGCCGCACAGCAGAGGGCUGUCUGGUCCUCUUAGUUUUUCCGUUUCUUUAGUUUUAGCUUCGGAUUUUGACUUUUCUUCUCGUAGGAAUUUUGGGUAGCCUUGAGCUUAGCAACUUUUGUUGACCCUUUUUUGGCCUUUUAGCUAGUUUGUUCUUACGCAUGGAAGAUGGCUGAAUAGCUGAGGCUUGUUCUUUGUUUUUCUUUGACUUUUCCUUUUGGUUUGCUUCCUGCGGACGCCCAGACCGAAGGAAAACUAUGAAGUCCCUUUUGUAGCUUUCUCUCUUUAUUAAAUAGACGAAUUGAAUUCCCUCAACUUGCGAAUUGAUGGCCGCAGCUUUUGCUUCAAUUUCUUGUGGGUUUAGUUCAUUAAUUAUGAACUAAUUCUACAAUUCUAGUCAAGGGGACAACUGACGAUUUGGUUCGACAAUUACUGUGAGAUCGAAUCUGUUUUAAUUAUUUUCUUCAUUUAUUGGUAUUUAUAUGUUCCUUGAUUUUAAUUGCUAUGGCCUUGUGUAUGAUUGAUUAGUGCGCAAUAAUUAAUUAUUCAUAUAGGCUAUUUUGCUAAAUAGAGGUAAUUGAAUCCGUAAUUGUUCGUUAUCUCUAUCUUAGUAGCAACUGGCGUAAUUGGGUUUAUGUCAGGGGAGCAUAUGAUCUAGCUUAAACAAACCCUCGUAGCGUGUUUGUUGGUUAGGAUUGGGCCUUUCUAAUUAUUAAUGCAAUCUAGAAAUUAAAUCUUACGGUCGUACCUAGGGUUGUUUUUGGGUUAGAGAAAUAGCUAACGGUCGUACCUUAGCUAUCGAUAAAUUAAGGAAGGGUUGGUUGUUUAUCGCGUGCAUGACAACUAUAACCAAUCUAUUAAUAAAUGUUGGGAUUAUUUUUGCAUCAAUGAUCAGUGCAUGAACCAUUUCUGAAGUAUACCCUUGGCUAGAGUUUCUCUUAGUUAUUUCUUUUAAUUAAUUAUUUUCUGCAGUUAAUUUAUUUAGUUAGCAUUUAAUCCAAAACCCCCCAUACUUUGGACUCUAAAAGAAACAAUUACUCCCAGUCCCUGUGGAUUCGACCCUGCUCACCGCUAUCUACAGAAAUCACUUUUAGUUUGAGCAGGUAUUUAUUAUUGCACAGGCUUCGACGACCUGUCAAUCUUUGGCGCCGUUGCCGGGGACUGGUGCCAGAUUAAAUUGUUUCUUUUUGAGUUUAUCUUGUUUUCAUUUUUUUAAUUUAUUUUUCUCUUAUUUUUUAUUAUUAUUAUUAUUUUUUUUAUGGCUGCUAACAUUCCAUAUUUUGAUGAUAGACUGGAUUUUGUUCCUGAAUGGGGUUAUGAGACUCAUGUUUUUCCUAACGAUCAAUGGGCUGUUGCAAAUUGUGGAACUUAUUUUGACUCAAGUUAUUCAACUGACACAUGCCCCGUAUUUCAAGAUAAUUUAAGUUCUCCACUUGAUACUUUUGGAGAUUUUUCACCCCAAUAUCAAACGUGGUAUGACCCUUAUUCAAACGGGUAUGAUCAAGGAUGGUGGGAUAAUUCCAAUUUUGAUUAUGCGACCGGGCCAAUGGAUUUUCAACAGCAAGAGUCUCAGCAAUCAUCCUCCGUGUCAGGUAUGUCUCUUGAAGAAAUGAUAGGUUUACUAAUUGCUAAUUCAAAUCGAUUUCAUCAGGAGACACAAGCGAGCCUAAAUCGAUUUCAUCAGAGGACACAAGCGAGCUGUCGCGACCUGGCGGAUCAACUGCGUCAAUUGACAGCCAGGAUGCAGCGAUUAGAGGCUCACCUUGAAGAAUUGCCCUCGCAAACCAAUAUCAAUCUUGAGGAAGAUGAGAGUGCAAUUGUCCGGGCAAAUGACAUGGAACUGCAAGAGUUUCAAGAAAACGGAUUUAAAGAUGCAGUUGAAAAGGAAGCUGAAGUGCAAGAAAUGAGACUCCAAGAUCAACUCGUUCAAGUGAAUGAAUCCAGUGAACAAUCUCCAAAUGCGGUGACAUCUUCUCCACUCCUUAAUCAAUAUUUUCCUGGCUCCUAUUCUUCAACUCCUGUUACUGAAAUUGAUUUUAUUAUACCAGAAAAUUUAAAAUUUCAUGACAGGAAUAAGUUAAGAGUGGAGAUGGCAAAAUAUCUUGAACCAAUGAAUGCGUGUGAUGGAGGAGUGAGUGGAGAAUGCAGAUCAUUGUUGACUUGUUUAGCGCCAUUUACUAGUCCAUGGAAGCCCGUAACUCGUGUGCCCAAGAAUUACUCCAUCUAUGAGGGUUACCAGGAUCACGUUGAAGAUGAAGCAUUGAAGCGAGCCACAAGAUUUUAUCCUCCAUGAGCAAAACAUGAUAAUGUCUAGCCAAAGACAUUAAAGAAAGGCGCUCAUUGGGAGGCAACCCAAUUUCUUUUAGUUGUUUGUUUGAUUUUAUUUGUUAGUUUAAAUCUGUCUUCCUUGAAUUUGACUGAUUUUGGGUGUUAAUUUUCGUUUUUACUGAUUUGUAGGUGACCUUCAGUCAUGACGCGCCCGCGUGGUGACGUGCAGGAAGCUCACGAUCAGAAACUUCUGGGAGCUCUCUUACCCUCAUGACGUGCCCGCGUCAAGUCACCUGGAGAGUUCCAGAUUCCGUGCCUUCAUGGUGUGCCCACGUCACGUUCACGGGAGAGAUAAGUAUUUAAAAAAAAAAUUCAAAAACGAUUGUUGAUUGUUGGUUAUCUCUGCUUUUGAAUCUCGAAAAUAAAAUUUGCUAAUGAAAAUAAAUUUCAAAAAAAUAAAAAAAAAUUUUUUAAAAAAAAAAAUUUAAAUUUUUGUUUCACGGUAGCUUAGAUUUUCAAAUCCUAAAAAAAAAAAAAAACACAGAAACUCUUUCUUAUCAACGUAGCUUUAGUGUCAAAUAUUUUAAAAAAAAAAAAGUCUCAAAUGAAAAAAAAAAAGGGCUUUUCUUUUUCUUUCUUUUCUUUCUUUCUUCUUCUUUCUCUUUUCUGUCUUCCUUCUCCCCUGUUUCUUCUUCCUCUCUGUUGACCGAAGCCCUCUGUCCGCCGCCGCUGCUGAAGCGCCCUCAGCCGUCGCGCAGCAGCUCCUCACUCGAAGACGCCGCGGCCACAGCACCUCUGCACGCGGCCUCCACCUCUCCAUCGCGCGCCGUCAAGAGCUCCGCCGACCCACGACGCGCGAGGCACCAGCUCGCGCGCCUCCCCCACCUAGCAACUGCUGGCCGACCAGCCCCACCACCAGCCCGCGCCGCACCUGCUGGCCGACCUAUCAACUCCUAAGCUCGCGAACCUCCUCAGCUCAGCUCCACCAGCGAGCUGCUCCUCGCUCACUCCAUCGCGUGAAGACCAGGCGAGCACGGCCCGCAGCCUCUCACCGCCACUGCGCACCUCUGACCAGCUCGCAGCACCUCUCUCUGCCCUCCGUGCGCUGCCCGCGCGUGGCACCAGCGCCUCCACAGCUCGUCGACGAAGCCCAAGCUGACAGACCACGCCGCUCGUCCACUUCCACCACUCGCGACGCACAGAUCAGCGCUGCCGUUGGUUGCCCAACCUCCCUGGUGCCAGGUUUUUCUUACUAAUUUUGUGGUCUACGAUUCCAAUUUCUUGAUGAUGGGAUUUUUGAUGAUUACGAUUUCAUUGAGUAAAUUUGAUUGGCUUGCAUCUGUGUUACUGGAGCCCGUGGGUUGGGUUAUGACCUGCAACUGAUUUGCCUAGUCUAAUAUAAUUGUCAUUUGUUUGGGCUCUUGAAGUACUGUCUAGUGUUGUUUGUAUUUCUUAGUGAAUUGAGUUUGCCGUUUGAUUUCAUUCUUCCCUGUGCGUACACCAGUGGUACUGGUUGUGGUAGUUGCCUAACAUUUAUUCAUUCUCAUUGGUGUGGCUGUUGGGAUUGAAAGCUCAGAACUUGUGACUAAGUUGUUAUUGCCUAAAUGCUGACCUGCUAUUACUAGACUUGCUGAUUUCUUGGGAGCAUUUGUUGGGAUUUUGGGUGGAUAUUAGCAAGUGGUAUAUUGCUUGAUUUUUUUUACCUGUGCCUUGCUUGGAGUUUCUAGUGCAUGUUUGGGGCUGCCUUGGGAGUUAUUUGCCACAAUUGAUUGCCGUUUUGGUUUCUUCUGUUUCUGGUACUGCUUGUGCUGAUGGAUUUAUCAGUGUUUUGGGCGGCUUAUUUGAAUUGCUUCUUCCCUGUGUGUUUGGUCAGCUGUUUGCUUGAAAACCCAAACCCUUGUGCUUAUAUUUGCUCCCAGUUGAGUUAUGUGUUGGACUUUCCAAUUGGUGACAACUUUUGGGCUUUAGGGGUGAGUUCAUUUUGUCAUUAUUUGCUACCUUGUUGGGGUCAUUUUUGGUUUCACCUGAGUCUAUUGUCCUGCCUUCUGUUUUGAGUCCAUUGGAGUGACGUGAGUUGAGUAAUUUCUGCUUUUGUUUGUUGAUUUGGAAGGCUACUGUGCCACUUUCAUUGCUUAUUGCUUAGUGAUUAUGUCUAAUUAACAAUGUGCAUAGCAUGGCGCAGAAUUUGGCAGCAUUCAUGUAGCAUGCCGGUCUUAUACCUCAAUUGGGUACCUCUAUUUGGUUGGCUGCGUUCUUAUUGUCCAAUAUCUAUGCUGUUUUCAAUGGAAUUGCUGAUCUUGGGUUAAGACUUUAGCUGGCCAACUGGAGCCAUUUGUUGAGAUUUUGGGUGAACUGCAAUACUGCACUCGUUUGUUCAAUUGGGAGGUUUCUUUUGGUAUUCUGGUUGAGUUAUUUCUAAAGUUGCCUGAUGAAUUGAGAGACAUAGAUGGCUAUUGCUCUGCCCUGAUAUUGCUUGGUUGCCAGUGCGCAUUCUCUAUGCCAAGUGGCAAGGAUGUCUCAGAACUCGGCUUCCCUCCACUGUUCCCUCCUAUCCCUUAGCUGUUCAGCAGGGAAGUCUCGUUAUCCUCUUCGCUUUAAUUAUUUUAUUACCUCCAUUGAGGACAAUGUAGGAUUUAGGUGUGGGGGGAGCAGUUAUGGUGCUAGUGUCUUUCGUUCAUUUUCUUUUUCUUCUUUUUAGUGAUUGGCUCGUAAGUGCAUGCCAAGGUUUGAUGUUGGAUUAUUGCCUCUAUUUCUACUUUUGCCAAGUUUUAAUAAUAAAAGGGUAUCAAGUUAAUGUGGUUGAAUCCAAAAACAUCUCUUUGGUGAAUAUCAAUAAUUGUUUUACUCUUAUAAUUUUUUGGUUAACUUUCCUAGGCAUAGGGAAUGAUUAUUGGCAUUUUUAGUGAAUUGGUCCGGUUAUUAACCUUAGUUCUCCAUGUUUGAAAAUGAGGCUAGCUGAUGCAAGUUUUCUUUUGGUUCUUGUGUUAUAUUGAGUUUUUGUGAUUUUUAGCUCUGAAUAAACUUGACUGUACUCCGCUAUUAGUUACUACUGAGUAACCGGGGAUCUGCACCUAAAAGUGUUGAUUCUCGCGUCAAAAGAUAGUAGUUCCUAUGAGUACGUGGUCACGUGGCGAUAGAAGCUGAGUAACCGGGCUCCUUCAUCUGGCCAAUGUUGGAAUUCGCGUCAAAAGGCUCUAAUGGCUAGCGACUAAGUCUUUUGUUACUAUUGAAAAAAAACGAGAAAGAAGAAGAAGAAAAAAAAAAGAAAAAAAAGAGAAAAGUAGAAAAAUGUGAAAGAAAAAGUGAAUGCUGUGUUAGUGUAUAAUAAAAGUCAGCUUGCCGAUUUAUGGAUUUAAUGUUGAGAUUUUGGUUAAUAGUUGGACCAUUUGCUGAUAACUGUUAUGCGUCAUUCCUUUUUCUUAGAUUGGUUAACAUGAAAUUAGAGGAAUUUAUGGUUUAGAAGCUAACCGGAGUGAUGUUUCUUGGACUAGACCAUUGAUGCUUGAUUAUUAUAUUUUCUUGGUAUCUUGGCAAUAUGGUAGAUGGAGUAAUAGCCAUUGGCAAGUGUUGGUGUUUAUUUGCUGUUCUCAUGCUUGAGGACAAGCAUGGUUUAGGUGUGGGGGGAAUUGAUAGGUUGCAAUUUUAUCAUUUAUUUUAUUAUUAAUUUUCCCUAUUACUUAACCCAAUGUGAAUUAAUUAUUAGAUUCUACUCACUUUUAGUAUUUUACAUAUAUUUCAGGGAGUAGAACGAAAAUACCAUAAUAAGUGUCCGAUUUGACAGUUAUCAGGAAAGAGUUCAAGUAGCAGGCAUCCAGGGCAUUUUUGGAACAAGGAGAUACAAGUCCUUUUUGGUAAUUCGCAGAGCAGCAGCAUUAAAAGGAGGAACGAAGGGCUGAAGUAGGGUCUUCUUCCGCCUGGGAGGAACCGCCGCACAGCAGAGGGCUGUCUGGUCCUCUUAGUUUUUCCGUUUCUUUAGUUUUAGCUUAGGAUUUUGACUUUUCUUCUCGUAGGAAUUUUGGGUAGCCUUUAGCUUAGCAACUUUUGUUGACCCUUUUUUGGCCUUUUAGCUAGUUUGUUCUUACGCAUGGAAGAUGGCUGAAUAGCUGAGGCUUGUUCUUUGUUUUUCUUUGACUUUUCCUUUUGGUUUGCUUCCUGCGGACGCCCAGACCGAAGGAAAACUAUGAAGUCCCUUUUGUAGCUUUCUCUCUUUAUUAAAUAGACGAAUUGAAUUCCUUCAACUUGCGAAUUGAUGGCCGCAGCUUUUGCUUCAAUUUCUUGUGGGUUUAGUUCAUUAAUUAUGAACUAAUUCUACAAUUCUAGUCAAGGGGACAACUGACGAUUUGGUUCGACAAUUACUGUGAGAUCGAAUCUGUUUUAAUUAUUUUCUUCAUUUAUUGGUAUUUAUAUGUUCCUUGAUUUUAAUUGCUAUGGCCUUGUGUAUGAUUGAUUAGUGCGCAAUAAUUAAUUAUUCAUAUAGGCUAUUUUUUGCUAAAUAGGGGUAAUUGAACCCGUAAUUGUUCGUUAUCUCUACCUCAGUAGCAACUGGCGUAAUUGGGUUUAUGUCAGGGGAGCAUAUGAUCUAGCUUAAACAAACCCUCGUAGCGUGUUUGUUGGUUAGGAUUGGGCCUUUCUAAUUAUUAAUGCAAUCUAGAAAUUAAAUCUUACGGUCGUACCUAGGGUUGUUUUUGGGUUAGAGAAAUAGCUAACGGUCGUACCUUAGCUAUCGAUAAAUUAAGGAAGGGUUGGUUGUUUAUCGCGUGCAGGACAACUAUAACCAAUCUAUUAAUAAAUGUUGGGAUUAUUUUUGCAUCAAUGAUCAGUGCAUGAACCAUUUCUGAAGUAUACCCUUGGCUAGAGUUUCUCUUAGUUAUUUCUUUUAAUUAAUUAUUUUCUGCAGUUAAUUUAUUUAGUUAGCAUUUAAUCCAAAACCCCCCAUACUUUGGACUCUAAAAGAAACAAUUACUCCCAGUCCCUGUGGAUUCGACCCUGCUCACCGCUAUCUACAGAAUUAAUUUUAGUUUGAGCAGGUUUUAUUAUUGUACAGGCUUCGACAACCUGUCAUUGAGCAUUUGAAAAGUGAAAUUUUUGUCCACCAAACUGCUUAUACCCGGAAGGUAUUAAAGUAGUUUUAUAUGGAUAAGGCAUAUACAUUAAGUACCCCAAUGGUCAGAUCAUUAGAUCCUAAUAAGGACCCUUUUAGACCGCGAGAGGAAGUUGAAGAGAUACUUGGUCCUAAAGUACCAUAUCUCAGUGCAAUUAGUGCACUAAUGUAUCUUGCUAAUUGUACAAGACCUGAUAUAUCAUUUGCAAUAAAUUUAUUAGCAAGAUUUAGUUCUCGCUCACAAGACGACAUUGGAAUAGUAUUAAACAUAUUUUUUGUUAUCUCCAAGGAUCAAUUGAUCUUGGCUUAUUUUAUUCAAAUAAAUCUAAACUUGAAUUGUUUGGUUAUGUUGAUGCUGGAUAUUUAUUUGGCCCACAUAAAGUAAGAUCUCAGACUGGUUAUCUAUUUACAUAUGGAGGUACAACCAUUUCUUGGCGAUCUACAAAGCAAUCAUUAGCUGCCAUUUCAUCGAAUCAUGCUGAAAUAAUAGCAAUUCAUGAAAUUAGUUGAGAAUGUGUUUGGUUAAAAUCAAUGACCCACUAUAUCCGGAAAAGUUGUGGGUUAUCCUCCGAAAAAGAAAAUCCUUCAACUAUAUUAUAUAAAGAUAAUGCAGCUUGUAUAACUCAAUUGAAAGGAUGAUAUAUUAAAAGAGAUAGAACGAAAUAUAUUUCACCAAAAUUCUUUUUUACUCAUGAUUUACAAAAGAAUGGUGAAAUUGAUGUGCAACAAAUCUGAUCAGAUAAUAAUUUGACAGAUUUAUUUACCAAUGCAUUGCCAACUGCAAUAUUUAAGAAAUUGGUGAAGAAUAUUGGAAUGCGACGACUAUAAGAUCUCAAAUGAUAUUUGCAUCCGGGGGAACAAUCAAUACACAAGAAUAGUGUACUCUUUUUCCUUCAUUAAGGUUUUUAUCCCGUUGGAUUUUUUCCUAGUAAGGUUUUAAUGAGACACAUUCUUUGUGUAAUGGACAUCCAAUGGGGAGUGUUAUGAAACAACUAAAAAUGUGGAUGCCCAUUUGUAUUCUCAAGAAGAUCAAUUCAUAAUUCAUUGCUUCCAAAAGGAUUAAUUCAUAAUUCAUUGCUACAUUAUAUAAAGGAAUUACAUUGGAUGAACGGUUUCAAUCCAUAAGAGCUAUUCAUGUAUUGGAUGAACCAUUUCAUAUGGUUAUUUAUGUUCUUGUAGUAAUGAGUGUUUAAUAGAAUUGAUGUACCUUUAAUUUUGUAGUACCUAUAUAUAGAGGUACCUUGGCACCUCUUGGAUGUACUUUUUGAUUAGUUGGAAUAAUAAAAAAAUCAUUCUCCAUUUCUGUACUUUUUUUUCUAAUAUUUUAAUUCCUAUUAUAGUAGUUCAUUUUUUUUUUAGUUUUACAACAUUACUCAAAGAAGAGGGUUAUUGGACUAUAUGUUUAUUGACCUCUACUAGGGAUGACAAUGGGGGCGGGUGACGGCAAUGGGGGCGGGUGACCGCGGGCACCCGUCCCGCGGGGGGCUAAUGGGGAGAGGGAUGGGGCCGGGGCGGGGGGUAGGGGAGUGUACCCCCGCCCCAUCCCCCGUCCCGCUACCCGCUUUAAAAAAAUAAAUAUAUAAAAUAUAUAUAGGUAUAUAAUUAUAUAUAUAAUAUAUAAUUUAAUUGGUUACAAACUUAUGAUAAUAAUAUUAUUAGUUAUAUGUAUUAUAUGAUGUCUAUUAGUAUAAAUAAUAUAAUUGAUAUUAUUAAUUAUACUAAUAAUUAUAUAUGUGUACUCAUACAAAUUAUUAAUUGGUUAUACUAAAUUUACUAAUACAUUUAUACUAAAUCCCUAAUUACACUUAAUACAAUAACAUUAUUUUCAUAAAAAAAACACAACCACAAUAAUGAAUUAGUGAUUGUAUUUGUACCAAAAGUGAAAAUUUGAUUACUUUAGUUAUAUUUUUUUCAUCAUGUUGGAUUGUAUUCAAAUAAUUUUUGUUUGAUUGUUUUUAUAAGUUUCAAUUGUAAAAUUGCAAUGAAUAAUAAUUUGAUGAUGUGUUGAUAUUUUAGUACUUGAUUAUUUGCUAAAAUUUAAUCAUAAUAAAAUUAUAUAACAAAUUUUUAUUAGCUCAGCGGGAGCACCCGCCGGAGAAGCGGGGCAGGGUGGGGACGGGGCGAGGGAAGCGGGGGAUGGGGGAGGGGUCCCCCGCCCCAACCCUCUUCCCCAUCUCCCGCCCCGUUGCCAUCCCUAACCUCUACUAACUUAUUUAAGGUCAUUUUAUAUCACUAUCCAAAGAAGAAUUAAGGUCAUUUUAUAUCACUAUCCAAAGAACAAUUCUUGGGCGUUAACAUUUUUCUUACAUGCCAAGACUAUUAAUGAAAGUUGACCCAAAUCUCUCUCUCUCUUUCUCUCAAUUCUUAGGACUGAUGCCAAUUCUUACCAUUUAGAAAGAAAAAUUAGAUUGUUUAUAUAUAUGAUGAGUUCCCUCUAAGUCAUGGUUAAGAAAAAUUCUUAGUUAGACGCAGUUUUAUGAAAUGUGAAUUUCCUUUUCUUUGUCUUUAUUCGUUAGUAUUAUUGGGGUUAUUGUAUUAUGAUUGCAAUGCACAGAUACAUGGAUUUUUGACAUUUUUUUCUCAUUUUUUCUUUUUAAUUGACUCUGACUAUGUCUCAAACUCGAGACAUCAAACCUGGAGAAGACUUUUGUCCAAAAUGCUUGUAAAAAUUCAGAAGAAUAAUGUUGGACCUUAUUAUUUAAUAAUGGUGCAAUUAUGAGAGUCAUUCCUGGUUUAAUUAUCAACAUCAUGUCAUUAUUAUUUUUUUGUUUCAUAGAAAAAUAAAGUAUUCUCCGACUCGACAUUAUCAUAUUAUUUUCAAUUGGCAGCUUUAAGUGAGAAAGGCCGGUGAAAAUUUUGGGCAUUACUAGUUUAUUUAGGCCUCACGCGCUCCGUGAAGGUGCCGACGUCAUCUUCGUUUUAAUGGAAAAAUUUGAGCGCGCUUUGAUCAUAAGGAAUUCACAAUCAUCGGGCCAACAAAGAAAGCACUAAAUGGUUAAAACAAACCAUGCAAAUUUGCUCAGCACUUAAACAAUAGACUCCUAAACCGACCAUUUUACUGUCUUGCCAAAAAAGGGCAUUAAAGUAAAAACAACCCAUGCCUAACACAACUAACAAACUUCAGCACCUUCACUUCACUGCCACGUCAUCAACAACAUCUGUAAAUUUCCAAGGAAGUCCACGCACUAAAGGUGCCAUGGGGGACCUCAGGUUAGUGUUCUUAACAUCAACUCCUGUCUUUAUAUUCUUAGGAAAUAUUGAAAUUAAACAUUAUAACUAAUCCUGAUUUCCUUAUGCUGUAUUUGUACACAAUUUGGCAACUUGAUAAAAAGUUUGUUCCAAUUUAUUCCAAUUUAAUUUGUCAGCUAGUCGAAUCUAAUUUGAAUAGUAUUUAACUUUGAAAUUUGAUAAAAAGUUUGUUCAAACUUGGUUUACUAAAUAAACAAGUUAAGUUUGAACAAAAUUUCAAACUUAUUAAAAUAAUUAAAUACGUUUGAAUACUAGGGUAUUCAAUUUAAUUAGACUCGUUUGCACCCAUAAUUAAAGCAUGCACUUUUUUAUAAAUUUAGGAAUCAACAUUAUCUAUUUGAUAGCUAGCUAAUGGCCCAAAAAGUUAAUUGCCUUAAAUUCUUUUAGCAGCCAUAAAGUAUAGUUGGAGGGAUUCCCUUGAAAUUGAUUAGAUUCUUCUAUGUGACUGUGACGUAUUACUAGUCCUACCCAAAAAAAAAUGGUAUUACUAGUCCUUUUUUCUUUUUGUGGCGUGCCACCGCCGUAGGGGGCGGGGAGGGCAGUCAGUGCGAGAAUUCUAGAUGGGGUAGAAGUAGCCAAAGUUCACCUUAUUCAAAGUAAACAACCGACAAUCUCAGUUGUCGACUUUCCUGUCGAUUGCGUAUAUAUUACUAUCUUUUACCAUGACUUUAGAGGAUACCUAAUUUUGCUUGCUAUUAAAUAAUAAUUCCUGGCACCACAUAAUUCUUUCAAGAACUACCAAAACCUUCUUGAAAUCCCUCUUUUUCCUUUUAGUUCAUUUCCAAGAAACAAAUUGAACCAUCAUGGCCCCUGUCACUUCCAGUUAUGAGGUCACCUCCUCAAUCCCUCCUGCAAGGUUGUUCAAGGCCACCAUCCUUGAAGAGAAGCAUCUUCACAAGAUCUUGCCACAGGGCGUUAAGAGUGUCGAAAUCCUUGAAGGAGAUGGUGGAGUUGGCACAAUUAAGUUGACCACAUUUGUUGAAGGUAAGAUAUCAAUACAAAGUGAUUAUUUUCACACAUUUGAAGUCCUCAAAAUGUUCUUUUUUUUUUUUAACAUUUUAUUUGUGGGGGUAAGUAUGUAUGUAAGCCCUAAUAACCUUUUUUUUUUUGUUGGGUUAAAUAUUUAGGUGGCGAGCUUAAGACUGCCAAACAGAGAGUUGAUGGAAUUGACAAAGAAAAAUUUACAUACAGUUAUACUGUACUUGAAGCUGAUGGAUUUAACGAUGUAAUCGAGAAAAUCUGUUGUGUCAUCAAAUUUGAACCCUCUGCUGAUGGAGGUUCAAUCUGCAAAACCACUAAUACAUACUACCCCAAAGGUGGUGCUCAGAUCAGUGAGGAACACCUCAAGGGAGGAAAAGAGAAGGGUUUGGGAAUGGUUAAGGCUGUUGAGGCUUACCUCCACGCAAAUCCUACUGCCUACAACUAAUUAAAAUGAAUGCUACUGAAGGACUCUUCGACAUAUUUUCUUCAAGAUUGAAGUAUAAACUGAGGGUGUCUGUUUCCUUUUUUGCUUGGUUUGCUUAAGCUGUUUGGUUAAGUUAUUCGCAGCAAGAGAAUAAAAUAAUUCACUUGCUGUUUUUAGAUAUGAAUUCAUGACUGUCAGUAGUCUAUAAAUACACUUAUUGCUCACCGCUCUUUGCACCGCAAAAUCUUUUCAAGAUCCAUCAAACCCUCCUGUUCUUGAUCUUUCUCCAUUUGUGAAAAAACAAAUUAAAGCAUCAUGGCCCCGAUCACUUGUAGUGCUGAGAUGACCUCCCCAAUGCCUCCUGCAAGGUUGUUCGAGGCCGCCAUCCUUGAUGACCACCUUCUUCCCAAGAUCAUGCCACAGGCUAUUAAGAGUGUGGAAAUCCUUGAAGGAGAUGGUGGAGUUUGAACCAUUAAUUUGAGCACAUUUGGUGAAGGUUAGAUGUUAUAUUAAAUGUAGAACCCCAAAUUUAAGGAUCGAAUAAUAAUCAACGCAUGUGGGGUUAUAGAAUUGAAGGGAUAAAACAAAUACUCAAAAUAUACGUGAAAGAAAAGAAAAUAAUAAAUUCAACUUACAAUAUUAUUAAAUUUUCAAACAAUGGAAAAAAUCAUACCACAAUAAAUUCAGCUGGUUCUAAUAAUAAUCAAAGCAUACAAGGUUACAGAAUUAAAAGGAUAAAACAAACGCUCAAAAUAUAUGUGGGAGAGAAGAAAAUAAUCAAUUCAACACACAAUAUUAUUGAAAUCUCAAACAAUGAAAAAAGUCACACCAUAAUAGAAAACCUUGCUUAUUCUUCUAGAUUCUUUCUCUUGAGAGACCAACCUAAAUAAUGUCCUAUUUAUAAUCUACCAAACUUGUUAAGAAAGAAACCACUUGCAUAAGAAAUUACGAAAUAAAUUAGAAAUUCCUAAAUCACACAACUACUAAAAACAUAACUCAAAUAAAACUAAAAAAUAAAUAAAUAUUUCUAGGCUUAGUUUAAUUUGUCAACAUUGCCUCCCUUAAACCAAAUUAUUCAUUGAGAUAGGUUCAACACCAUCUCGAGCAAUAAUUUCUAUGCAAAUCUAUGUUGUAGUACAUUUGACAUGAAACUCUAACUUGUUACCAGUUAUUAAUUUCAUUUUUACACGUAACAAUGGACGCACUAUAUAUUUUGUAAAAAAUUUCUCAGCAAUUUCUUCUUGAUCAAAGUACUCAUUUAUACAAACCCAUUCGUCACCAGAAUCACCAUAUUUACCACCAAUGUAAGUGCCUAAAAUUAAAAAAUCAUAGGUUGCUUUCUCGCUAAAGUUAUCAUCACCAAAUAAUUCAAAAUAACCACUACUACAAUUAUCCAAAAUUUUCAUACUGUCAGUCAACUCUUUUGGAGUAAAAUAUUUUUCAACUCCGAUGACAUCCAUAUCUAUCAAAUCAAACAUUCUCCCAUCACUUUGAAGAGAGUCCGAACCAACAAAUUUUUCAACAACAAUUUCAUGUUCUCUUCUUUUAUCAAAUCAAAAUUUUCUUCUUCUUUUGUCAAAUUACCAUAUUAUUUUUUUCAACAAAUUCAUUACUUCUAAUUUCUCCAAACAAGGUAUGCAAAUCAAAACUAUCAAUUGAUUCAAAAUUUUCGAUAUCACCCAUAUUAUGAACAAAUCUAUCAUUUUUAAAAUCCACAAACCAAUACCAACAACUAGACUUCAGUUUGAAAGCAUAAUUUCUCUCAAUCAUGUGCAAAACAUAGUAAAUAUCCUUCCAAAAUCUCUAAAGUAUUUUAGUAUGACCAAUAAAGGUUCUAUAAAUACUUUCUGCCAUUAUUUUACGCAUCACUUGAAAGAAUAAUUGUGCCUUUUUCUUAAAAACAUGUUUUGACAACUUACUUGCAUCAACCCAACAAAGAAUAUCAUCCAAAUUGCAUUGCUUGACAUAUUUUUCCACUGUUAAAAUCCAAUUAAAAUAUGUAUGUCUAUUUGUGCUUAUAGGAGUCAAUAUGAAAAAUUUUUCACCGUCAAUUAGAUCUUUAUAAUAUUCCAUUAUUUAACAAUUUCUAUACCUGAAUAAAUUUUUUUCCUCCAUCCUGUCAUGUUUUCUUGGCCUCCCUGGUUGACUAACCAAAUUAUUGUUGUAUGUAUACCCAUGCUCGUCAAACCUCAUUCGUGUACACUCGUAAGGAGUGGUUCUGAGCUUAUUGUGAAUGCUUAGUACCAAGAAGUAGAAGAGAGAAUGCAUAAGAGAGAAUUAACUUGGCUAAAGAAUUAGGAAACAAUUGAGGGAUUUUUUAAGAAAUUAAUUCUCCAACCGCCACUUUUGGAUCUUUUCUAUCUACAACUAGUUACCAAAACACUAGCACAUAGUAAGAAAUCGGGAUAAUUUCAGAAACCUCCCUUGAGGCUUUUAAUAAUCUCAAGAAGCUCCCCUCAAUAUUUUAAAAUUACACGUACCUUCCCUAUUGGAGCAAAAGUACUCUACUACCCCUAAUAGGAUACUCAAAAGACUUUUUUUAUGGGAAAAAAGAACCUCAGAAAUCCAAGCGAAAGCAAAAAAAUCAAUUUAUUUUCUCUUUUAGCCUUUAACGCUUUUGCCUUCUACCUUUGCUCACUUUCCCAUGCCAAUCUUCCUAUAACCACUUUCCCAAUCCCCUUUCCCCAACUUUUCUCCUCUACUUCAAGACUAAUUUUUGUCCAUCAAUCCUGGCUUGUGCUUUGUUCCAUUCCCUUCCCUUCUCCUUCUUUGAUUUCCCCUACAUCGCCCUUUCUCUUUGCAAAAGUGACUAGGCUCAUCUCUCUCUUUUUUCCCCUUAUUCUAAGUGUAGUGGGUUUGAUUAUUUUGCAUCUAUUUUAUUUGGUUUUGGUUGAUUAUGGGUGAUAAAACUUGGUGAUGUCAAAUAUCAAAAGUUUGAUAGAUGGAUAUUGGGCUUUAGACAAUGAUUUGCUAGAAAAAAAUGGCUGCAAUGAGAGGAAAAGGCAAGGGGAUUUGAAUGUGGGGUUGAUUGUUGAUGAAUUGUUGUUUUGGACAAAAUUUGAGGUUGAGUUUUGUCAAAUUUGGUAGCAAGUGGCGAGAUUUGUUCAGGUUUCGGGAAAUAAAUUGGAUUGUGGUUUCUUGGGCACCCACAGUUGUUGGAAUUGGUUUUGAUUCAAAUAAAGGUGGUUACUUGAUUUUCCUAAUAGUGUUGCUUAAGAGCACACGAUCAUCAAAAUUCCUUAUUUUUAUCUUUUUUUUUUUGUAGAAAAGAUUUCAUGACUUUCGUGAUAGUCUAAUUUGGAAGAAGGCAAUCAAGGGAUGCAAUCAACAUUUAGCAAAAGCUCUUGUUCUUUUCUUUCUAUUUUUUAGGGUAAAAAGGGUAGUUUAGGGUAUUUGAAGGAAAUGAUAGUCUAUUGGGUCUAUUUUGAAGCAUAAAUAGUGAACGUAAGGGAGGUUGGUGUAAUUUCUGAAACCUAAGGGGAAUUGUCUAAAUUGUCCGAGACCUCAGAGAAGGUUUUCGAAAUUAUCCCUAAGAAAUCAAAUGCGAAACUUGAUUAGUACACACACACACGACACUGCACCACGGCACGCGUGUGUUGAGAACUGAUGUCCGUAACCAACGACAAGCAGGUUUUCAAUUUUUUUUUCCUUUCCUGGAUUCUCCAGAGAUGGUGUCAGCUUCUAUUAUUGAUGAGCAGGAGGAAAUCCACAAUAUACAGUACACAUCACCCAUAUUCUUUUUAAUUGAACAAUGUAUGAAAUUAUGGUGAUUCGAAAUUAAAUUAUAUGUUUAUUGGGCAACGAAUCCAAAAUAAGAAUUGGAAAUGUAUUGUGGCAACAAUUGUUAACUUAGGCUACAAAUGAUCAAAAUAAAUAUUUAAGAUUUAAUAUGACAUUAUGGGUUCAAAAUAUAGUUACUUGUUAUGAAACAACUAAAAGUGUGGAUGUCCAUUUGUAUUCUCAAGAGGAUCAAUUCAUAAUUCAUUGCUCCCAAGAGGAUUAAUUCAUAAUUCAUUGCUACAUUAUGUGAAGGAAUUACAUUAGAUGAACGGUUUCAAUCCAUAAGAGCUAUUCAUGUAUUGGAUGAACCGUUUCACAUGGCUAUUCAUGUUCUUGUAGUAAUAAGUAUUUAAUAGAAUUGAUGUAUGUUUAAUUUUGUAGUACCUAUAUAUAGAGGUACCUUGGCACCUCUUGGCUGUCCUUUUUGAUUAAUUUGAAUAAUAAGAAAAUCAUUCUCUAUUUCUAUACUUCUUUCUCUAAUAUUUCAAUUCUUAUUAUAGUAGUUCAUUAUUUUUUUAGUUUUACAACACGUUAUCAGCACGAGUCUCUAUUUUUGAAUAAAAAACUGAAAAUGGAGCCUAUACCUUAAAAAAAGCAAAAAAUGUGAUUCUGCUGAAAUUCUGCAUGUAUUUUUCCGGCAACUUCUAUCUACUUAUUGAGAAAUGGAUGCCAAAUAUUUGGGAUUAAAUAAUGGUGAUGAUGACAUUUGUCUCAUUGAUUGUACUACUACGCACACUAUAUUGAAAAAAAAAAUUCUUGUAUGAAAAUGGGAGAGACAAAUGUUAAUACCAUAAGUGGUAGUGCAAAAUUGAUUGAAAGUUCUGGAAGAGCCACUCUAUUUCUUCCUGAAAGGACUAAAAUUGUCGUAAAUAAUGCACUACUAUCUCUCAAGUCUUGAAGAAAUUUAUUCAGUUUUAAAGAUAUCUGCGAAAAAUGGAUAUCAUAUCGGGACAAUAAAUGAGACAAAUGGAGAAUUUUUAUUAAUCACAAAUAUCAUUUCUGAGCAGAAAUACGUAGUAGAAAAAUUACCUUCUUUUUCUUCUGGCUUAUAUUAUGCACAAAUUAGUGCAAUUGAAAUUUAUCACCUAGGAGACCAGAAUUCUACUCAUCCCAAUAAUUUUAUGAUUUGGUAUGAUUGUCUCGAAAAUCCUAGAUAUAUAAUGAUGAGGCAAAUAAUUGAGAAUUCACAUGGUCACUCAUUGAAAAAUCAAAAGAUAUUAAAAGCAAAUAAAUUCUCUUGUGUUGCUUGUUCCCACGGAAAAUUAAUUAUUAGACCAUCACCAGUAAAAGUUGGGACUGAAUCCUCUACAUUUCUAGAACGAAUUCAUGAUGAUAUAUGUGGACUUGUAGAUCCACCAUGUGGACCAUUUCGAUAUUUUAUGGUGCUAAUUAAUGCAUUAACUAGAUGAUCACAUGUAUGUUUAUUAUCUACUCGCAACUUGGCGUUUGCGAGAUUGUUUGCUCAAAUAAUUAAAUUGCGAGCACAAUUUUCAAACUAUCCAAUAAAGAAAAUUCAUCUAGAUAAUGCUGGUGAAUAUUCGUCACAUGCUUUUGACGAUUAUUGCAUGUCCAUUGGAAUAACUGUUGAACAUCCUGUAACUUAUGUUCACAUUCAAAAUGGUUUAGCCGAAUCAUUUAUUAAAUGGCUAUAAUUAAUUACUAGACCAUUGUUGAUGAGAUCUAAACUUCCUUCAUUUGCUUGGGAACAUGCUAUAUUACAUGUAGCAAUACUUGUGAGAAUUAGAUCGACAAGUUAUCAUACUUAUUUUCCCCUAUAAUUAACUUUUGUUUUUGAGUCCAAUAUUUCUCAUUUACGAAUAUUUGGUUGUUCGAUUUAUGUUCUAAUUAUACCGUCCCAACAUCGUAAAUUAGACCCGCAAAGAAGAUUGGGGAUAUAUGUUGAGUAUGAAUCACCUUUAAUUAUUAAGUAUAUGGAACCAUUGACAGGUGAUUUAUUUACUGCGAGAUUUGCAGAUUGUCAUUUUGAUGAAUCACAUUUUUCGACAUUAGGGGGAGAUAAAAAUCAACCGAAAAAGAAAAUCACUUGAAAAAUAUCUUUGAAUUUCCUCGAUUCUCAUACCAAAGAAUGUGAACUAGAAGUUCAAAAGAUUAUACAUUUGCAAAAAAUUACAAAUCAAUUACCGGACGCAUUUAAUGACUCCAGAAAAGUUACUAAAUCACAUAUUCCUAUUGCAAAUGCUCCGAUUAAAUUAAUGUCUUUGAAGGACAAAUUACAAAUGUUAACGAGUCUAAAGCGUACCUAAAGCGUGGAAGACCUCUUGGUUCCAAAGAUAAAAAUUCUCGAAAGAAAAGAGGAGUAGAUGAAUCAACAAUUAGUGACAAAAUUCAACUUCCUGAAGAGGUCGCUCCUAAAGAGCCAAUUCUUGAAGAGAAUGAAAUUAUAGAAAAUUCAUUAAAUUUUGUCAUUUCAGGAAAAAGUUAGAAUCGAAAAGAAAUAAUUAUUGAUAGUAUUUUUGCAUAUAAUAUACCACUUGAUAUUAUGGUAGAGAAUAAGGAUCACGAGCCUAGAUAGGUUGAUGAAUGUCGACGUAGAAAUAAUUGGGCAAAAUGGAAAGAUGUGAUCCAAUCUGAAUUGAACUCACUGGUUAAAAGAAAAGUUUUUGGACCUGUAGUCCAAACACCUGAAGGUGUAAAGCCAGUAGGAUAUAAAUGGAUAUUUGUGAAAAAAAAAAUGAGAAAAAUGAAAUCGUGAGGUAUAAAGCAAGACUUCUAGCCCAAGAAUUUUCACAAAGGCUUGGAUUUGAUUAUGAUUACACGUAUUCACCUGUAGUGGAUGCUAUCACAUUUAGAUAUCUUGUGAGUUUUGCAGUACAUGAAAAAUCAGAUAUGCAUCUAAUGGACGUCGUUACUGCAUAUUUAUAUGAAAAUCUUGAUAAUGAUAUUUAUAUGAGAAUCCCCGAAGGAUUCAACAUGCCUGAAGCAUACAAAUCAAAUCCUAAAGAUAUUUAUUCUAUUAAAUUACAAAGAUUUUUGUAUGGGCUUAAACAAUCUGGACGUAUGUGGUACUGCCUCAAUGAAUGUUUAACUAAAGAAGGCCAUACCAAUGAUCCAAUAUAUCCAUGUGUCUUUAUCAAGAAAAAUGGAUCAAAUUUUGUGAUAAUUGUUAUAUAUGUUGAUGAUUUAAAUCUGAUUGAAACUCUUGAAGAGAUUAGUGUUGAAUAUUUGAAGAAGAAAUUUGAGAUCAAAGAUUUUGGAAAAACAAAAUUCUGCCUUAGUUUACAAAUUAAGCAUUUGAAAAGUGAAAUUUUUGUCCACUAAACUGCUUAUACCCCGGAAGGUAUUAUAGCAGUUUUAUAUGGAUAAGGCACAUACAUUAAGUACCCCAAUGGUCAGAUCAUUAGAUCCUAAUAAGGAUCCUUUUAGACUGCGAGAGGAAGAUGAAGAGAUACUUGGUCCUAAAGUACCAUAUCCCAAUACAAUUGGUGCACUAAUAUAUCUUACUAAUUGUAGAAGACCUGAUAUAUCAUUUGCAAUAAAUUUAUUAGCAAGAUUUAGUUCCUCGCCCACAAGACGACAUUAGAAUGGUAUUAAACAUAUUUUUCGUUAUCUCCAAGGAACAAUUGAUCUUGGUUUAUUUUAUUCAAAUAAAUCUAAGCUUGAAUUGCAUGAUUAUGCUAAUGCUGGAUAUUUAUCUGACCGGUAUAAAGCAAGAUCUCAGACUGGUUAUCUAUUUAUACAUGGAGGUACAGCCAUUUCUUUGCGAUCUACAAAGCAAUCGUUAGCCGCCACUUCAUCGAAUCAUGCUGAAAUAAUAGCAAUUCAUGAGGCUAGUCGAGAAUGUGUUUGGUUAAGAUCAAUGACCCACUAUAUCCGUAAGAGUUGUGGGUUAUCCUCCGAAAAAGAAAAUCCUCCAACUAUAUUAUAUGAAGAUAAUGUAGCUUAUAUAACUUAAUUGAAAGGAGAAUAUAUUAAAGGAGAUAGAACAAAACAUAUUUCACAAAAAUUCUUUUGUACUCAUGAUUUACAAAAGAAUGGUGAAAUUUAUGUGCAACAAAUCCGAUCAGAUAAUAAUUUGACAGAUUUAUUUACCAAUGCAUUGCCAACUGUAAUAUUUGAGAAAUUGAUGAAGAAUAUUGGAAUGCGACAAUUAUAAGAUCUCAAAUGAUAUUUGCAUCAGGGGAAGAAAUCAAUACACAAAAAUAGUGUACUAUUUUUCCAUCACUAGGGUUUUCGUCCCAUUGGAUUUUUUCCUAAUAAGGUUUUAAUGAGGCAUAUUCUUUAUGUAAUGGACAUCCAAUGGGGAGUGUUAUGAAACAACUAAAAGUGUGGAUGCCCAUUUGUAUUCUCAAGAAGAUCAAUUCAUAAUUCAUUGCUCCCAAGACGAUUAAUUCAUAAUUCAUUGCUACAUUAUGUAAAGGAAUUACAUUGGAUGAACGGUUUCAAUCCAUAAGAGUUAUUCAUGUAUUGGAUGAACCAUUUCAUAUGGCUAUUUAUGUUCUUGUAGUAAUGAGUGUUUAAUAGAAUUGAUGUACGUUUAAUUUUGUAGUACCUAUAUAUAGAGGUAUCUUGGCACCUCUUUAGUGUACUUUUUGAUUAGUUGGAAUAAUAAAAAAAUCAUUCUCCAUUUCUGUACUACUUUCUCUAAUAUUUCAAUUCCAAUUAUAGCAGUUCAUUUUUUUUUUUGGGUUUACAACAUUACUCAAAGAAGAGAGUUAUUGGACUAUAUGUUUAUUGACCUCUACUAACUUAUUUAAGGUCAUUUCAUAUCACUAUCCAAAGAAAAAUUCUUGGGCGUUAACAUUUUUCUUACAUGCCAAGACUAUUAAUGAAAGUUGACCCAAAUCUCUCUCUCUCUUUCUCUCAAUUCUUAGGACUGAUGCCAAUUCUUACCAUUUAGAAAGAAAAAUUAGAUUGUUUAUAUAUAUGAUGAGUUCCCUCUAAGUCAUGGUUAAGAAAAAUUCUUAGUUUUAUGAAAUGUGAAUUUCCUUUUCGUUGUCUUUAUUCAUUAGUAUUAUUGGGGUUAUUGUAUUAUGAUUGCAAUGCACAGAUACAUGGAUUUUUGACAUUUUUUUUCUCAUUUUUUCUUUUUAAUCGACUCUGACUAUGUCUCAAACUCGAGACAUCAAACCUGGACACGACUUUUGUCCAAAAUGCUUGUAAAAAAUCAGAAGAAUAAUUUUGGACCUUAUUAUUUAAUAAUGGUACGAUUAUGAGAGUCAUUCCAGGUUAAUUAUCAAACUUGUAACUUGAAAAUAAUGUCGACAUCAUGUCAUUAUUAUUUUCUAGUUUCAUAGAAAAAUGAAGUAUUCUCCAACUCGACAUUAUCAUAUUAUUCUCAAUUGGCAGCUCAUGUGAGAAAGACAAGAAAUUCACAAUCAACUGGCCAAGAGAGUGCCAACAAAGAAAGCACUAAAUGGCUUAAACAAAGCAUGCAAAUUUGCUUAGCACUUAAACAAUAGACACCUAAAUCAACCAUGUCACUGUCUUGCCAAAAAAGGGCAUUAAAGUAAAAACAACUCAUGCCUAACACAGGUAACAAACUUCAGCACCUUCACUUCACCGCCACGUCAUCAACAACAUUUGCAAAUUUCCAAGGAAGUCCACGCACUAAAGGUGCCCAUGCCCUUAGGGGACCUCAGGUUAGUGUUCUUAACAUCAACUCCUGUCUUUAUAUUCUUAGGAAAUAUUGAAAUUAAACAUUAUCACUAAUCCUGAUUUCCUUAUGCUAUAUUUGUACACAAUUUGGCAACAAGGUUGUCCUUUUUUGGGCCAAAUUGGACAAGUAAAAAAAAGAAAAUUAAAAGGUUUAUCUGCAAACUGUAGUUCGGCCUGCCUCUUUUUUUUUUUUUUUUGGGGAUAAGAUCGUCAUGUAUCAAUAUUUCUGUACUUAGCAUUGGCUUCUUCUCGCCUGAAGAACACACGAACCACCGGAUGAAAGUGGUGAAUGAAAGUGCACUUAACCCUUUUAAUUUUUCAAAACAAUGCUUUUAGAAAAAAUAAUAAAGACUUUUUUGAAUUUAAUUUUAGAGAAGAAGAAUUUUAAACUUUUUUGAAUUUAAUCUUACAGAAGAAGAAGUUUAAAAUGUACUUUAAUUUUCACAACUGAUGAUGAGAAUAGCAAAAUGUAUACGGACGGUGACAAAAGUGCCGUCUUAUCCUUUUGCUGACGGCCCGUUUUCCAAUGAGAGGAUGCCUCUGCUUCGUAUUUUAUCCAUAUUGAUAUAUAUUCUUUUCUGUCCCCCUAACUAUUAAAUGUGAAAGGUUGCCCACCAAAUUUGACGAAACCGUUUAUCCUAAUUGAUUAUUAUCCAUAGGGCAUAACUUUAAUAUUCUUCUUCCAACCCGUCCGUCAAUGACCACUAACCACCUCUAAUCUAUUCUCAAAUUUUAAUGAAAUUGCGCAAUUAGUUUUCAUUUCUCACUUUUAUUUCAAAUUUGGUCUCAAUUUAAUGUGAAUCCCAAUAAAUAAGACCGGAGUUGAAAUCAAAGAACGUAUUUCAAUCACCAUCGGAUAAAUUCUUCAUGUCUAGUUUUGUCCUUGAGAUGCAUAGAAAAUGUAAGCUGAUCUUGCAGUCUACGAGAAAAACGAAGUCUAAGAGAAUAAUUUUGUCAAAACUUGACAAUGGAAUGAACCGGUGGUCGCUGGUUGGCAGCUGCUAGAAGUCAUAGCAGUUUUAAAACAUAAUUGCAGCAAGUAAAAGAUUAAAACUACGUUGUGUACUGUUAACGACUUACAUUGACAAAAUGGUUAAGGACAGAGUUGAAAGAUGAAUCAAACUGUUCGACAUUCGAUUCGAAUUUGACUUGGUAAAAACUUAUUCCAAUUUGAUUUGUCAGCUAGUCAAAUCUAAUUUAAAUAGUAUUUAACUUUGAAACUUGAUAAAAAGUUUGUUCAAACUCAGUUUACUAAAUAAACAAGUCAAAUUUGAACAAAAUUUCAAACUCAUUAAAAUAAUUAAAUACGUUUGAAUACUAGGAUAUUCGAUUUAAUUAAAUGCGAUUGCACCCCUAAUUAAAGCAUGUACUUUUUUUAUAAAUUUAGGAAUCAACAUUAUACAUUUAAUAGCUAGCUAGAGGGUCAAAAAGUUAAUUGCCUUAAAAUUCUUUUAGCAGCCAUAAAGUAUAGUUGGAGGGAUUCCCUUGAAAUUGAUUAGAUUCUUCUAUGUGACUAAAGAAUUUCGGGUGUGACGUAUUACUAGUCCUACCCUAAAAAAAAUGGUAUUACUAGUCCUUUUUUUCUUUUUUAGCGUGCCCCCGCCGUGGAGUGUGGGGAGGGUGGUCUGUGCGAGAAUUCUAGAUGGGGUACAAGGUGCCAAAGUUCACCUUAUUCAAAGUAAACAACCUUCCAUCUCAGAUGUUGAAUUUCCUGGCAAUUGCGUAUAUAUUACAAUCUUUUACCAUGACUUUAGAGGACAGCUAAAUUUGCUUGCUAUUAAAUAAUAUUUUCGGUAGUCUAUAAAUACUCUUGGUCCUAACUGCUUCUUGCACCACAUAAUUCUUUCAAGAACUACCAAAACCUUCUUGAAAUCCCUCUUUUUCCUUUUAGUUCAUUUCCAAGAAACAAAUUGAACCAUCAUGGCCCCUGUCACUUCCAGUUAUGAGGUCACCUGCUCAAUCCCUCCUGCAAGGUUGUUCAAGGCCACCAUCCUUGAAGAGAAGCAUCUUCACAAGAUCUUGCCACAGGGCGUUAAGAGUGUCGAAAUCCUUGAAGGAGAUGGUGGAGUUGGCACAAUUAAGUUGACCACAUUUGUUGAAGGUAAGAUAUCAAUACAAAGUGAUUAUGUUCACAAAUUUGAAGUCUUCAAAUUGCUCACUUUUUUUUUCUUUUAUUUGGGAAAAGCUAAUGACUUUUUUUUUUUUUUUUGGUUGGGUUAAAUAUUUAGGUGGCGAGCUUAAGACUGCCAAACAGAAAGUUGAUGGAAUUGACAAAGAAAAAUUUACAUACAGUUAUACUGUACUUGAAGCUGAUGGAUUUAACGAUGUAAUCGAGAAAAUCUGUUGUGUCAUCAAAUUUGAACCCUCUGCUGAUGGAGGUUCAAUCUGCAAAACCACUAAUACAUACUACCCCAAAGGUGGUGCUCAGAUCAGUGAGGAACACGUCAAGGGAGGAAAAGAGAAGGGUUUGGGAAUGGUUAAGGCUGUUGAGGCUUACCUCCACGCAAAUCCUACUGCCUACAACUAAUUAUAAUGAAUGCUACUGAAGGACUCUUCGACAUAUUUUCUUCAAGAUUGAAGUAUAAACUGAGGGUGUCUGUUUC